UAACUUUUAGGUUAAAAAUAACUCAUAAAUAAUUCAAAUUAACAAGAGAAGGGGAUAUGGUAGAAAAUUAAUAUAUUAAAAAAAUCACAACAACAAUUUAUUAUUGAACCAAAUAAAAUUCAAAAUAAAACAACUAUGUAAUCAAAUAAAGAACCAUAUCAAGGUUAAUUGCACAAGCUGAUCGAAGAACAUAUCAAGUUUUCAAACUAGUUAUUGUCAUACCAAGUCUGUCCUUGAAGAUAAAAAUUCAAAAUAAAACAACUAUGUAAUCAAAUAAAGAACCAUAUCAAGGUUAAUUGCACAAGCUGAUCGAAGAACAUAUCAAGUUUUCAAACUAGUUAUUGUCAUACCAAGUCUGUCCUUGAAGAUAAUCAAUGAUACUCUUAUCAACUUGAAAAGCUUUAGUAAGAACCUCGUCAGAAAUAGGGGGAUUAGAUUUAAAUAAAGCAUUUGCAAUAGUGAUAACUCCUGGAUUUUGACUGCUAAGUCCAGCGAUGGCAACAGCGUUGCCAUAUCCCACAUUUAGUUGAAAGUGAAUUAGACCGAUUGGGAACACAAACACAUCUCCCUUGUUGAGAACUUUGGUGAAAAGACGAUUUUUAUCUUGAUUGGAAGUGACAAAUCCAACAUAAAGAGUGCCUUCGAGAACUGUAAGGAUCUCAGUCCCUCGAGGGUGAAUGUGGGGUGGAUUUAAACCUUUGGGUGCAAAAUCAAUGCGAGCCAAAGAUAUUCCAAGUGUGUUUAGUCCAAACAGUUGGUCUACAAAUACUGGAGUCACUUGAGAGCCCAAUGCAUUUACGGGAUUCCCAGGAUCAAUAUGUUUGAAGAAAUCUUCAGCUUUAACUAGCGCAGGAUCUUUACAGAACUUUCCGUUCACAAAUACUGCAAAUUACCAAAGCAUAACAGUGAUAUAUUAAAAAGAAGAAAAUAAUAUUAAUUCUUAAUUAAACCAAAAAAAUAAUUUAAAUAGUAAGAAUUUGGGAGGAAUAUAUACAUACCACCAUCUUUAGGGUCUUUGAUUGCAACACAAAAGUCUUGGAGAGGGCUUGGGUCAUAAGCAAAGGAAACGGAUGCCAAAGCCAAAAUGCUAACAAGGAAGUAAAGAACUUUCAUUUUGCAACUGACUACUACUCUUUAAUGACUCUUGUUAUUAUGUAAAUUAUUAUUUGCUGGUGAGAAUUGAUUUAUGUUGCAUGUAUAGCUCUCUAUUUAUAAGAGUGCAAUAUUGAAGUGGUUUGCAUUUGAUCUUUACGGUAAUUAAUUUUCUAUUAAAGAAUGAACCAUUCUUUAACAACUACCGUGCUAAAUCUUCCCAACAAAGUCAAUCAAAUUUUAAAAUGGAAAGUUUUGGCUAAAUCAAAUUAAGAUUUAGACUUUGUCUUAUUUCUGGAUAUUUGAUUAUCACCAGUUGUGUUUUUUAAUAAAGAUGAAAAUUGAAUUGGUUUGCAAUUGAUCUUAACCUUAAUUAAUUUUGUAUUUUAUAAUGAAUCAUUAUUUCAUAACUUGUAUGUGUGCCUAAUUGCCUCACCAAAGUCAAGAAAAUUUAAAGGCAUUAAGUUGUCUACUUGUACAUGGUAGUUUUAUUUUGGUAUAUUCUUGGCAAAAUCAAAUUAAAAUCAGUAAAGACUUCUUCUUAGUUCUGACUUAAUUUUUGAGAUAUUCGGUCACAAUCAUAUAGCAUCACGCUAAUAUAUGUUCACAAGGCAGAAUAGAAAUAUCAUUUCAAAGUUACCCAGCCAAUAAAUAAUUAACUUGGCUUUCACUGUAAUCCAAAAUAUGAAAAAUAAAUAAUAAAAAACAUCUCACGCUAAUUAAGAAUGGUAGAUAAUUUUGCUUAAAAGGUGAUGCAUUGAUCUCGCUAUAUAUUAUAGCUAGAUAUUUUAUUUACUGGUUUACAAUGUAUUGGAUGUAUUAAAAAUGAAAGAUUGAAAUGUUAUGCUACCCGAAUCCGGUCUGGUCAAAUGGUCCAAUAAGACGGAUCUAAUUUAAAGGUUUAAUUCAAGAAUUUGCGUCUAUUCAAGCUGAAGAACAUGUGAGUUAUCGCUGAGAAGUCCGCACUGAAGUAAAACAUCACUUCAUCUCAAUCAUUAGGGUCAUCCAAUAGUCCUUGUGCAAGAUGUCACGUUUACCUGAGACAACUAUAAUCUUUGUUCUAUACAAGUCGCAUCACAUCAAGGUGCAAUAUUCAUUACAUACUUGCUAGUUCCGCCUCUUUGAUUUUUUUGAUUUGGUCUUUUGAGUGUUAACUUUGUAGAUACAUCUCAUUUCUAACAACUAGAGACGUCUAUUAUCGUACAAGAAUCUUUUCACAACAGACAUUCCUACUCUACUACUGUUAGCUCAUAAUUUUGACGCCCACUAAAGAAUCACCAAAAGGGAAAUCCUGUGUAGAGAUAUUUCGACCAGGAGGAGAUGUUCGACCAUGUAGAGGUAUUUCGACUGGAUAAGGAUAAUAAGAGUCAAAAUGCAGUUGUAGAAAUAUUUCUUAAAACGGUUGGAGACGGUUUUCGAUUGGAGAUUCAAAUUUUAAAUAAAGGAUGAAACUUUGCUCUUAUCUGAAACUGUUGAAGGUACACGUGGGGCAUAAUGGAUAGGUACAUCCAUGCAAGGUGCCAUGUGUCUCGACGCGAUUGAAGGGCCGUUAGAAACGGUUAUUUUGAUUAAGUAUAAAUAAAGGGUCUUAGUGUUAGGAUCAAGUGUAUGUGUCAAAUUGUGUAUAGAGUCUGUAAAUUUACCAAGUACCCGUGUGAAAAGGAACCGUAAAUUAAAGAAUGUACGUUUGUUUACACCAUUGUUAGUUAUUUUAAAGCAAUACAAUUCAUCUUUAUUUUUCUUCCAGAAAUACAUUUCUUUAUUUCUUUAUUUCAAACCGUCUCCUUUUACUUCGUUAUUUCAAACAGUCUUAAUAUUUCUUUGUUUCAAACACUUACUGUUGCCACUUGGUUAUCAUCAUAGUCUUUUACAAUUUUUCUCCUUAAUUCAUAUUAGCUUUUUACCGUAAGUUUUAAUCCCUAGUCUCACUAAUACUGUGGAAGUGUUCAUGAUUACUAAAAUUCAUUUUAAAAACAGUUCGCACAUGUCCUAGGAUCAAUCUGAUCGAUCUUGUGAGUAACCAAAUUUAGAAAUUUGAAAGAUCAGCGGUUGUUUACUAAUUUUCAAGGUAAACAAAUUGGCAUACCAGGUGGGUCUGUGCUAGUGUUUUGGGAAUUGUUUUUAGUUUUGGUUGUUAAGUCAUUUUUCCCUUUUUUCGGAAAGAAUUCGUUGUAUGUUAUUAAGGAGUGGUAAAGUAGCCACAAACAACGAACAACGACCAAAGAGAGAAUCACAUACGAGGAUGGCAAAUGUAAAUGCACCAGAUAACCAAAACUCUCAAAAUCCAUCAACCAGUAACAUAACGCCCCCUUCUUCUUCGAUGGGGGCGAACACAACCGCAAUACACGUGUUUGAAAUAGUUCCAUCUAUGGUAAGUUUGAUUCCUACGCAUUCGAUAUCCCAUACUGAACCGAUUUUAACCUACAUCGGGACUAGAGGGCCUCCACAUACUCCCGCGCCAAUUAGAGAUAUUCCAAACAUGACUUUGGUACCCCCUGGUUUAUCAAUACCAUUUGGUAGUUGAGAACAGCCUUACGGAAUGUCAACUUCAGUGAUGUCUAGUUUACACAACGCUGAUUCUACUUUCUCAGAACCAGUGGUUAACAUAAACUCUCCAGUACAAGGGUAUGGGGUUAACAUGGGUUAAAUCAACCAAUCUUUGGGUUUGAGACACCAGACACAACUACCUAGUCUUACAAAUAACUCUGAAGCAGUGUGGAGACAACAAAUGGACGAAAGUAACCAUGAGAUGGUCCAAAUGUUGACCCAAACAUUGACUACCGUAUUAAAUCCUCUGAUUCAAAAUACGGCUCAGUCGAAUCAAAAAAUGACGGAGCAGGUGGCGAUAAUGUCUGAUUUCUUGGGUGUACCACAGCUACAGCGACACCCUCCUAGGGAUUGGGUAAGAGAAAACUAGGGGGCCACUUUUGAAGAAGACCUUACUAUCAACCAGAUCCCACAAAAUCAAGUGCAACCAGAGAUGCUGAAUCAGGGGGUAGGAGUAGUACCCCCUAAGAUCGAACCACAAAUACCCAAGGAACCAAGGGUAGUAAUGGUAAAUAGAAACCAAAACGCCGAUGAUAUCAUACAACAAGUUCGACAUUACGAUUUGGCAGCAGAUAAUAAUCUAGCAGCCAUGGUCGAGAGGAUUAUGGUUCAAAUGGGGUAAGUUUCGACCUUCAAAGGCCAAAUUAUGCAUCACCUUUGUCAGAGUAUAUCUUACAGGCAGAAGCACCCCCUAGAACCAAAAUCCCCAAAUUUACUAUGUUUUUUGGGGAUACCACUGAAUCCACUGUCGAGCACGUGGCUAGAUAUUUAAUUGAGGCAGGAGAUAUGUCAAACAAUGAGAGCCUUAGAAUAAAGUUUUUUUCCAAGUUCUCUCACCUAGAAUGUCUUCACAUGGUUCACCACCCUACCCCAAAGUUCGAUCCACACUUGGAACCAACUAGAGAGAAUGUUCCAUGAGCAGUUUUACAUGGGACAAACGGAGAUAAGUAUUAAGGAAUUGGCUAGUAUCAAACGAAAGUUUACUGAGCCAAUUGAUGACUAUCUGAAUAGGUUUCAAUUACUCAAAGCUAGAUGUUUUACACAAGUUCCAGAGCAUGAAAUGUUCGAAAUGGCCACUAGGGGCAUUAACUAUUCAAUUAGGAAGAAAUUAGAUACAUAACAUUUGAGAGAUAUGGCCCAACUGGCUGAUAGGGUUCGACAGUUAGAACGUUUGAAGGAAGAAAAGGCUAGGGCAAAUAAAGGUAAAAUGGUAGCCUAUGUCGAUUUCAGAAAUGAUGAUGAAGGAUCCUGCCAUGGACUUUCAGACUUCGAUGAUAAUGAGAUCGACUUUGCUGAAUUGAAGCAGGGGCCACCAUACGCGUGUGAUGUUUUGACCCCUUCGAAUGGAAAAAACCCUAUCGAACCAGAAAAGAAUGAUAAAUUUCCCAAGAAAACUUAUACUUUCGACGUGACAAAAUGUGACAAAAUUUUCGAUUUGUUAGUCAAGGAUGGUCAAAUGAUAGUACCCCCCGGUGCUAAAAUACCUCCUUUAGAACAAAGAAAGAAAAGAGGGUUUUGCAAAUACCAUGGUUUUCUGGGUCAUAAAACAUCUCAAUGUUUUCUUUUCAGGGAUCUUGUGCAGUGCCAUCCAAGAAGGGAGACUCAAAUUUGGAGACAAAACACAGAGCCAGAUGAAGAUCGACUUUGAUCCUUGUCGCAUUCGCGAAAAACAACCGGCGGGAAAAAGACACAAACAGAGCCGCCACCGUGCGUUAUUUAUCCCAAAGGAAGGAAAGGAAACGCUCGAAGUAAACCUGGAAAGGAAAUGGUCUUACGACCGGAGAUUGCAAGGAUCGGGAGUCGGUUCCGCAAGGGGAAGGUAUUAGCACCCCUCACGUCCGUCGUACUCGACGGGAUCCACGCUCAAAAGAAUAAGAAAAGGUUUCCAAAUAACUUCUCAAAAAGAAAGCACACACACUGGAAUAAAACACAGAGGGAAGAAGACGGAAGAAGGUGACUCGGCAGGAUGUCGCAUCCUGGGCCUACGUAGUUUGUCAGAAACAAAGAUCAGAGUCGACGUAGUUCGGGGAAAUGGGAAACGGGCUCGCUAGGAUAUCGCAUCCUAUGCCUACGUAUCUCAUAUGGAAUAAGAAUCAGAGCUGCCAUAGUUCGGCUAACGCACGCCGAAAUAAAACACAACACAAAGACGUUGAGACGUCAAAAGAAACAUGCAAAUGGAAACAGACUGCCAAUGGCUGGUCUUACAUCCGACUCCAAACAAAAGAAACACAAACAGGAAACCGAAUGCCAAUGGAUGGACUUACAUCAGACUCCAAUCACACAACAAAUAGGAAACGGAAUGCCAAUCGCUGGCCUUACAUCCCACUCCUAACACACACAAAAAGGUUAUCAAACAGACAAGCUAAUAGGGAGUCUGGAACUCGAGCCUAAUAGCUGUCAAGCAAACACACACAAAAAAAGAAAAGGUUGAAAAAAGAAAAAGGGUGCCCGGAGAGAUCUCGCACGAUCUUCUGCCUACGUACAUCAUCUGGUAUGAGGAUCAGGGCGACGUAGUUCCCCUUAACAUGGGAGAAACUUUCUCCUACCCAGAGACCUUGGAAUAACAAACUAAAAGGGAGACUGAAUCGAGCCUAAUAGUUGUCAUGCAAUCCACAAUAGUCCUAGGUUGAGGUAUCUGAAUCAAAACCUAACUCGCACAGGCAGCAAGUCAAUCACACAGCAAGUAAGCAACACAGGUGAACAGGUAUCACAACCACAAUAGUCCUAGGUUGAGGUAUCUGAAUCAAAACCUAACUCGCACAGGCAGCAAGUCAAUCACACAGCAAGUAAGCAACACAGGUGAACAGGUAUCACACGCUAUAUGCAAACAAGUGGCUCAUCCAAGGCUGGGCUUUAGUCAAGGGGUCAUAUCAACCUCGACAAACAAGCCAACUGGAAGGGUAUGAUGAAGCUCUUAACCACUGACAUUGACUAUCAGGGUGAGCAGAUGAAAGGUAAUGAGGGUUGGACCUCAUAGCUCUUAACCCGGGCCUGGGUGAGCUUGAAUCAAUGAAAGCGUGGGGGUCCAGAAUGUGGGACCCUACUCCACUUGACUGACUCUAUAUACAAGGAUCUUGGGUGUUUAUUCAAAAGCCUCAGCACGUAGUGCGAGCAUAGUGAAAGACUCAACUGAAUAGAAGGGGACUGACUGCUAGUCCCUUCUAUCUGCCAGUUGCCUCUUCACUUAGGAGGACUUGAAGUACAUGGCACAAUUAUAAACAAUCACAGACAUUGCCUCUUAAGGAGGUCUUCAGCCAAAUGCCUGCCAAACAGAAACGACAGGGCUUCCAGACUACAUGAAGUUAGAGGAUGAUUACCUAGGUGGUAUGCCAACCACAAGCAAAGCAACUCAAGCAAUGAGCUAAAGCAACUAAAAGUACCUGAGAAAAUCAAAGAAGUCAAUAUUCACAUUCAGACAAAUCAAAUAGACAGUCAACAGUGUUACAACCAAUGCACAAUGCAAGUCAAUCAACUCAUAUGAAUUCAUCACCAAGGAACCUACAAUACAACAAAUGUUAGUGGACAAAGCAAAUUGCAUCUUCAAGUCAUUGAGAUUGCAUCAACCAUUAGGACUAUAAGCUUGAACCUGAAAUGCAAAACUCAAAAGAUGAGUACAAACCACUAGCACCAAGGCUAGGGUCAAAGGCAAAGCAAAAAGUCAAAACAGCAACCAAUAUUCAACAUAAAGCAUAUUUAUUCAAGUAAGAACAUGUCCUAAAAAGGACCAAACUCAAAUCCAUUGGCAAAGUCAUCUCAUAAGCAAGAUAUGGCAAAGGCAAUUUCAAAGCACACAAUUGGACAUCCAGAAUGAAAAUUCCAUAUUAAAACAGAAAUGACUCAAACAAUCAUGAAAACUUUUAUGAGCAUACAACAUGUCAAACAUAAUCAUCAUGCCAAAAAUUAGAAUCAACAGAGCUCAAUUGAUAUGGCAAUGAAAAUGAACAAGUAUGACAUCAAAUUGUGUGACACACAUUGUCACACCAUGCAUUCAUGUGUCUAAAACAGAAAUGAAAAAUGCUAAAAAUGCACAACCAAGCCUCAAAAAUCAUGCAACCUAUUGGGAAUCAGCAUACCAAAUUUCAAAUCAAUUGGCCAAUGUAUGAGCAUUUCACAAUAGAAUGAGUGAAGCAUGUCACAUUUGCAUACAUGUCCAAAGAACAAUUCACCAUCCAAAAUCCAGAAACGAUAAAAUCAUGAAAUCACAACCACAAAAUAAUAGACAUCCAUAUGAACAUGUGAAAAAAAAAGGCAUUCAAUUUGGAUUAAUUUUCAAUUUGUUAUGAAUUUUACAAGUUGCAUGAAAAUAUUAUGAAUAAUGAAGAAAUCACAUGAUGAAAUGAAGGGAAAUAGAAAUGUUUGGAUUUAAUUUGAAAUAAUUCUAGAAGCUGGAAUCGAAGUGAGUACGGCGCCUUGUCAAAACGACGUCGUUUUAACCAAGGCUGGAAAUGAAAAAAGAAAAUAUGAAACGCGCUCAGGGAGAAUCGAAGGGAGGUGCGCGCUAGCAUGGCAAAACGGCGUCGUUUCAUAACGCCGCCCCUAGGGUUUGCAGACAGCGGAUGUACAGUGCCGGGCGGUGGUUUCCACCGUCUUCCUCAUGAAGAUGGUGGCUGCUACAGUGCUCACCAACAUUUUUUUUGCAGAAUUUCAUAAAAGUUAUACCAUUGGAAAGAUCUCGUUGUGUACAUCAUGAAUAUCACACUAGCUAAGCCUAAAACAUCACACAUUAAGCAAAUCGAAGGAAAGAACAUUGGAUCUACAAACUUUAAAUCAACAUAACUUCUUCAAUUUUCAUCCAUUUUUAAUGAAAUUUAGAUCAGAAUCAUCAACAUGGAAAGGCCUAUCUAAACAUGUGCAUAAAGUGGAGAAUCAUGAGGUUUGAAUUCUAACCUCUUUGAAGAACAAUCAAUGGAAACAGUAGAUCCAAGGCCUUGCAAGUGUUCAAAUCUGCUCAUCUACUCUUGUUAUGAAGUUUUGUGCGUGAAUUGAUGCUUGAAUUUUCCUGGAUCUAGCUUAAUUUGCACUUGCCAUUGAUGUGCUCAUGAGCUUGCAUGCUUCAAACCUUGCUCAAUUUCCACGAAUUAUGACUGAUUCAUGCUCCAAAUUCCAUGACGAUGAUGAAUCUAUCAAGAAAAUAUGUGGUUGUGUGGAGAAAAUUUGAAUUCCAAUGAGAGGGAAUUUUGGAGGGAAAAAAUUUUCUAGAUCUAGAAUGUGUGAUUAUGCCAAAUUCUGUUAUGAUUAAGGCUUUAUACUAUUCACUAAUCAUGCUGAAAAAUUAAUUAGGCAAUGGUUAAUUAGAAGUUAAUGAGAAUGAGGUGUUUUAGCAAAUUUGGAAAAGUUCGUGGGUGCCAUGGCCUAAUUUGGCGUGAAUAGUAGCAUGCAAUGAUCCAUUUUCACUCAAAAUCACCUAAUGAACACAAUGGGAUUGGAAUUAUGCUUGUAGCUUGCACCAAAUUUAAAUUCCCCAAUUUCCCUCCAAAAUGCACUUGAAUUGACACAUGGCCAUGUGAACUUUUUUCAUGCAAUGCAAUGGUAUGUUUGGAAAGCAUAGUUCAAGACAAGAAAUUUGCAAAAAGAGUGGCUUCAUUUGGAGUUUUGAGUCAAAAGUUAUGCCACUUUGAAGUCUCAUGCACACUUGGUGAUCAUUUGUUCAUAUCUCCUCAACCAUUCAUCAUAAAUUCAUGAUCUUGGACUUUUUGGAAAUGGGAGAGAAAGAUCUUCAACUUUAAUGUUGGACAAAAAUUCAUUUGAAGCUUCUUUGAUGAUGUAAAAUCAAGUUGAAUUUGGACCAAAAUCUUUCCAUUUUUGGAAACUUCCAAUUAUAGGUCACUUUCCAUUUUUGGAAACUUUUGAUCUGACCUCAAAUUCUUCAAGAUAAGUGUUUGUAAUGAUGAAUAAGCCUCUUUAGGACAUGAAUGAAGUGUCUCAAACCAUUUCUCCACAUCCUAGCCCUCAGUUGACUUUCAGUUGACUUUUAUGGGCCCCAGAUGACUUGAAAAUGCACUGUGGACUUUGAGCCUCUAAUACUUGGCCAAUUUGCUUCAAAAUGAACCUUGGCUCAUAUAAGCUCAAUAGAAUGAUCAUGUGAUCCCCCUCUCCAUAGAAUACCUCAUAUCCUUGAAAAUCACUGAUUGGAAGAAAAGUCAUUGAUUAGGGUUGACCAGAGGUCAAAACCCUAAUCCAGAGGAAUCUAAGCAUGAACGAAGAACCCUUUGAGGAUGACAUAACCAUGAUGAUGAUGAUGUACCCUUGAAAUCAAGAUAAUGCUCAACCUCCUUGAAGAACCAAGAAAACCCUAAUUGAAGCACAAACCCUCAGAUGGUUGGUGAUCAAUUCAAUAUGACCCUUAGGCUUGAACUAUACAACUUCUCCAUCUUUGACAAAACCUUAGAGGAUGACUUGUUUAUUAUCACAUGAUAUGCAAUAUGCAAAUGCCUAAUGUCCUACAAAAUGAAAUGCAAUAUGCUAAACUAGUCCCAAGAAGAGGAGGGCAAAUUUUGAGGUGUUACAAUCCUCUGCAAGUAGCUAAUGCUCAUUACACAGAGCCAAAGGAAGUGAACCUAGUUGAAGUCACCGAUGAUUUCGACAUGACUGAAGUCACUGAAGACUUUGUCAAUGAACCUGUUAUGGCUAAGGUUUCUGAAUACCUUGACCAGGUAUCUCUUAAUGACUUCAUUCAAAAAGUUGUGGGAGAUACCACCAACAAAAAUGUUGAUGUCUCUGACGUUGGGGACGCUGAAAGUUCCAAGCUGAUGAUAAUCACCAAGGAAACUGCUGAUGGUUUCGUACAGAUAGACAAGGCCACUGAGGGCCUUCAAUUACAAUUUCAAAAGUUGGACAUCACUGAAGAUGUCAACAUGGAGGUUAAUAUGGUAGAGAUAUCCCAUGAGACCUCUGUGGAAGUUGACGAGGAAUGUCGAUAGGAAGAAUAUAACAAAAUCGCCUUCCCUAAAGAGGAAGAAACGUUAUUAGACUUCCUCCGAAGGUGCCAGAAGAAGCAAUCGGAAGUCAUGUUGUGCCCUCGGUGCAGUGCUGUGUUCGACAAGAAGGCAGCCCAAAAUCUCGAAGGGGUAAGGAGAGUGAAUCACCAAGAGGGUCGCAAAUCUCUUUAAAAUCACCAUGUUGUUCAUCCCAUAAGGGAUUUCGACCCUAGGAGAUACUAUGAUCCAAGACAAUCGAUGGUGAAACUUAGUGAAGCCAAGCGAAUAGGGACAACUACUAAACCCAUUUCUUUUAAACCUAGUGCUGAGGUUUCGAAUGGGAUGUGGGUAAAGCCAACUGAUGGUAGGAAACGCGGUCAAGGGAAAUGACAGAGCUUCUAAGUCGAAAGGGGUUCGUCAUUGGCUUACCUUAGGCAAUUUCAGGCCGAUAAAAGAACCUCCCAUGUAUUUGAAAACUAUAAAGGAAAAAACCCUAUGACAAGAUCUCAGUGGAGAAGAGAGAAGAGGAGAAGGAAAGCCCAGAGGGAUGCUGGUGAGAAAGAUAAAGUUGAGUCUAGCACCAACGUGCCUACAAAGCAAAGGGAAGCCUCAAGCUUUGACAAAAGAAAAUUCAAUGAUCCAGCAGAGGCGGCCAGAGAAAGAUAUAAUCAAGUGGCGGCUGAAGAUGAAAUGUUGACUGAUAAUUUUGACUUAGGAUCUGAGGCUUCUCUAGAUAUUUUAUUUGGUGUUGUGUCUGUGAUGCCUAGGGAGUUCGACCGGAUCAUAGAGGUCGAAGAUACCGACAGCAUCACGGAGAGAGAAAUGGUUGCUCAUAAGCUAGUAUGCUAAUAUAUGAUGAAUAAUGGUUGCGUUGAAGAUAAAAAUUCCUUCUUCGAGAGAGCUAAUGAGGCUAUGAAGAGUCAUCUUAAGCCUCUCUUCAUUACUGGAAAGGUCGAAGACGUUCCCAUUAAUAAAAUCUUGGUGGACUGUGGCGUGACCGUUAAUUUGAUUCCUCAUCACAUGCUGAGGAAAAUUGGCAAGUAUGACAUUGAUUCCAAACCUCAUAAUAUGGUGCUUACCAACUACGAAGGUAAAGUGGGUUCCACCCUUGGUGUCAUCCAAGUCGAAUUAACCGUAGGAACAGUCACAAGAUCUACAAUGUUUAUGAUUAUGGAAACAAAGGCCAAUUAUAAUCUAUUACUUGGAAGGGAGUGGAUACAUAGGGCCGGAGCUGUCCCAUCCUCAAUUCACCAGAGGAUAAUUAUUUGGAACCCAGAUGGUAUUGUGGAAAAUAUAGAGGCAAAUCAAGGGUACUUCAAAACCCCUAUCAAUUAUACCGAUAGACGCCAGUUCGACAAGCAUUUGGCCAAUAUCGCUCCCUGUGAUUCAGCUAAUUUUGCAUUCACUCCGGAUGACAAUGCUUAUUGUUCCCUGUCAUUGCACCCAUACAAUGGUUUUCGCUGGGACAGAGAAGUAGUGGGCGAAGAUGACUUUGGAUACUUAGAAGCGUCUGGAGUUGAACCCACAGGUUGGGGAAGCGAUUUCAGUGUUGAUGACUGAGUUCACAGCGCUAAAAAGGAUUUCGGCUUACAUAGCCGAAAACAAGAAACAAUUUCCCUUAGAGGCCGAAUUUAAAAACAUGGUUGUCGAGGCCAGUGAAGUUUCUCAUCAAAUAGGUCCUGGGAAGGACUAUGACCCAAUGCCACCUGACAAGGGUCAGAACAAAGAGCAAGGCCAGAGGCUCGAUGCUAUCUACGACGAUGAGCCUUUGGGUUUCAAGAAGGAUCCACUAGCAACAAACGUUAAAAUGUUGGCUCAGGAUCCACUUGAAGAAAUAGACUUGGGAGAGGGAUUGAUAAAAAGGCCAACUUACAUCAGCGCCAAUAUCCAUCCUCAACUAAAAGUUGAUGUAGUCCAGUUGUUGAAAGAGUUCAAAGAAUGUUUUGCAUGGGACUAUGACGAGAUGUCUGGUUUGAGUAGAGAUCUGGUCGAGUUAAAGUUUCCAAUCAAACCUGGAAAGAAGCCUGUUAAGUAGAGCCCAAGGAGAUUUGCACCAACAAUACUUUCGAAGAUCAAAGAAGAGGUCGAAAGGCUCCUUCGCUGCAAUUUCAUUCGCACAACUAGGUAUGUCAAAUGGUUAGAUAAUAUUGUGCCUGUUGUAAAAAAGAAUGUUACUUUGAGGGUUUGCAUAAAUUUUAGAGAUUUAAAUACUGCAACCCCAAAGGAUGAAUAUUCAAUUCUAGUGGCAGAAAUGCUAGUCGAUUCAGCUGCAGGCUAUGAAUAUUUAAGCAUACUCAAUGGAUAUUCUGGGUAUAAUCAAAUAUUUAUUGUAGAAGAGGAUGUGCCAAAAACAACAUUUUGAUGCCCUGGAGCCCUGGGCACCUAUGAAUGGGUAGUGAUGCCUUUUGGUUUUAAAAAUGCUAGGGCAACCUACCAAAGAGAAAUGAUUUCGAUCUUCCAUGAUUUUAUAUAGACUUUUAUGCAAGUCUACAUAGAUGAUAUUGUCAUUAAGUCUGUUUCAGGGAAGAGUCAUAUAGACCAUCUUCGAAUAUCCUGUGAAAGGAUGAGAAAACAUGGUCUGAAAAUGAAUCCUCUAAAAUGCAUUUUUUUUUGUGCAGCCUGGGGAUUUCUUAAGCUUUGUGGUCCACAAAAAGGGAAUUGAAAUAAACAAGAAUAAGACCAAGGCCAUAAUGGAAGCGAAAGCUCCAUCAACGAAGAAAGGAUUGAAGUCACUACUAGGAAAGAUCAAUUUCCUGAGGAGAUUCAUCUCAAAUAUUAGUGGGAAGACACAAUCUUUUUCACCAUUUCUUUGACUCAACAAGGAAGGAUUCGAAUGGGGGCAGGCUCAUCAAGAUGCAUUUGAUAAGAUUAAAGCAUACUUGAGUCAUCCACCAAUCCUAACACCCCCUUGUAGAAAUAAAAGUAUGAGAUUGUAUAUAUUUGCGUCUGACAAGACUUUAGGGAGCAUGUUGGCUCAAGAGGAUGAUAAUGGCGUCGAAAGAACCAUCUAUUACCUCAGUAGGGUCUUAAAUGGUGCAGAAACUAGGUAUAACAUAGUUGAAAAAUUGUGUUUAUGCUUAUAUUUCUCUUGUACAAAGUUGAAGUAUUAUAUAAAACUCGUUGAUGUUUAUGUUUCACCUCAUUUCAAUGUUAUUAAACAUAUGUUAUCCAAACCGAUUUUGCAUAGUCGAAAUGGGAAAUGGGAAUUAGCGUUAACCAAAUUUUAUUUAGCGUACUUGCCAUUAAAGGCUGUUAAAGGACAAGUGCUAGCAGAUUUUAUAGUCGACCACUCCAUAGAUGCAAACGGACUACACUAUCUUGAAGUAGAGCCUUGGAAGUUGUACUUCGAUGGGUCUAGUCACAAGGAUGGAACAUGCAUAUGAGUGCUAAUUAUUUCUCCUAAUAAAAUUCCAACAAGACUCAAGUACAAAGUAGAAGGUCUGUGUUCAAACAAUGAGGCUGGAUAUGAAGCCCUCAUAGCCAGACUUGAAAUAUUAUUGGAAUUGGGGGCAACUCGGGUCGAAAUAAUGGGUGACUCAGAGUUAGUCAUAAAACAGAUCACAAAGGAAUGCAAAUGUAUUAAAGAUAAUUUGAUUAUGUACUUUAUAAUAUCCAGUCGAUUGCUAAAAAGAUUCGAAAUGGAUAAUAUUCAACAUAUACCUCGAUUAGAAAAUCAAGUGGCUAACGAUUUGGCUCAGAUUGCAUCUGUGUAUAAAAUUUCAAAAGAAAAAUUGCAAAAAGUCAUCGAAGUCAUAGGAAAGGCCGUGGCAACCAGAUUGAUCCCUUCAGACUUAGAAAAGACAAAGCUGGGAUACGCUGAUGAAGGAAACUUCGAAAUAUUGGCAGUAGAAAAUCUGAUAGAUGGAGAUUAGAGGAAACCAAUAGUGGUAUAUCUACAGAAUCCAACGGCGUAUGCUGAUCAAUAAACCAGGUAUCGAGCAUUAAGUUAUGUACUUUUGGGAUUAGAAUUGUGUAAGAAGUCUCCUGAGGGAGUUUUUCUUAAGUGCCUCAGUGAGUUAGAGGAAUAUUUAGCCCUUUCGACUGUCCACAGUGGGGCGUGUGGGACACACCAAGUUGGACAUAAGAUGAAAUGGAUUUUGUUUCGCCAAGGGAUGUAUUGGCCUACUAUGUUGAAGGAUUGCAUUGAAUUUGCAAAUGGAUGUCAAGGAUGUCAGAUACAUGCAGGCAUACAACAUGUUCCUACAAGCGAAUUGCACUCUAUCAUCAAGCCUUGGCCAUUCAGAGGUUGGGCUUUAGAUUUAAUUGGGGAUAUUUGACUACCAUCAUCUAAGAGUCAAAGAUAUAUCCUGAUGGGCGUUGAUAAUUUUACGAAAUGGGUCUAAGCUAUACCCUUACCAAACAUAAAUCAGGAGGAUAUGAUCGAGUUUAUCCAGAAGCAUGUUAUUUAUAGAUUUGGAAUCCCAGAGACUGUUACAACAAUUCAAGGGUCAAUAUUCACUGGUCGAUGGAUGCAAGAAUUUGCUAAAGAAAUGGGUUUCAAACUGUUAACUUCGAUGCCAUAUUAUGCUUAGGCUAAUGGACAAGUCGAAGCUGCUAAUAAAGUGAUCACUAAUUUGAUUAAAAACCAUCUGGGGAAGAAGCCUAGAAAUUGGCACAAAACUCUAGAUCAAAUUUUGUGGGCAUGUCGUACCUCUCCCAAAGAAGCCACUAAGUCGACCCUUUUUCGGCUAACUUUCGGCUAUGAUGUUGUUUUACCAGUAAAGAUUCACCUAUAACCCACAAGGAUUCAAAGGCCUCGUGAAAUUCCAACAGAGUUAUAAUGGAGCAUGAUGUUGGAUGAAUUAGUUGAUUUAGAUGAAGAAAGGUCAAAUGCCUUGGAAUUAUUAAAACGACAAAAGAAGAAAGUAGAGAAUUUUUAUAACAAGAAGGUGAAAGUCAAAAGUUUUUUGCUUGAAGACUUGGUAUGGAAAAUGAUCCUUCCAAUGGAUCGAAAGGAUAGGACCUUAGGGAAGUGGUCUCCAAAAUGGGAAGGUCCUUUUCAGAUUUUGCAAGUAUUUUCUAAUGGUGCCUAUGAAAUUGAAGAGCUUAAUGAAGACAAGAUGACUCUGAGAGUAAAUGGGAAAUAUUUAUAAAAGUAUAAGCCAAUACUCCAAGAGAUAAAAAUAAGAGAGGAAUAGUUAUAUAUAAGUUAAUCAGAGCCAAUAUGGUAAAAAUGUCAAAAUGGUUUACAUUUGAUUUGAAGGCCCAAAGGGAUAAUAUUCAUUACAAUUAAAAUUUGUUUCAUUACAUCAAAAAAUAAGCAAAACGGAAAAGGAGACUAAAAAAUUUAGAAAGGAAGGUUGGCCUUGAUCUGAAGGUACUUUGCUUUAAUAAUCUCCAUACAUUUCUCACAUAAAGAUCUCUUCAACCAAAUAAGUUUGAGGUCAGACUCGAGUUUUCGAGCCUGUUCGACGAACUCCAUGCUGAAUUCUAGCUCUUUAGCCAUUAAGGAAUCAUCAAACUCUAAGAGUUGGCUUUUGCUUCUUUCUGCAUCAAAAAUCUUUGCCCGAAGUUCUUAUAUUUGUUUCCUCCAAGAAGCAAUAUCACAAUCAUGUCCUUCGAUCUUUUCUUUGUUCUUUUGUUUAGUUUUCUCCAAUUCCAUCGCCUUGUUGGUGGACUCGGUGGCAGCAUCCCAGACAGCUACCUCAAAAGCAAACUUCUUCUCCAUUUCCCCUGUUAGCUGAGGUGGUGGCUUAUGAUCUGUGACAACUUAGUCGAUAAUAGUACCUAUCUCCAAUAUAACAUUGGCAACUUCAGGGGAAGUUUCUAGCAGGUCGACUUGAUUAAGAAGAGCCUUUAAGAUCUUGUCUUUAAUCUUGGAAAGCACUUCAUCUGCAUGAGUGCUCAAAGGUUGAUCUUCAGACACCGAAGUAGUGCUAAGGCUUUUUUUAGAGGAACUUUCCCUACAUAUUAACAUAGCCUUCAAAUAUUCAAGGGGUUGGCUUCGUUUUAGAAUAGCCAGUCUUUCUGCAGAAAGGCCCCCAGUACUACUUGUCGAAACUCGACCCGACGAAAUAACUACAAUGGUUAGAGUGACAAGAGUUUGGUUCUAAGCCUACCUUUCGUCUGUAUCAGCCUCCCUCUCUUCAAAGGCUUCAUCAUCGUCAGAGACUGGGAUCUGGUUGCCUUCAUUCUCUUCCUCCAUCACCGUAUCUUCGACGUUGCCACCUUCCCCUUGGGGAUUGAUUGUUCCUUCGAUGUUGUAUAAAUCGUCUUCAAGAUUAUCUCCAUAUUCAACUAAUUCAUCCACCACCAUAGGUUUUGGGUUCCCUCCAGCCUCACCUUCUUCGAUCGAAGCAGUUUCAUGAUCGGAGUCGCUGGUGUGAGAGUGUUAAGUAGCAGUCUUCGGUGGUGAAGUAUCAAGGCCACCAGAGGGAGGUUGGUUAAUCUCACUCAUGGAUCCUUUUUCAGACUAUGGUCGAUAAGUGGGUUCGCCAGCAUUGUUUAAGACAUCCGCUAUAGAAGCUGGCACGGAGGAAGUUGUGGUUUUGGUUUGAACGGCGGUACUUGCACCAUCCUGAAAUCAACACAAUCGAAACAAUGAGUGGUUAAAGAUGGUAAAUAAACUAUGUAAGGUAGAGUGAAGUUUGUUUAACCUUGUCACCUUCGACCCCAGGGCUGGAGUUGCCACUCUCACUUUAGGCCGCUGCUAUCUUUGCCAUUUUUUCAGGAAUAGGCUCUUGGAUAGUAAGUGCAAAAGACCUUUUCUUCAGAAGUUUUGAUGGAGGCUGGCUCAAGGUGUCGGUGACCUUCGGUUGUUGCUUCCUCUUCUUGGAAGUUAGGUCGAGAACCAGCGACAAAUCCUCUUCGUCAGAUUCUAUUGUGACGGGGGUUUCUGUAGGUUUUUGGAUUUUGGUGGGGCUUAGAGGAGGUUUUCGAACAGCCUGAGUUAAGAUUUGGAAUGUCAGCAUCAUUAAACAUAACAAAAGAAAAAGAUAUGAGAAUACAUAAGUAUACCUUUGUAGGCUUGCUACCUCCCUCAAUCUUCGAUCCGACUGGUCUUCUGAUGGUGGGUUUCUUAGGUGGAACCCUGAUGGAUAAAUGAAAAUAACAUAAAUAAGUUAGUGUUAGCUAAGAGUAAAUAGCCUGAAAGAGGGAUGUGCUUCGAGGAAAACCUCCUGUGUCACACCUUCAUAUAUGUACGAUUUGAUGCGGACAUCUUCGAUCCCUACAUGAAGAUGCCCUUUGAAACUGUCUAGAGUAUGCUUAGUCACAACCACCCGCUGAGCUUUUUUCUGGGAUUGUUGUCGAAGUAUUUUAAUGGAGUCUCCAUAAAUAAACCAGUUUGGAAAUGGAGGGGCAAGGGACACACCAUAGUUAGCAUUAGGCAGUGGAGGAAAUUUUGGGGGAAACAGUUCGAAAGCCAUUUCACAGUGUUUCUCAUGAGGAACGUAUGAAGGAAUCUUUAGACUUCCCAUUUUCUUUGAAAAAAAUUCUUUGAGCAUGACAGCUGCUUCACGGAUGGUUCGAAUAAGAUCAUCAGGCCUAUAGGCAGUUUCAAAGUAGUUUUGGAAAGUUUGGAUUUCUUUGAUAAGCGUGUAAGUACCUUUUCUGGUCUUUUCCUGCACAAGAAGAAAAACUUUGUCAAAGAGUUGGAUAAAGGAAGAGACAUCACAGAACUCUUCAAUGUAGUAUUUAGUCCACCAUCUCCCAAACUCUCGAGUGUAGAGGAAGUUGGGCUCUAAGUUAAAAGGAGUAAGUUGGGUUCUGCCUGUGUAUCUGACUAUCUGCUUGAGGGCAGUGGCUUCAUUAUGGACUACAUUGUAGAGAAGGAGGCUACCCUUUUUGUCAUACAUGCACUUUGGGAGAACUUGAAUUAACCCAAAUUGUCGGGUGACGAGGUUGGGUUUAUAGGUGAUCAAAGUAACCUGAACCUUUGAAGGAUUAAAUCGAAUGGUUAGGAUCCUGGGGGUCAAGAAGGCUUCUCAAAUCAGUAAAGAUUUUGUAUCUUGUUUUUUGGAUGGAGAUGGGAAGGUCCUGGUAAACCAUUUUAGACCGUACUUCCUGAAAGCAAAGAGGUCCAUGCUCGAAGUGAAAACAUGGCGCUUGGAGAAAAUCAUUAUGUAGCUCAUGAAAGUUGGUUUCAGGGCUUGUCCUUCGUCACUGGGAGUCAACUGAGCUAGUCUAAUGCCUUCGACCCUUCUGUUUUUAACCUCCUCAGCUUCUUCGUCAAUGAGGCCUUUGUUCGAUAGACUAGCCUCGAAGGUGGCAUUGCGCCAGAGUUGAAAUAGCCAAAAAGGGCCAGAAAGGAGAAGAUUCCCUUUUUCGCCCAAAUUCUUCAAUUGAGCGACUCCAUCGCUUAAUGACUCAUAGAGACUGACCAAUAUCAUUUCGCUUAGACAAAUAUCAUGUCCAACAUGUAGUUGAUUUUCCAAGGUAAGAUAUUUCUUGGCAACUUGCAAAGACUUCGAGUAGAAGACAGAGUGAGACAACCACAAAGCCAAGAAAGAUAUGUGCUCCAUGUCAGAGACGGUGUCAAUAUCCUUGUCAUGAUAAUGGGCUAUGUGAGUCGAAUAUGCUGCUCGGGAUGUCAAAAAGGCUAUGGUGUCCGCAGUAUCGAUUUCAAGAUCGUAAGUAUGUCCAGUAGAUUUUAGCCCUGUGAUAGGGGUUAAGUCGAAGAGCGUUGGUGUGGCCAUACCACAAGGAAGGGGGAAAGUAUAGUAUGUUCUGUCCUAAAAGUACAAUGAAGAAAUCAACAUAGAGGUGCUAUACUCCAACUCUAUCUUCGACAACAUGAUGAGGUCAUAAAUGCCGGUGUCUUUCCAGUUAUGAGAUUUAGCUUUCUCUACUUUCUUUAACCAGCCUAAAUAAUCAAUGGGGUCUUUAAAUGUGGGGGUAGCGCGGAAAACUUUGAAUCCAUUAUUCAUAAACCUUAAAUCUCUAGACUCACUAGCCUUAGGGUUUUCAGUGGUGGUUAUUCCAGUCCUAGGGUUUUUUGCUUGCCCUAUAGACUUGCAUUUGUGAUAAGAGGGGAAAUACUCUCUAAGCUUACUAGAAUCAAUGUCUAAAUCAGUUAGAGGUCCAGAUAAUGCAUGAUUCUUUCCAGAAACAGAAACGGGAAUAAGUACUUGAGAAGGAUAGAUUCUGCGUUGUUCCUUCAUUUUGGGCUAUGAUAUGUAUUGUUGAUUUCCUACCGUUAGUGGAGCUGACAAUGUAGUGAAAGGACGAAGCCCUGAUAUCUUCUUGGGAGAUUUUGUUUUGGUAGUUGUGGUCUUGAUGGCUACGCUGACUUCUUUAGGAGCUUUGCUUGAAGUUGCCAUUUCUGUUGGAGAUUGAAAGAGAGAAAUCUUGGUUUUUUGGUUGAAGAUUGUUUGAAGAGAAAAAGCUAGAGCGUUUGGGAGUUCAGAAAGCGUAAAGUGUGAAAUGGGUAAGUUUGUGGGUUUUAUAGGCGUGCUUGGAAGAGAAAACAUUUCAAAUCAGCAUUAAUGGUUGACAAGUUAGUGGGACACGUGUCUUCCUUUGGCAGUGUGACGGGGAUGUUAAUUAAUGUCUGGACCCAUGAUUUCCUAGAGUCUAGGAAACGUGAUGAGUGAAAAUAUUCGGUUGUGGAAUGAAGAGACGUGGUUAGGGAAAAUGUAAUGAUGACUCUGACAUUACCAGACAGUUGGAGAAACUUAAAAGUUUUGCAACAUUGGAACAGUUGGCACAAUGUCAGAGUUGUUAAGGCAUCAAAGUGUGGUCUCAAAAAAUGUAUUUUUCUCUCAUAUGUCGAAAAUAACAUUUUUGGGGGCCAAUUUGUUAGCUCAUAAUUUCGACGCCCACUAAUGAAUUACCAAAAGGGAAAUCCUAUGUAGGGAUGUUUAGACUAGGAGGAGAUGUUCGACCAGGUAAAGGUGUUUCGAAUGGAUAAAGUUAAUAAGAGUCAGCGUGCAGUUGGGACUUCAGAAAUAUUUUUUAAAAUGGUUGAAAAUGGUUUUCGAUUGAAGAUUCCAAAUUCAAAUAAAGGAGGGAACUUUGCUCUUUCUGAAACUGUUGAAGGUACAUGUGGGGCAUAAUGGAUAGGUACAUCCAUGCAAGGUACCAUGUGUCUCGACGUGAUUGAAGGACCGUUAGAAACACUUAUUUUGAUUAAGUAUAAAUAAAGGGUAUUAGUGUUAGGAUCAAGUGUGUGUAUCAAAUUGUGUACAGAGUCUGUAAUUUACCAAGUACCCGUGUGAAGAGGAACCAUAAAUUAAAGAAUGUACGUUUGUUUACACCAUUGUUAGUUAUUUUAAAGCAAUACAAUUCAUCUUUAUUUUUCUUCAAGUAAUACAUUUCUUUACUUCUUUAUUUCAAACAGUCUCCUAUUACUUUGUUAUUUCAAACAGUCUUAAUAUUUAUUUGUUUCAAACACUUACCGUUGCCACUUGGUUAUCAUCAUAGUCUUUUACAAUUUUUCUCCUUAAUUCAUAUUAUCUUUUUACCGUAAGUUUUAAUCCCUAGUAUUACUAAUACUGUCGAAGUGUUCAUGAUUACUAAAAUUCAUUUUAAAAACAGUUAGCACAUUUCCUAGGAUCAAUCUGAUUGAUCCUGUGAGUUGCCAAAUUUAGAAAUUUGGAAGAUCAGCGGUUGUUUACUAAUUUUCAAGGUAAACAACUACAUAUCUUUUGUUAUGCACCAUAACAGUGGCGUUAUAUAUGGGAAUCUCGUCUCUGGGUUCUCGCUUACAUGCCAGAUUUCUCUAAUCCUUCUUGUUGCAUAAUCACAACCGCUAUAUUAACCCAUUUGAUUGUAUAUAUUUUACAACUAUAAGGAACGGUAGGCUACAAAUCGGCCUAAACCAUAAUUCAUCUGAACACCAUUCCUUCACAUGAUGUCUGUUCAUCAUUCCCGACACUUCAAAACAUUGAUUCAAAAGUCCUCACCCCCAUGUUUGAAAUCCACUUCCUUCGCCAAAAAAAUAGGUAUUCCCAUUCUUGUGACUUCUUUAACGGCAUCCUCUCACAAGAUCUCGAUCCCUCAACCAGUUGACAUGGGACAUUUAUGGUCUUUUCUUUAUCAUAAUCUCUUCAACAAUUUCUUGGUUACACUUGAAAGAACCUCCACCUCCUCCGCAAUUGUAAUUUUCAGGGCCAAAUAUGUCUCAGAAACUCCAACGACUCUAGGAUGCACUCAAGAUGCAAGGUGCACGAACUUGUUAUGAUUAUCUAUAAAAGUAGACUGGAAAUCAACUAUGGGCACCACAAUACGGUUAUCCCGAACAUUGGGUAGGACAUAAGGCAUGAAGUUAACAGUGAUAUAUGAGAACAUAAUUCCCCACCACAACAGCCAACCAAGCACUAAGGGAAUCCAAUGCAGAUAAAUUCAUUAGAAAAGAGAUACAUAUGAGUUAAUAAAUCAACAUCUUGGUCUUUUUCAUUACAUACUUUUAUCAAUCUAUGUAAAAUCUUACUAUGUAAUCCUUUAACUCAGAGAAAAUAAAUGAAUUAUUCACCAGAAUUCUUUCCUUUAUCAUUAUGCAUAAAACCUGGUUCGCCAUCGAUCAUCAUAGAGCUUAAGCUAAAGGUGGAAAAUGGGUGAAUUCAUUAACAUCAUGAGUGUAUGACUUAAGCAGUCGACACCCAAUGACAAGAAUAUUCGACAAGUGACUUCGAGCACAAGAGAUGGGUGAAUUGUAGUAUUCAAGAUUUGCGAUUAAUUUAGGUUUUGUUACUUUGAAAAUAAAUUGUGUUAGUAUUCUAUGAGAUCAUAGAAAAAUGAGAGAUAAAAAUGGUAAAGUAAAUUACUUUGCGAUUAAUGAACAACGGGAAGAUAAAAACAGUAAAGUAAAUUACAGAAAAUGAGAGAUAAGGGUUUAGAGAGAUGACACUAGUGAUUUGUCCAAAUUCGACUAAACAUUGGCCUACUCCUGUCCCCAAGAUGUAUUCUUGAGAUUUUGACUAUAACUUUGAUCUUUUAUAGGUUAUGACCAUGAACCUUGAUACAAGCUAAUCUUCAUAUUUUACAAAGGUUUAUCCCCAACCAAAAUCAAAACUUUUACCCAAGCUAAGCUAACAAAUCGACUAAAGAUUUUACAAGCUAAUCUCAAGAACCAAACAAAGUGUUUUUUCGGAAAAGUUCUAAAAACCAAACAUAAAUUUUAAGACUGGUUUAUCUCAGGAAUCAAACUCGAUUUCUUCAAGAAUAUCAUACCCUUGAGAAUUAUAACAACAACACAACAACAAUACAAUUUCUUCCUCACAAGUAACAUUUCACUCAAAGACACUAAGGCAGUUUAAGUGAGAUAUAAAUUCUUUUUAGAGAGAGAGAUAAGUUCCAAAUAAAAUAUAGAACUUCAAAGAUUUUGUGUGAAAUGAGGAGGAUAAGAACCUCCUUUAUAUAGGAGUUGGAAAGCUAAAAAAAGAAAACGAUCCCUGGGAAAUUUUACUGAUCUAAUCAAUUGAAUUAGAAAGAUAAUCAAUUAUUCUGAACCAUUUGGAAAGUUUAGGUAGAUAUUUGUUACCAACCAUUAAUACAUUAUCACAUUAGAUUAUACAAUUUAUUAGGCUUCCUCCAAUCCACUAGCUUAAGGAUCUAAUCGAUUGGGUAGUUCAAAAAAUUCUUCAAAAUGAAGUUGAUAGUUUCUUAAUUAGAUGGCUUGGGUUUGAAAGCAAUUUUAAGAGAUUUGAUGGUUAAAAACAUAUUUAACAUAGGUUUUAAGUAUGUGUGUAAGUUGCUUUAGUAUCUUAGAAGUUACUCACAGACUUUCACAAAACGACGGCGUCACACCCCAAUUUUGACCCUGAAUCGUCGAAUCAAUACAUACAUCAUAGUUUUCGCAUCUCUGCAUAUCAUAGCAUGCAUAUCAUACCACAUAAUGCCUAGAAUGUUAGUCAAAAUAAAUUUUUGGAUCUACAGAGAGACCGGUCAAAUCAAUUUUCAAAUGUGUGUCAAAUUAGCGUAGUUUAACCUGAUGUGUUUGUUUUAUUUUUCGGCUACCUUUUCAGUCAUAUUUUGAUCCACGUGACCCUUUUAACCGAGCAUUUUCAACUUCAAAAUCUAACAAAAACCUGUAUGUUUCCAGGAAGUUUAUUUUGCGUCGGUCAUUUUAGUGCAUUCAGUUUAAUUUUUUAUGCACUUUUGCACUCGAUUUUUACUCAUUUUAGUCAUUUUAUUUUUAUUUUUUGGUCAAAAUAUUCAGAAGAAUUUUUCACAUCUUCAUUUUAUUUCUAUUGUAUUUAUUUAAGAAGGUGUGAAUUUUAGUCAUUUUAAUUGAUUUAAUCUAAUUUAAAUUAAUUAAAGGUUUUAGAAGGGGCAACUUUGGCAUUUUAAGUUAUCUUCUCUUCUUUGAUUUAAUCUGGAUCAUCGAUUCAAAUUAAUUGAAUGGCCAUAUUAGUUAUCCAUGUGCCUUUUUGUCAUUCAAUCAUAAAAUAGAAUUAAAUAUAUAGAUUAAUAGAGAAAAUCAGAAAAUAAAAUAUCUCUCCCUACAUCAAGGACAUGCCACAUGUCCUUAGCUAGUUAGAGACUUUUUUGUCAUAAUUCCCCCUUUCAUUGGCUGAUUAAAUAAAAGUAAAAGACUUCGUCAAUCACAAGGAGCCAUGUGUCCCUAAUGAUAAGAGGAAAUUUUGGUUUUUGCUAUGAUAACAUUGCCAAACAGAGCUCAACUAAAGGAAAAAGUCAUUUUUUUCUCCCUCACGCGGAGGAAUUCUUUCUUAGACUCUCAGAUCUCUUUUCACAAAGACUUUUUCUCUGCAUUUUUCUCCUCUUCUUCUUCAAGAGUUUUCACAACCCCACAUCCCUUGUCUCUCCCAUAUCACCAUAACCAUCUCCGUCCUUUUCUUCUUCGAUCCAUUAACCCACUCACCGCCCUUCAUAAAAAACCCAGCUCCACACCAUCGAAACCGUCGACAACCCUUCUCAACACUCAAAGAAACCACCUCUCACUCAACUGAAUCUCUUCCCUCUGCCACCAUCAAAACUCAACCAAACCUCCCCUACAUUCACCAUCAUCAUCCCCAUCUCCGUUUACUUCCACCAUCACCGUAAACUGAUUCGACACCACCACGCAUAACUGACGAAACAACCAAACAACUCUUCCGCCUUUACCAGUCACACCGCCGUUUGAAAUCAUGAAGAAUAAUAGAGAGGAAAGUUUGAGUUUGUUUAGAAAGCUUGAAGAAUUUUUUGUUAUGUACAUUGUUCGUGUGUGAUUUUCAAUUGUAAUCUUGGUUCAACUUUAUGCACUUAAGGUUGAUUGUAUUUUCUUUCUUAAUCACUUUUUGAGUUGCAUCAAUUUGAAGAAGUUGUUGUGAUGAANNNNNNNNNNNNNNNNNNNNNNNNNNNNNNNNNNNNNNNNNNNNNNNNNNNNNNNNNNNNNNNNNNNNNNNNNNNNNNNNNNNNNNNNNNNNNNNNNNNNNNNNNNNNNNNNNNNNNNNNNNNNNNNNNNNNNNNNNNNNNNNNNNNNNNNNNNNNNNNNNNNNNNNNNNNNNNNNNNNNNNNNNNNNNNNNNNNNNNNNNNNNNNNNNNNNNNNNNNNNNNNNNNNNNNNNNNNNNNNNNNNNNNNNNNNNNNNNNNNNNNNNNNNNNNNNNNNNNNNNNNNNNNNNNNNNNNNNNNNNNNNNNNNNNNNNNNNNNNNNNNNNNNNNNNNNNNNNNNNNNNNNNNNNNNNNNNNNNNNNNNNNNNNNNNNNNNNNNNNNNNNNNNNNNNNNNNNNNNNNNNNNNNNNNNNNNNNNNNNNNNNNNNNNNNNNGUUAUUUUCUAUUUGUUUUUUGUUUGUUUGUUGAUUGAUUUUAUCGCGAUCGUUUUCUGUGUUUAUGCGCUUUUAUCAAUAUAUUAUUGUUUUCUUGUGUUAUACUUUGCAUACACGUUAUUUGGCCCCCACGCAUAUCCUAACUUUGGCAUAGUAUUUGAAUUUUGCAAGGCAUUUCUGAUUUUCGCUUAUUUUUUGAAUUCGCUAGGGGUUACUAAACCAGGUUGUACCGUUUUCAUUCCUUUGAUCGUUUCCCUUUCCAUUUUGCAAUUGUUGGUUUCACUUUAGAUUUCUUCAUUCUAUAACCAACCCAUGAUCCAUGUUGCGUUUAGAUGAAUUUGAUCAUAUUCCAUUUCCUUGUGUGGUUAUUGAAUGUUCCAUCUCGCUCAUGAUCUUAUUCCAUGCAUGUAUUUUUUUUUCUUCUUUCAAUUAAUUAGAUGAAUGUGAUGUUAAAUUAGUGGUGUGUUACUUCUCCUAAUUUUUUGCUUUUUAAUGUCUCUUGGGGGGCCUUCUUACAAUAGACUCUUUUUGCACAGACACCACUUGCUUGCGUUUGUUUAAUUAGGUUUUACUUUAAUUGUUUCAUUAUUUCAUAUUCCCAUUAGACAAAUGUACCCCCACUCCCAUGACGUGUAAUAAAUUUAUCGCUUUAUUUUUUAUUGCUUUGUUAAGUUAGUUUCUAACACAAGAAUAAAAUCAACUAUUUAAAAAAAAAAGAACAAAAAUAAAAACUCAAUCCAACAUCGAGUACUUUUCUUAAAGACCAAACCAUUCAACCAUUUCAAACCCUUCUCUUCGAUCCAUUUCUAACAUUCCCAAUUUCUCAAACUUUUCAUCUUAAACCAUUUUCAACUCUCAUACUAUUUGGCCAAACCUUUUCACAAUCGCUAAUCAAAUUCUUGAUCCAACGUCAAGCCAUUUUCACAAUGAAAAUAAAAAAAACGUAAUUAUUGUUAAACACUUCUCAAUAAAUAUGGAAACGGAACAUGGUGGAUACCACAAGCUCUUGAGACUAAUAUUUGAGACAGAUAUCUCGCCCAUCCUAGCUUUUGUCAUCCUUCAAAAUUAUCAAUGCGGCUUCUUCAAAACCUUUUCUCAAACAAAUUUCAAAAAACACCUAAAAUAUCAAACCUUUUGCAAAUAAGAUGAAAAUGGAAUAUGGUGGAUAUCACGAGCUCCUGAGGCUAGGAUUCGAGAUGGAUAUCCCGCCCAUUCAAGUUCUUGCCAUUACUCAAAACACAUUCAAACCAAUCAAACUCUUUUCUCACUUCCUUGCAAUUGAUCCUCUAACCCUUUUUCUCAAAUGAAAGUUACAUUGUCUCAAGAUGAUGCAAAAAUAAUGUUUUGUCCACUUGAACGUGUGAGUAAGAUUGCAACAUUACACAAGAAUGUUAAUUUAUUAACCCAGUUCGGUGCAACUUCACCUACAUCUAGGGGCAUCCAAGCCAGGAAGGAAGUCCAUUAUAACAAUAUUGGUUUGAAGUUCUAAACAACCUCUAGUUUUACAAACUUCUUACCUAAUCACUACCAGUGGAAUUUCUAUCUAAGAGUCUCCUAGAUAUGAGACCCAUCUCACUUCCCUUCAAUCAUACAACAAUGAUAACAACUGAAAAACAAUCAAAGAAUAGAAGACACGUUUCUAAUGAAACAAAAUGCACUCUUGCUUAAAAGCUCAUGAGUGAUUCAUAAUUACAACUCAAUAAAACAAGUCCAAUUCAAGUACCAAAGAGAUAUUAGAAUGCUUCACAAAUGACAAUGAUAACUAAACCCUAACAAUGACAAUUUACAGUGCAACUUUGCUAUCUUCUUAGGUUUAGAAUUGUCCUUUAAAUAUCCCUAGAAAGAGCAUGGGCUUCGUGCUUGAUCAAUGGCAGAUCCAAGGACUGCUCCACAAUCUUCUGCAGAAUCAAAUCCAUUCAUAUCAAAAGUUCCAUAAAAUUUUUGACAUCUGCACAAAAUUCUACAUAAUCAAAUCCAAUCAUAUCAGUAGUUUCUAUAAAUGUUUUGACAUCUGCACAACCUUCUGUAGAAACAAAUCAUAUCAUAAGUUUCUGUAAAUAUUUUGACAUUUGCACAAUCUUCUGUAGAAACAAAUCAUAUCAGAAGUUUAUGUAAAUGAUUUCUUCAGAAACAAGGCAAAGAACAACCUAUCAUUUUCUUCUAAAAAAUGUUUCUUGGAUGACUCAAUACGUGAAACACAACUACAAAGAAUCUUCAAAAGUUUCCAUAAAUCUCGAGAGACACUUCAGAAGUUUCCGUAAAUCAUCAGAGAAACUGAAACAGGGCUCGCUACGAUGUCGUACCAACAAGUCACGACAUCUUUCCUAACAUCUUUGUUUUCCCAAAAUGCAGCCAAUCAUAGUACACCAUACCUAACAAUCUGUUCCUUUGGAAAAUUUUGGCUUAAACAACCUUUGCAUCAUAUAGCUGGAGAAGAGAUAAAACACGGCAGUAGCAAACACAAUCACAAAAAAAACCACACUAACUUGGUAUACCACCAAGAUAAAAUAGAGGCACACGCAACAGAAAUAUAGAGACCCAGCCUAAAAAAAACACACAAAGACAGGAUUCUCUAAAACAAAAUGUUAGGACAUUCUGCAUGACACCAUACUCCCCUUGAAUGGAAUGAUCAAAUAUUACUCCCCCUGUCACACAUAACCCAUACUCCCCUCAAUGAAACAACUGAAACACUUCACACAUAAGGCAAACAACACACAGAUACAUACAUGCGCUACUCCCCCUUUUUAGCUAGAAUAUUGACAAACCGAGUAGACAUUUAUCAAAACCAGAAUCAACAACCAAAAAAUGGGUUAGGGGUACAGAACAGAGCACAUAAGGGUGGCAAAAAAAUCCAAGGAAAAUCAUACAAAUUCAAUAAAACAAUAGAAGAAAACCAACAAUUCAGAUGUCAGCAGAGGCAUUUGUGUCAUCUUCAUAGUUAUCACUAACAACAACAUCCUCUUCUUCAUUAUCUCCUUAUUCAACAUCAUCAGUCACAUGAUCAUCAGGACCCUCUAAAUCCAAAGGUUUUAUCAGUCUUUUAAGUGUGAUCUUCUUUUCAGUGUAGGUCUCAUAGUAACAUCCAAUGCUUUGACGUAUCUUUCAAUUCAACAAUCAAACCAGCCUUGGAGGUUGAACUGGAAGACUCUUUUCCAGAUGUCAAGACAAUAUUUGGGACAUGAGUCCCUUUAAAUAACCUGUAAUGAAGAGAAAGAGGAGAUUCCAUCUUGCUAGCAGAAUCAGAGCUAUUCAGAAUACCUGGAUGUUGAUUGAUAGUAACUCCAUAUAUAAGAGAAGGAAAUGCAAUGGGCAUUUUCACAGCACAUGUACCAAUAUGCUUCAAAGUUUGUUCAAAAACAUAAGCUUCAAAAUCAAAGUUGGUUUUUGUUCCAAUAACAUAGAUGAACUUCCCCACCCAUGUGGCAAUGGUUGAUGUAUGAUUGGUGGGGACCAAGUUAGAAGCUCCAAUCUUGUGAAGGAUAGAAUACUUCACACUUAAUUUGUUGGAUGACCGCUUUCGCUUUCUAGGCCAUUGUAGUACCUGUUUUGCAGUAAUUUCUUUGCAAACCAAGUUGUCAGUCACCUCUAUCUCAACCUGUUCAUCUUCACAUCUUCCCAUGUAUCUAUUAAUCACAUCAGGUGAAAAUUGCACACAUUUUCCUCUUACAAAUACUUUUCUGAAAUCCUUGUUUUUCUUGUUGUCACAAACUGCAGGGAUGUUUACAAUAAACUCCUUAACAAGUACUUCAUAGAAUUUUCCAAAACCUGUGACACUUUUCAUCAAACCAGCAUGUUCAAUGAGCUUCAUAACUUUGUUGCAUUCAAGUGCAUCCUUUCCAAGUUCCCUCUCCAGAGCUAGCCUUCUCUGGUAAAUAAACUUCCAUCUCUCAACAUUUUCAACAGAAUGGAAUGAGAUAUUAUCUAAAGGUACCUCAGGAACAUUCACAAGUAUCUUCUUCAGAACUGAAGUGAUGUCCUAAACAUCAUGUUCAACACGAAAAUCAGACUCACUUGAGGAGACCUUAUUCCUCUUCCUAUUAGCAGUCACUUUUCUUCAGAUUUUGGUGGAACCUAUACCAACAUGCUUCUUGGCAGCCUUAGAGGGCAUGCCUUCAGUCAUCACAACCUUGCCUAUUCUACUCUUCAGCCUCUUGGCAAUGUCAGGGGCCAUAUUCUUAGCAAUGGUCUCUUCAUCAGAGUCUAACUCAUUAACAUUAACAAUGACAUUGGAUUUUUCUUUCCUUCCAUCUAGAUUUUCCUCAUCAUCAGACACAUCUUGCUUCUCCUUAGCAUUCACAGACAUAGGGUCAUCAAUAGACACAACUUUAUUAGACUCAGUAGAGAUGGAGUCACUAUCACAACAAUCAUUAGAUGUUUCUGGGGUGGUUUCAGCUGGGUGAUUAGCAUGGGCCAAGGAUGUUGUAAAAUCCGGCACAUCAAUAGUCCUAACUUCCUUCAGAACACUGGAAACUAACAUACGAAUAAUUCUAUCAAUGGAAAUUUUUUCAGCAUCAUUCAAAUUAGGGUUUACCUUUUUUGAAGCAGAUGAACCAGAGGGCUCCACUCUACUAACCAGUUUUGAACAGAUAGACUCUUUAGCAGAAACAUUAGUAGAUUUAAUAGGUACAAGACAGAGGCAUGUUCUUUCUUUACAGACGGAGGUCUCAUCUUGUUUUGAAGAGAGACAUGACAUGGAACCAUUGAUAAAGAAACUACAUCAAGGACCACCUGUAAGGAGUCGAUCGUUGGAGUAGAGGAAGCAACCCUAGCUUUCAUAGGGCGGGAAGCUGAGUGAUCCUUUGAGAUGUUGAUGGGUGUUGAAACAGAUUGUUUCGACAUCUUGAAAGUUAUUUGGAGAAUAGUUUUGAGAUGGAAAGAAGAAAGUACAAAGAUGAGGAUUUUUCUAAGAAUGGCGUGAAUAGAAUCUCCAAGGUAGAUGGUAAUUAGUUGGUAGCGAGUAGGUAGGCAAAUAAUGAAGGUUUGAAAUGAUUUUCUUGGAGAAGUGUGCACCACUGACUGGACAAAAAAGAAAGUUUUUAUUGCAUGCUUUAAAACCAUUAAUUUCUAUAAUUCCUCAAAAAUGAAAAUUCCCAAUUCACCCCUUAGUUUUUCAAAUUGAUUCGUGUCCAAUGCCUCAGUGGAAAUAUCAUCCAGUUGCUUCUCAGUGGCCACAUGCUCAAGGGUAACAACCCUGUCUUCAACAAGAUCCCAAAUAAAAUGAUGACGAAUAUCAAUAUGUUGUGUCCUGUUAUGUUGAAUGGAAUUCUUGGAUAUAUUGAUUGCACUCAGAUUUUCAUAAUAUAAUAUCAUGACAUCCUGCUUGACAUUAUACUCGUUUAGCUUUUGUUUCAUCCAAAUCAAUUGAGAGCAACUGCUUCCUGGUGCAAUAUACUCAACUUCAGUAGUAGACAGGGACACACAAUUUUUCUUCUUGUUGAACCAAGAUAUAAGAUUAUUUACCAAUAAGAAGCAUCCUUCAGAAGUAUUUUUUCUCUCAUCAACAUUAAUUCAGAAUUCAUUAGUCAAGGCCUUCUUCACAUUUUUAGGUUCAAACUUUGAGAUAAAACAAGCAUUGGAUAUCACAUAUCUAGAUCUAUUGGUGAUCCCUUCAUUAAGAUUUCCAAUAAUGAGUUCCUUUGGAUGAUCUUUCUGUUUUGUGAUAGAGGGACCUUUGUUGGAUUGAGGGUUAUCUGAUUCAGUCCUUGCUGGCUCAAUGUAGGACUCAAUGUCUUCCACAUUUUUUGAAGCAUCAGUUUACUAAGAUAAUGUUCUAACAUCUUCAUCGACAUGAGUACCUUUUACAAUAAUUGAAUCAUCAACCACAACAUUAAUGGAUUCCAUCAUGCCCUUGGUUCUGGAGUUAAAUACCAUGUAAGCCAGGUUGUUUAUAGAGUAACCAAGAGAUAUCCCUUUGAGAUUCAGAUGUCCAAGCUUCUGGUGCCACAACUUGACUUCAUCUUCCUUGGACAUUAUGCAUGUGGAAGAAAAGGUUGUUUCUUGUGGUAUCCAUAAGUAACAAUUGUCCUUACAUCUGAAUCCCCUCAUCAGAACUUCAUUCUUUUCAUUAGUGACCAAACAUUCAGACUUAGUGAAAUUAACUUUAAGACCUUGAUCACAUAACUGACCAAUACUAAUCAGAUUAGCAGACAGACCUUUUACCAAUAGAAUAUCAUUAAGACUCGGGAGUCCUAUACAAGCUAGUCUUCCAACUCCUUUAAUUUCACCUUUAGCCCCAUCACCAAAAGUGACAUCACCGGUGGAGUAAGACUUGAUGUCCACCAAGAGCUUCUUGACCCCUAUCAUAUGUCUAGAGCAUUGUCAUACCCCCAAAUUCACCAUACCUACAUAUCAUCUUCGUAACCCUAAUGCAUUAGCAUAUAUUCAUCAUCCCAUCAUCUCAUUUACAUUUACACUUAUAAUAAGAAAGCAUAAACUCAAGGUAUGGUGUUCAUAUCUGAGGACCACCAAAAUAUUUUGAUCAUGAUGGGGUGUGACCAAGCCACCCUAAACCCUAAUUGCUUAUUCAAGCACUCCUUGACCUUGGGGGACUACACAAGUCACUCCAGUCACCUCUAAAACCAUAAUUUGGUUGGUGAGCCUUGGUUAAAAGCUUGGCUUGUUCAUCUGGUCAUCCAUGGACCUCAACCCUAAUACUUUGAUCCAUUGUGGUUUGUACAAGUCAUAAUUUGACUUUGUGCUUUGACCUUGACUUUGAGGAAACACUAAUAUACAAACAUUGAUCAUGCAUCAACCUUGCAAAACUACUAUAAGACACCUCUUGCACCCCAAACCCUAGUUUGUUUGACCUUGGCCUUUAAGGAACCUUUUGGGCAAGGAAACCCUAAUUUGUGCCCCAUUUUCUUCUAUUCCUUGCCUUUUCACUUGACCACCCUAUCAUUCUUUGGUCCAUUGACAUCCAAUUCAAUCCAAUUUCAAUUCUCAUUCAUCAAACAUCCAUCCACUUCAUCCAUACUUGGCAAUACAAGUGAGGGUUUUGUUUUGAACUUGAAGCUUUUGAACGAUUGGUUUCUACCAUAAGCAUGUCCCAUAAUCAUCUAUCAAAGCAUCAAGGCUUGGUAUCUAUCAAGGUUUACUCAUUUGAGCUUCAAAAAUCAUCAUGGUGCCUUGGAAUUCAGGAAAACAUCAAAGUUUCAUUUUAGGGCAUGUUGGUUGGUCAAGUUUUGGCAAGUUUGGCCUAUUAUUUGGUCCAAACCCCAUAAAGUUUUCAUAUUUUAACCUUUUAAGUAUCUACUUUGAGCCAAAUGUCCUAAAUGAAUCCCUCUCUAAGUUUGUAUGAAGAUCCAAGAACUAAUUCAAUGCAUAAGGACCUCAAAAUAUGGAUUGGCCAAGCUCUCUAGUCAAGCCUAAAAUCAUGUUCAUGACCUCCACUUUACACCAAUGCCAUUCCCACUUCACAACUCCUUUUGACCUGCUUCUUUUUGCAACAUGUUAAGGGUAUGACAAAGUUCAUUUGGCCUAAUUUUUACUCAAAAUGCACGAGCGAAUUUUAAUUGGCCCAAGUGAAAAGUUCAUGACACACCAUGUUGCACAUAUGUCAGACCAGAUCAGCCAAAAUGCGCCAAACCAUGCACCAAGUCAUUAAUCCAUGUUGUUUCACUCCCAUUUGAACCAAGGCAUGUGAUGUAACAAUUUGUGACAUCAAUUUCAAGCCAAAUAAGAUUGGAAAUCAUAUGAGCAAGCCAAAACCGAAGUCAAAAAGCAACAUUGCCAAAAAUGGAAACAAGACAAAACACCUCAACACAUGUUGGGACCACCUUUGUCUCACCUAAAGCGUGUUGUCUGCAUAACAAAUUAGAUGGAAGAGAAUUACAGGGCAAAGAUGGACCACCCUUAGCCAAAAAGUUUGUCUUUUUGUCAUUUUUCAGGUUCAAGUGAAAUCAGACUUCUCAACCCUAAAACUCCAAACAAAUCAUUCCCUCACCUUCCCUAUAAAUAGGGGGUGUUUCUCCCUUAAUUUUCCAAGCUUCCAAGCCAUUGAAACUCUACAGGAAACUCACCCCUUUCCCUUCAAAAAUAGAGUAAUAGAUUUCCAUCUUUGAGUCCUUUCCAGUACAACUAAAACACCCAAGCACAUUCACCUAACAUCUCUGAAGGUAAUUGGAACCUUGGUAGUGUUUGAAGCAACCUCACAUGAGCUAUUCAAAUCCAUCGGAACCACCAACUGAAACUGAUUCCAACAAGGUAGUUAAUAGUUUCAUUUCCAUCCAAACAAGUUACCACUCCACUCCUUAUGAUCCGCUGAUGCUAAGCCCCAAUAUUUGAGCUUCAAUCAUUGAACAACGCCAUUUUAUUUUAUUUUUAUGGUUGAGGUUUCAUUCGUGUUCAUGUGAAAUACUCCAUACUCAGAACCAAUCAUUGGAUCAUAAGUAUGGAGAAGGCAACGAUGAUCCAAGUUUGAGUGGAAUCCAUGUUUGAUUCCAUAAAAACCAUUAAGUUAGAGAGGUUCAAAUUUCAAAAAUUCCAAGGAUGAAGACGAUGUUUGAUCGUUGCUUCGCGCGUGUUCUUUGUGGUUAAAUUCAAAUAAUUAUGUUGUCACAUUUUCAUUGGUUGUUUUGUUUGACCCUGCCUCUGUGUGUGUGUGUGUGUGUGUGUGUGUGUUUAUGUAUGUGUGUGUGUGGGUGUGUGUGUGUGCGCCUCAAGUCAAUGCGCGCGUGUGUGCCUCAUGAUCAUAACCCUUCAUUUUGCUUACUUUUAUUAAUGAGUCAGAUCCAAGGGUUGGGUUUGGCCCAUUUGUUAUUUUUGAUUGGAGUUUAUUAUUUAUUUUUAUUAAGCAUGCUUAUUAACACCAAGAGCACUUGACUCAGUGGUAAGGGGGUUGACAAUUAAUGAGUCAGAUCCAAGGGUUGGGUUUGGCCCAUUUGUUAUUUUUGAUUGGAGUUUAUUAUUUAUUUUUAUUAAGCAUGCUUAUUAACACCAAGAGCACUUGACUCAGUGGUAAGGGGGUUGACCUAUGACCCUAAGGUCAGGGGUUCAACCCCCAACGCCCCCAUUGUUCUUUUUUAUUCUUUUACCUUUUAUUUCUUAUUUUCAUUUUAUUUUUCUUUCCAUUUUAAUUCUUGUUAUUUUCUCAUUUAUUUCUUUUAAACCCAAUAUGUUUGUAAAUACACUUCAUCAAAAUAUUGUGUUUUAUUUUAUCCAUUAUUUUUUUAUCACUUUAAUUGGACAUUUUUACCCUUUGUGUUUGAUUAUUGGUUGAAGAAGUUCUAUUUGGUCAUGGUAAUUGGUCUUAGGGUUGACUUAAUCUUCAACACUUCAAACAUGUUAAUGAAUGAUCAAUGGAUCAUUCAUGACACUUUGACGUGUUGAUAGAUUGCCCCUAUUUAAUCAUGUUUGAACCAUUUGAUGCAUAUAUGAGACCUCUACUUACUUGAGCCUUAUUUGUUGAUUCUAUUUGAUUGUGUUGUGUCCAUUGACCACUAACCAUUAACACUUGGACUUGAAUGUUUAUCUUGUACAUUGUUUGACCUUUAAACUUGUAAUUAUUUGGGUGAUACACUCUUCCACUCUUGAAAUCAUUGAUAGAUGGACUUGAGGUUGUAUAACCUUCUUUGAUUCAUAUCUAUUUAUAGAUGAUCAUGGAUCAUGUUUAAUACUUUGCAUAAAUGACAAAUUAUCCCUCAAUGUGCCAUAUUUUGAGUCCUUUGACUUGUGGAUUGAUAAUCCCUAUGUAGUUUACCUUGUGCCAUUUGAUUACUCACCACUAACUAUUCAUCACUAACCAUUGAUAUUGUUGACAUAAUUUAUCAUCUUGUGAUUUAUUUUGUUUUCCACUUAUUGUAUUGUCAUUCACUUUAAAGCUCCCAUCAUCAUACUUAUUAUCAUUAUAUAUAAACUCUCAUGCACCUUUAUCAAUUGUCAUUUACUUAUUGCCAUUGCAUAAUCAAAAACAACAAAAACAUGGUAAAAUCAAAAGAUAAAAAGAAUGCAUUCAUCUGUGAUUAUUGUGGGACUUUGAGGAUUUAAUUAGGACCCUUGCAUGUGGACCUUUCCCUAAUUCUUGAUCCAAUGCACUAGUUUGGAUUUUCAUCUGUAACUUGCGAUCUUUUAUUGCAAGAUUGACAUUCAUAGAACUACCCUAGGGAGACAUGCUUUUAAGUCCAUUAUCCACCUUUUAGCAUAAGUCACUUUGCACACACAAGGCUUUCUCUUGGGCUACCUAACAACGAGACCCUUUAUUUAUCGCAUUUGUUAUCUUGUAAAUAUCCAUGUAUGUCACCAUUCAAAAAUCAAUAAGAAAUAAACCCUUGAUCCAACAUCAAGUGGAAUUUUAGUAAUCAAACUAAAAAAUAUAAUAAAAAUACAAUUAUAAUUGUAUGCCACGAGCCUUAAGUGGUAAGGAAUGAGUAUGUAGAGCUUUCAUACCCUUCCUUUGAGUAUUUUGGACACAAGACGCUUGGUUUGUUUUUUUGAAAUAUUCACCUCCACCCAUAGUCUUUAGUGCAAUUCUAACCAAAAACAUUUCUUUUCAAAAAAACCUAAAAACAACAUCAACUCAUCAAACCUUAUUUUUGCGCCUUAGGGCAUCACUCCGAAAACCCUUUUUCAAGGUAAAAUCAACCAACACACAAACAUUUUCUACUCCGAACUACGGAGCUAUGAUUCUUUAUCCCUUGAUGAAUGAUACGUAGGCACAAGAGCCCCAAUCCUUGGCGAGCACAAUAAUAAAAAAACCAAAAUCUCAUUCUUUCCCCCUUUUUUCCUAAUAAUAAAGAUAAAACUUAAAGAUAAAUACCUAUGCAUGUUAGACAACUUAAAUGGUUCCCAUGGAGUACCAUGGACAUGUGGGGUGCUAAUACUUUCCCUUUGCGUAAUCGACUUCAUAACCCAUAUUUGGUUGUGAGACCAAUCCUUAUCCAUAUAUUAUUUUCUUUUAAGGGUUUUAUCGGCGAUUUCCCCUUUCCUCUCUAGGAAUAAAUAAAACCCGGUGGCGACUCUGUGUCAUUUCUUUUGACGUAAUGGUCAGUUUUUUGCGGUAGAGACAAGCAUCCACUGUCAAAGUACCAGUAUUCUCUAGCUAAAGCUCUAAGAGAGGUGUGAGCUAUAAGACUAGUGAUGACAGGCUUGGGUAUCCACUCCCUUCUGGUUUUAAUCACCACUUGAUUAACCAUAGGUUGUGUUGGAUGCAUUGGAUAGCCAUACAAUUUGAAGCAGAAGGGCUUUAUUUGACUAAAUUCUCCACAUUAAUGACAUCUCCAGCGUAAUAGCUUGCCUCCAAUUUGAGUAUUAUGAUGUUUGGCACGAUGUUGAGGCAGAUGAUUAGACAUCAUUGGCAUAGGCUCCUUUUUUGGAGGAACAAAUUUUGUCACAAAGGUUUUUCCUUGUUUAUUUUGAUAUUGGUAAUUAAAACCUAUACCUUUUAAGUUUCCAGCCCCUUUUCCAACUUGAAGAAUUUCAUCUAGCAUAUCAGACCCGUUGUUCAACAUUCUUAUGGGUUUGAUCAUGUUUUUAAGUUUAGAAGAUAAUACAUUUACCUUAUUUUCAAGAUCAAUGACAGUAGAUAAAAAUUUCUCUUUUUCAGCCUCUAGUUGAGCUAUGAUUCUUUUUUUCUCUUCUCCUGUCUUACACACCUCUUCACUUCUGACACAAAGCUCUUUGUAGGAAGCAACAAUUCUUCAUAAGAGACAUCCCCAUCACAAUAAUUCAUCAGAUUCAUAUCUACCAGUGAAAGCUGUAACAUGCGUAGCAGGUUCACCAUCAGUUUCACCUUCAGAAUCAUUAGACCAAGAAACAAACAAGCCCUUAUUUUGUUUCUUGAGAUACGUGGGACAUUCUGAUCUAAUGUGACCAAAACCCUCACAUUCAUGACACUGAAUACAUUUUCCUUGAUUGGGCUUUUCUUUUGUUCUUGCUUUUCUAUGAGAAUCAUUGUUCUUACUGAUGUCGAAUGUCAUGUUCUUGACAUCAGGUCUUUACUUUCUAUCCAUUUUAUACAACACCUUAUUGAAUUUCCUCCCAAGAAGCACAAUGACAUUAGAAAUUCCUUCAUCAGUCCCCAAGUCACAUUGACCCUCUUGAUCCUUAGUAUUGGAGAUAAAAGUUAUACUCUUGUUCUUAUUUUUAGAUCUAUCACUGAUAGCCAAUUCAAAAGUUUGGAGUGACUCAAUAAGCUCAUCCAGACUCAUGUUGCAAAUGUCUUGGGCUUCUUCAAUAUUUGUGACCUUCAUGUCAAACUUCUGAAGCAACAAUUUGAGAAUUUUUCUAACCAGCUUCUCUUCUAACAUAUUCUCUCCCUAGGCACUUUAUGAAUUGGUAAUAUCAAGAAUAUUCAUGUUAAAAUCAUGCAUACAUUCAUCAUCUUUCAUCAUGAGAUUCUAAAAUUUGGUGGUGAGAAGUUGAAGUCUUGACAUUUUUACUUUUGAUGUGCCUUCAUGAGUGGUUCUGAGGAUUUCCCAUGCAUCUUUGGCCAUAAUACAAGUAUUUAUUAACCUAAAUAUAUUUUUCAACUCCAUUGAACAAGGAAUUCAAAGAUUUGGAGUUUCCAAGAGCAAAUUCAUCUUCUUCCUUUGACCAGUCCUCUUCAGGCUUCAUAUUUGUUGUGUCCUUCCCAUCUUUGUCCUGCACCACAUGAUGUUACCAACCUUUGAUAACUGCUUUCUAGGUUCUGCUAUCCAUAGAUUUUAGAAAAGUUAUCAUAUGCGCCUUCCAGUAAUCAUAGUUGGUGCCAUCCAGAAUAGGUGGUCUAUUGACAAAUCCUCCUUUCUUGUUCAUAGUACUAGAAAAUAUCUCCCUGGAGCUCACCCAAAACAGAACAUGGUGCUUGCUCUGAUGCCAACUGAAAUUCUGGUAUAUAGAUCCCAAAUGUCAUAUACGAUGUCAUGACACCAGGAUCAGGAUAUUGUCACAACACAAACAAUAACAGUGUUCAAGUAAGUAACAAGAAGUAAAUAACACAAAUAAUUGUUAACCCAGUUCGAUGCAACUUCACCUACAUCUGGGGGAAUCCAAGACAAGAAGGAUAUCCACUAUAAUAGUAUUAGUUUAAAGUUCUAAACAACCUUUAGUUUUACAAACUUCUCACCUAAUCACUACCCGUGGAAUUUCUAUCUAAGACUCUCCUAGAUAUGAGACCCUUCUCACUUCCCUUCAAUCAAACAACAAUGAUAACAACUGAAAAACAAUCAAAGAACAUAAGAUAAACUUCCAAUGAAACCGAAUGCACUCUUUCUUAAAAGCUCAUGAGUACAAUUACAACUCUAUAAAACAAGUCCAAUUCAAGUAUCAAAGAGAUACUAGAUUGGAUCACAAAUGACAACGACAACUAAACCCUAACAAUGACAAUUUCCAGCGCAACUUCGUUAUCUUCUUAGGUUUAGAAUCGUCAUUUAAAUAGCCCUAGAAAAAGUGUGGCCUUCGGGCUUUAUCAACAGCAGAUCCAAGGAUUGCUCCAUAAUCUUCUAUAGAAUCAAAUCCAUUCAUAUAAGAAGUUUCUAUAAAUGUUUUGACAUCUGCACAAUCUUCUGCAAAAUCAUAUCCAAUCAUAUAAGAAGUUUCUGUAAAUGUUUAGACAUCUGCACAACCUUCUAUAGAAACAAAUCAUAUCAUAAGUUUCUAUAAAUGUUUUGACAUUUGUACAAUCUUUUGCAGAAACAAAUCAUAUCAUAAGUUUCUGCAAAUAAUUUCUUCAAAAAUAAGGCAAAGCACAACCUGUCCUUUGCUUAUAAAAAAAACUUUUCUUGGAUCACACAAUACAUGAAACACAACUAUAGAGAAUCUUUAGAAGUUUUUGUAAAUCUUCAGAGACACUUCAGAAGUUUCUGUAAAUGUUAAGAGAAAUUGAAACAGAGCUCGCUACGAUAUCUUACCAACAAGUCAAGACAUCUUGGCCAAUGUAUUUGUUUUCCUGAAAUGCAGCCAAUCAUAAUACACCAUACCUAACAAGUAGCUUUCACUAAAAUCGGCCAACAAAGAAACAUUUUCUACCCAGAACUAUGUAAGCCUUGAGUUAUCUAUUGCACCUAGAGAUACGUAGGACCGGGAUUUGUAAAUCUUAUCAGGCACAUUAAUAAAAAAAUCCAAAAAUAAUUUAUCUUUUCUUUUGUUCCUAUUUCUUCUUUCCCUUCUGAGUAACUCGAGAAGCCUAAUAUUUAUAAUCUAACACUAAUGUGCACAACUAACCUAACAGUUUCCAUUAAGUACAACAGACGUGAGGGGUGCUAAUACCUCUCCCCUGCGUAAUCGACUCCCGAACCCUGAUUUGAUUGCGACGACCAUUAUCAUUGUCGUUCAUUCUUGGGUUUUAUAGUUAUUUCCCAUUUCCUUUCUAGGAAUAAAUAAAGUUUGGUGGCAAUUCUAUUUAGACAUCCUGCGAGCAUGUGAUUGGGCUUCGCGAGGUCGUGUUCUCAUUUUUUGAGGUACGACAAAUGGAGACUCAGAUACGCACGACCAAGCGAGCUUUUACACUUCCUCUCUUUCACAACUUUGAGGAUUCCACGAUUAUUUUCCAAAUACAUCUAUCAUAAAAUAACUUCUAUUGAAAUUUAAGUAUUCUACUUGAUGAUGCUUGAGUUGUUUUCAAGUUUUGUCCCCAUUAUCAUAGAUUUGGAUAUUUAUUACCACCAAAUUCAGCAGUCAUUGGUGUCGUCGUCAUAAAAUUCCAGAAAGGUUCUCACCAGGAUCAACAACUUCAUAUCUACAACCAAAUAUAUCCACAAAAAUUCUUUUGAUUAAGGACACCAAACCUCGAAAGAAAAGAAGCUGAUAUGGGCUCACCCACAUCUUGGAAGCUAACCAUUCUAAAGUGCAAGAGGUAAAGCUGCAUCACGCAAGUCUCAGAACCAAGUCAUUACUUGGGGGAAGGGGAAAGGAGAUGACCAUUAACCAACCUCGCUCCUCAGAGAUGUCCAAUCAAGCCUCUCAGCACUUCCUCAUGGUAGAUUCCAAAGAUCAAUGAAGCUAACCUUAGGAACAAAGUGAUAACGCUCAAUGAAAAAUACUAUGUAAGUAAACAUGAAACAAUGCCCGCUCUCAAAUUAAACAUGGGAGAUAUAAAAACACAACAACAAUAUGAAUAAACGAAAAUUGAAAAUAAGUUUCAAAUCAUAAUAAAUAUUCUUACAAAGACAUGAGGAACACCAACUAACAUGUACAAAAUAAGUACAUAACCUAUGAGUUCGUCUUCUCACCAAGAAUGUGUUUGUGUAAGCCCUAAAGGCCAAAUAGUUUACUUGAAAAUGGUACUUGUAUUGAAUUAUCUGUUAUUAAUAAUAAGACAUUUCUUUAUUGUGUUUCUCUUUCAAAAGUCAUAAGUCCCUAUAAUAGCUAGGUUGUAUGAUGAAGCAUUAAAUGUGACUUAAUUGUGAGACCCCAUUAAACAUAAGGACAUUGUCCUUAAAGUAUGUGUAGCCAAUAUUUGUUGUGAAGUGGGAUAACAUUAAAGCAUUGAGAUUGUUAUGUGGAUAGACUAAUGAUCAUAUCUCAGGAAUCAUGGAUAAAGAGUUAUUAGGUCUUCACAGGUAUCAAUAUCAGGAGUAAUAUUUAUACUAGAUUGACCCACCAUAAGAAUACUGCAUAAAAUGUUAUGCAAGUGUCACAAGUUAUUCUAAAGGUGAUAUUGGUGUAUACAUACUUUCGACGUGAAACCAAUAUGGACUCUAUAUGACGAGUCAAGUACUUUAGUUCCAAUAAAAAAUUAUAGGUAACAAGAUGACCAUAAAGAUGGAUGAUGGGUAUUUCAUAAAUCAUGUUGAGGGACAUGAGUUACCUAGAUGGAAUUUUUCUAUUCUGCGUAACAGGAUAAGUGUCUAAGGCCUCAAUAUUGAAUUGUACAAGGGUGACAUAGUUUAUGACUUGUGUUCUUUAUAGACAUGAGAAAAAAUGGAAAUUAUACACAUAAACUAUAUUGCAAAAAGAUUUUGUCAUAUCAUAUGAUAUUUUUGUGACUUUGGCAGCAGUGAUGUAUUACUAGAUACCUCGCAUUAUUGAUUAUAUUAAAUGUGUGAUUUGAUAUAAUGGCUAAUAUCCCGAGAACCUACAUGGUUACACACUUAAGACAUAUUAAUGGGAGAAAAAUAAAUAAGUUAAGCUUAUUUGAUUAUAGGCUUUUUAAAUGAAUUAUCUUUAAUUAGAAAAACAUGGUCCACCAUAAAACACGAUUAAGUGCAAUAUGGAACAUCGUAAGGUAUAAUGUACUUAAGUCAAAUAAGAAACACUAUAAGAUAUGGUGUAAUUAAGUAAAAUAUGGAACACUAUAAGAUAUGACGCACUUAAGUGAAAUACAACAUAUUGUAAGGUAUGGUGUACUAAGUGGAAUUGUUCAGCUUGCAACUCAUAUAAAUGGUGCUAUAAAUAGAACCCUUGUAGUGAAGUAUUUGAUACUGGUCCAAAUUCAUUUUGUGAAACCCAUGUUGCAUUUCUCUCUCUUUCUCUCUCUCUCUCUCUCUCUCUCUCUCUCAUCUCUCUCUCCUCCCUCCCUCUCCCUCUCCUCUCUCUCUCUCUCUCUCUCUCUCUCUCUCUUCCCUCUCUCUCUCCCCUCUCUCUCUCUUCUCUAUAUAUAUAUAUAUAUAUAUAUAUAUAUAUAUAUAUAUAUAUAUAUAUAUAUAUAUUAUAUAUAUAUAUAGUAUAUAUUAUUAAUAUUAUUAUAUAUAUAUCCUUCAAUAGUCUUCAUUCAUAACACCUAGAAUUGAGAUUUAAGUCACUGUGUUCAUGUGGACUAAGUAUAAGUGCUUUGUUCGUUCAUCCCUUUAUUGACCUCACUCAAGGACUUCUCUAGCUCCCUUAAUGUCUUAUGAGAAGAACUUAAAGCAUCAUUCAUGUUGGUCAAAGCAGUUUCUAUGGUAUACCAUGCCUUUUGGACUGACUUUAAGGUGGUAUCCCUCUCCUUUAAUAUUAGAGUCAACACCUUCACUUUCUCAGCCAACAAAAUAGGGGUACCCAAACACUAGCACCUCAUAACCCAUUUCCCUCAAGAGGUUAAUCGACCUUGCAAGGUCAUGAAGAAGCAUGUCCCUCUCAACAACAAUUGUACCAAGACGCUCUUUUGGCUUCUCAUUUUCCUUUUGGAGGCACUCUGGUGCCAAGACUUCACUAUUGUUCGUUGCUCUGAAAGCCAAGAUAGUAGAGUCCAUGCACAUCUGGUAUGAAAUUCAUGCCAUCUCUUCCUAACGAACCACUUCGGCCUUGCUCGAAAAAUAUGUUUAGUCUUCUUUAAAAAAAUAUAUCAAUGCUCUUUAGCCGUUAUAGGACCAAGACGGAUGAGAAAUGACAAAGACAUGUUUGUUGGGUCUGAGAAUGAACUUUCCCUAUGAUCCAACCUCCACAAACUUCGCUCUCUGUCUAGAGGUAUCUUGAAGAUGGUCUCACCAAGUAAAGAACCACCAUUAGAAGCCCUUCUUUUGGAACCUUCACUAGUUUCUCUUAGUGUUGACCUAGACACAUUCUCACACAUUGGCUUGUAAGAAUACCCUCUUAUCUAAGUUGUGUUAACUCUGAGUAAGAGAAUACAUCAUAUUUUAGACCGUAUUGGAUAAUGAAGAGAUGAAUAAACCAGAUAAAUAAAGGACACUAAAUGAUGAAUCUCUUCUUAAACUAACAUGGUCACAUCAUCAAAAGAAGAUUAUAUAUCUCUCAACAUUCUCCUUAUUUGGAGCAUCAUCUCGAAGUAACAUAUCUUUUGUGCAAAUGGAUGGGGAAAAAAUAAAAAAAUAAGAACACUCAACUAUGAAUGAUACUAAAAAUGAAAAAAAGUGAGGUUCUCCACCCCAUUACCAAAUAUGUAACACCUCUACUCUCUGAUAGGUGCAUCCAUCAACAAGUGGAUCUGAAUAUACCUCUUCUUCCACUUUCCAGAUACGAAACCAAAGGAUCCAAUACUGUUGUUGGAAAAACGAAGACCUUCCUAUAAAUUUAUAAACUUAAUCUUAAAAUAUGUUUCAUCUUGAGACAAAUCAUCACGCAAAUGAAUUUAGGUUCGCUGUCCGGCUAAAAACUAGGUUUAGCACCAGAAUUUUAGAAAUUUGUCAGUACAUCUUAAGGGAACACCAGUUUGAGCCUCAUAGACACUUAUAUGUGAAGCCUCAGAGAAAGGAAUAACCAAAUAGUAUCAUACCUUUAAAACUUUCAUAUUAUCAGUGUACAUGUCAAAUAUCUUCUAACUAUGCUUAAGAGAGAGAGAGAGAAACUUGACCCGUUUUAAACUACCCAAGGUACGUUGGAUAUUGGAAAGUCAGAAGAAAAACGUAUGGAACUCUGCCUUUAUAUAAACACCAAUAUUUAAACACUUUUACAUAAGCUUAUCACAUAGGAUGCAGUUGCGAAGGGGAAAUUUCCAUGUGGUUGAGAAAUCCCAUCUCGAAGCCCUAUAUUGGAAAAUAAACAUUUAUGGAAAAGGAUUACACAUAUUUCAUGUUUUCUACAUAACUUCUUAUCAUCCUUCAUAAAGAGAACCUCUGUUUAGGAGAGUAACCCACCUCUGUGAGAGCAUUGUCCAAACCUCCUUUAUAAGCAAAGACAGAAACCAUUUACAACGUCUCUUGAUCCAUCCAUGACGGUUGGUAUUCAUUCCCAUACUUUAUGUCGGUCUGGUGGUUGCCUCGAUCCAUUCCUACUUUAGUUCCAACAGAUAAAAAACAAAUUGUUGAACAUAUGACUCCAUUUCAUACCCUAAUUAUUAACCCUAAGAUCUCACAUAUCAUUUGCAUCAUUUGCACAUAAACAAGGCCACUUCUUGGUUCCUCUCCCUCUCAUCCUUAAGCUUUGCUUCUUGCAGAGAUCACCAAGCACCUUUUUAUUGGUUUGUUUUACCUUUGUAUUUACAUGAUUAAUUGAUUAUCUAACCACUAAUCAAAAUAUAAAAAAUGUCUUUUUCCCUUAAGUUUAUUUUGCAAGGUAGGGCUUUUCAAUUAAGAGUCUCUCAAAUUAAGUCAAAGGUUCACAUGUUUAUUUCCAUGCCUUCUUCAACAAGAAACUUCAAGCUUUGAGCAAUUUAAUUAAGAGGAAAUCAAGGAAACCUUAUCCCGAGGUCAUAGGAUCAUCCAUGUGCUUUGAAAUGCAAGGAAAAUCGAAGUACUCAAGCUUGUUCCAAGAGGUUUGACUAAAAGUCAACCAUCUGAAGUCAAAGUUCCAAAGAUCACAACUCCUUCAAUUCUCAAUAUUUUUGAAUGCUUAAUUUUUCAUAUGACUCUUAUCAACAUCCUCUACAACUUCUCUUUACAUGACAAGAGUGAAUUAUGCUUGGAGGAUCAUUAAAAGUUUGGAGACAUUAUAGGUCAUUUGUGGACUUAGUGAAAUUUGACCUAUUUUCAAGUGACUUUUCCCCAACUUUAAAAGAUCAUAACAUCUUCAUUUUUCAACAUAUGAGGCUUAUUACUUUUUCACAAUAUCAUUUGUGAUACCCUCUACAAGUUUGCUUCAAGGACCAAGGUCAGAAUUUGCUUGGAAAACCAUGGAACUCAUUAAGACAUUACAGGUCAUUUUCAUACAUGAAGCACUCAAAUUUUUCUAAGUUAUAUGAUCAGUUUUUCAUGCCAACUUCAACAUAACAUAACUCUGUGCUCAAUUUUCCAAAUGAAACCUUUCUUGGCACAUCGUAAUCUUUGCCAUGAUGAUAACACUUUGCAAAAAUAAUGUGAUUAAAAAGCCUCCUGAGUAGGGUGCCCGAUUGGGUUGAACAUGGUGACUUGCAACUAAAGAAAUUGCCAUUGCACGAGUUUUGAACUUCACUAAUCUCAAUUCCAAGCCAAAUUAGCAUGUGUUUUGGACCUAAACAUGUUUAUCCAAGUCUCCAGAAGUUAAUUGAACCUUAAAAUGCAUCAUUUGGCUGUGUUUUUAGGAGUUUCAAAUCACACUUUUCUCACACUCUAAUCAAAUUACUUUUGCACGAAUUCUGCAUCAUUUCACAUGCAUUUGCAUCCAAUCGCAUUCCCUAUAAAUAGAGGGAGUUGUUACAUUCAUUUCCAAUCUUUGGAGAGCCAAGAAAUCUCUGCUACAACUUGAAUUUCCCCCCAGAAAAUUCAACUAUCGUGUUUUGAGUUUCAGCUUGUUUGAAUCCAAUAAUUUGAUUCCAUUAGCAUCUUCGACAUCCUCUAAAACUUUUACAAUAAUUCCCAAGCUCUGAGAUCUUCUGAAGUGCUCUAACCAGAUCAAGCUUCAUCAACUUCUGUUAACCAUUUGGACAAGGUAGUUUUGAGCAUCAUUUGAACUAAAACAAGUUACCACAAUGUAGUCCUUCAUUCUCUGAAGAUUUCCCUUAACUUAUCUGGUGUUGAUUGAUCGUGUUCAUCAUUUAAUUUUAUUUUUCAUGGCUUGCUUGUUUCUGAAACUUCUUUGAAAUUCCCUUUGCUCGAUUUAAAUAAAUGAAUUUGAGGCAUAAGGUUGAAUUCGGGAUGAGAAGAGGAUCACAAUGGUAGUGGUCCUGUAUUCUAAAUUUACCAAACGAUGAAACUCUGGUGAGAGCUCAUCGGAGAAGACGACCGAAGUUUUCUCUGGUUAUCUGAGUUUGGUCAGAUACGUUGGAGGAACGAAAUGUUCUGAUUGGUUGGAUUAAAAUUGGAUCUUGUGUUUGGCUUGCAACGCGUUCCAUCGUGUUCUCUAACAUAUGGAGUGUUGGAUCUGCCACGUCAGUUAAUGAGGCGUGAUCCAACGCUCCGUAUUUUUUCUGGUUUUUAUUCUUUUUCUUUUAUUAUUUUUAAUUGGUUUUUGCUUUUAAAAUUUAUAGUAAUUCCAUUUUUCAUCCAAAAUAUCCCAAAAUAAUUUCUAAAAUUCUCUUUUAUUUUUCUUCAUCUGAUUUUUAUUUUUCACAUUUUAUUUCACUCAUUUUCUAUUUUUCAUCAAUUUUCUAUUUUCUCAUUUUUUUAAUUGGUUUAAAAAUAUUUUUCUACAUUUGUAAAUUCUGAAAAUUUUAUUAUAUGCUUCUUAUUUUAUUUCAACCUUUCAUAAUUUUCUUGGCCAUUUAUUUGGUGUUUUGAAGGACUUUAUAGAUUUUUCAUUUUGUUUCUAUUUUAAAAAUUCAUUCAAAAAUACUUUAGGUGCAUUUUUAUUUCAUUUAAUUGCAUUUUAUAUUUGUGAACACUUGUGAACUUCUGUUGGCCUUGGAUCAUGAUGGUUUCAACUUCAAGUCUCAUCAAACUCAAUUGAUCUUGGGUGUUGAUGGGGUGAAAACCCUAAUCCACCAAAAUGGAUGAUUGAUUUUGAUGAUGACUUGAUCAAACUUUUGGUCCAAUUUGGGUGUGACCUCUCUUGUCCCUUUAUUCUUCAUCUCUUUCCUUUCCCUUUGAUCAAUUGGAUGACUUGUGUCCAUCUUGUUCAUGAUGUGUGGAUUGGUGCUUGAUGAACUUUCAUCAUCUCAAAUAUACCUACUAAUUGAUCAUGGAUCAUUUAAGGUACUUUGGAUUGAGGCAUAAGGUUGUCCUAAGUGUCAUGAAGUGUGGAUUAAAGUAAUGGACCAUCCUCCUAGCCUUUGUGCUUGAUCAUCCCCUUUGUUUCUUUUUUUUUGUGGCAUGUAUUAACACAAACAUUAUUAUUGACCAGCCUCAGAUAGUUGUGACUUCUACAUAAGUCCAACUACGAUUGCUUAACUUAGAGCUAAAUUUGUCCCAAAAGCAAAGGCAUUUUUAUAAGUGAGAUUUUAAAUCUCCUAUUCCUCAUGGUAUUGUGUGAAAAUGUUGGUCCUUUUCCAUUUGUGAGAGCUAGUGGCAUGAUUUUAUCCAAGUUGGAGCCCUUCUCAUAAAUGAUGUAUACGUUCAUAUUUUCAUUCUUGUAAGUGAAUAAUUGAGUGUUCUCCAAAAAUGACCAAACCAUCUUUCAUCUUUGAUUACUAACACUUUAUUGUAUUAACUUUUACCUCAAAUGUCACUUACUUUAUGCCGUUUACUUUAUACUUUAUAUUUAGCAUCCUAUAUCAUUUUAUUUGUGAUUUUGUCAUUUGGUUUGUAUCCAUUUGGACUUUAUACACAUCAUUGUAAAUAAGACAUUAAUAAAGAAAAAACCUAAACAGGAAACUUGUUUCUCCUAACUCAUGGACCUGUGGUUACUAUCCUUGGAAUCAUUGUGGAGUUAUGAAUUCAGAAUUAGGAUCUUAACCUUUACUUUGGGACUACGUCAUAUAUAUAGAGAUUUCACUCUUAAAAGCACUGAUGCAAAUGUGAGAAAAUAAAAGAGAGAAAUGAUAAUUAGAUAAAGUUGUCUCAAAUAAGUUUUAUGGUGUGUUAGAAAUGAUAAAUAAGCCUUCUUUUUAUAUAAAAAAGGUGACUCAAAUAUAGAAACAAUCCAUGGGGUUUUCAAUGUUGAUAAUCAAUUAUGUGCAUUCAAUAAUUGAUUAUCAAACCAAAAAAUGGAUGGUUUUGAUUCUAAGCCUUUUCCAAUUAUUAAGGAACUACUCCAAUCGAUUUUAGGAAUUAAAAAGUGAUAUUAUCAACUAUCCCAAAGGUCUAAUUGAUUAUCCCUUUGUAAAACAUACUUCUAAUUAAUCAGACAAUUUCGUAAUCAAUUAGCUAGAAUUUUAAGACAUUUUUAGGUGAUUUAACAAAAUCAUGAGAGGAUCUUCAAGAGGUUUGAGUGUGUUUGUUAUUUUACUUAGUAUGACCAAGAGUUUUUCUUAUACCUUUACAGACAUUGAUCACUUGAAACAAACUUGGCGAGCUUUCAGACUUCCUUGUUUUUCAAAACUCUGAAACCUUGAAUCUUCUUCAAUCACAGUCCUUUAAUCUUUGACUAAUUAGUGUUGAGAUAAAUAUUCUUCUUGUUCCAUCAUUAGACAAACAACUUGAUUAGAGAUCUUUGUUUACUUCACUCAAUGUUGCUUGACAUAAGGUGUUGUCUCCAUAUAUAGGCACAAACAAAUUAAUCUACAAACAACAAAAUCUUUAUCACCAUAACUUGAUAUUCAUCCAUAUUCACUUGAUCACUGCAUCAGAUGAUCUUUAGGUUUCAUCUUGUCAACAUAUCUUGAUCUUCAAGCACAAUAGCUUAGUCAACAUGUCAAACAUUUUCACUUGAUCAACAACAUUUCAAGCACCAUCACUUGAUCAUAAUAUCAAGACUCGUCACAUGAUCAGAACCUUGUCAAGAACCAUCACUUGAUCAACAUAUCAGAUGAUAUCAUCUGAACAAGUUGGCUUUGAACAAAUAAGCUGAUAAAGACUUAUCUUAAGAGUGUUGUCAACAUCAAAACCAAUUAAAUAGGUUGCUAAAUACUUCAUACAUGUAAGCACAUAGAUCCAAAUUCUCCCUUUUUUAUUAUGACAAUGCAUCUCUUAGAUAGGUGGACAAGGGAAGAAACAAGGGUGAUAAAAAAUUGAGUUGUUAAACUCCCGUUAACAAAGAUAGAGAUUAUACCCUACUCCCCCACAUAGUUCAAAUCAUACCUAAGAAAUUAAGGAUAAGCAUGCUUCAUUAAUUAAAUACUAGAAUUUAAGUACAAAGUAAAUAACUAAGAGCUACAAAACAAAGAGUUGUAUCUCAAAAAUUACGACCUUGCGAGCGCAUCACCCGCUCGCGGAUGACUUACAAAUUCACCACCAGAAUUUAUUUAUUCCCAAAAAGGGAAAGGAAAAUAUAGAUAAAAACCUUCGUAAUAAAAUCGGGUUCGGGAGUCAAUUAUGCAAGGGGGGGGGGGGUAUUAGCACCCCUCACAUCUGUUGUAAUAAACGGGAGCAACUUAGUUUGUUUUAUGCAUAAGUGUUAGCCUAAAAAUGUUUGCUUUCUCGAGUUGUUAAAAAUUCAAAGAGAAAAAGAAAAGGGUUGCAAAAAGGUUUUUUAUUACGGUGCCUGACAAGAUUGUGAAUUUGGCUCCUACGUAUCUCUAGGUGCGAUGGAGAACUCAAGGCUACGUAGUUAUGGGUAAAAAAUGUUUAUUUGUUGGUCGGUUUUGGCAAAAGUUUUUAUUGUCGCAAUCGAACAGAACCCAAAACAGUUAAAGGAGGGGGCGUUUUCAACCCGACAUAAUGGAUUUAUAAAUCAACAUUCGCGGGAAAAUGUCACUUAGCCCACUCACUCAAGAUGGAAAUAUAUUUCUUUUAAAACAGAGUUUAAAGUUGUGAAAGUCAAAAGGAAAAAGUUUGAAUGUGUUUGAUUGUUUUUAGGGUUGUAAGACGAGUAUUUGGACUUGUAAGUUAUUACGACUUUGGUCUAGUACCCAGGACUAUGAUUGGACAUUACACCCAAGUAGUCUUUUUAAUCAAUUUUUGUUGUGAAAAGGUUUUGAAUAUUUACAAGUGUUUUAAGUAGAAUAUGAAUACUUGGACUUGCAAACUAUUACCACAUGGGACUAGUAGUCAGGACUAUGAUUGGACAUUACAUCCAAGUAGCAUUUUUCUUCCAAUUUAUUAUGAAAAUAAUUCGAUUUCUUAAGAUAAAAGGAAUUAUUUAACUUAAUGUUUAUUUACAUGACAACAUAAAAUAUAGUUCGAGACAAAAAUCGAAAAUAUCAUGCACAUAAAAGUAAUAGAGAAAUAGCAAUAAAAAGGGGGUACAAAAAUAAGAAUCACAAAAUUUUGGCCCAAGGCCUAAAUAUACACUAACCCUAAUUAUAUAACAAAAAAAGGAGAAAAAAUGGACAAAGCUAUAACAUUGGGAAGUCUCCCCAUUCAAAAUCCGAAUCUAUAUUUUGGAGAAAAUGUAUAAAAAAAUAUACUCAACGGGGACCUCUUAGUUAAAUUUGCGAUUAAAAGUUAGUGUGAUGUUAAUUGUUUUCUUAUACUUAUUGAGUGAUAAAAGAGAAAGAAAAGAGAAAUGUGUUUUAUUAAAGGUGUGAUUUUUAUUAAGGCGUGCUUGACAAGAUUUCGAAAUCCUUGUCUUAUGUAUCUCCAGGUGUUAUGAAGAACUCAAGGCUAUAGUUCUGGUAACAAAGAACUUAUGGGUUGAUUACUUUUAAGGAGUGAUUCUUUAGACAUAUUGAGUACUAAAACUUUGCUUGUUGCUUGCUCUUGGAGGCUGAAGCAUUUGUUUAUUUCAAGUCAAAAUGGAUAAAGAAUACUCAUUUCUGAAAACGUUUUUGAAGUCGCACAAGGGCAGAAAAUAAGUUUGAUUGGUUAAGUUGCUUUUAAGUGGAGACAGACGUCCAAACAGAGAUCUCUACAACAAUAUUCAAAUGUAUGGAAAGGAAGAGGCCUAAGCCCAAUCGCUCUCUUUUCAUCCAAGUGUUAUUAUAAGAAUGUGUGAUGAAUUAGGUCAAAGUUCAUUAACGAAAGACGAUUAUUCACACAUGGAGCUCUCUAGUAGUUCCCUAAUAAUUGGGAAGGAGAAGGUCGAUACCCAAUCAAUAUUUUUUCUUUUAUAGGAUAAUCGAAUUAAUUCAAAUAAUUAUUGUUUUUUAACAUGGAAGACGGAUGUUCAAACAUGGAGCUCUACAACAGUACCCAAACAUUCGAGAAAGAGAAAGUCAAAACCUAAUAUUUUUCUUCCAUAUUUAUUGUGAAAGGCUUAAAAGGGAACGACUUAGCAUUGGAAUUAAUCGGAAGGGACACUCGAAUUUGGAUCAAGCACUUGCGUUGCAUUUAAUUUGAAUUUGAUUUGGGAAAAAGGCUCAACUUUGGAUCGAGUAUUAUUUUUGUUAUUUUCUGAAAGUGGUUAAUUUUAUGCUAAUCUUGAAUUAAUAAUUAACUAAUGUAAUAAGAAUAAUAUAAAUGAAAGCGGUAAACUUAUUACAUGUCACGUGGAUGGUGAUACAUUUUUUUUGAAUGGGGAUAUAAUAAAGUGAUUAAAAUACAAGCCUACUAAAUAAGCAAAUGUAAACAAAAAGGAGUUCAUUUUAAGAAAGCCCAAGAGAAAGCCAAGGGACCAGAAAUAAACUAAAAUCUAAAGUAAGGAAUUUAGCGCUAUGUUAAACUAACUUAAAGCUAAAUUGAAUUUAAGCUUCGAAAUUGAAUUUAAGCUUCGAAAUUAUGAUGCAAUGAACCAAACAACAUCAAUUCGAUGAUUUAUGUACAACAACUUCAAAGGUAAAAUAACCGACAAUUAAACUAAUGAAUUUAGCGAUAUGUUAAGCUAACUUAAAGUGAAUUCAUAUAGGAAUCACUCUAUAAGAAGUCGAUCAACAAAGACUAUAAUUAACUAAUUAAAUAAAAAUAUAACCAAUUAAUUAACUACUAAUUAAAAUUAAUCAAAAUAAUAAAAAUAAAUAAUAAGGAUGUACAAAAUGAUCAUGGGGGUGUGAAGAGUAAAUAUGGGUACAUGAGCAAUCAAAACAACGCACAACAUGAGCCCAAGGCCCAUAAAUUAUAAACCCAAAUCUAAAAUAAUAAUGACAAAUAAUAAUAAAUAACAAAUAAUAAUAAAUAACAAUAAUAAUAAAAAUAAUAAUAAUAAUAAUAAUAAUAAAAAUAACAACAGUAAACAAGAAGAAAAUAAUAAUAAAAUAAAGAAAAGAGAGAGUGUGGGGCGGGAGACACUUUCAAAAAGAGAGAGGAUGUUUUUUUUUCAAAACACAAAAAGCCACAAACCGCAUCGUGACACGUGACAAGGAGAAGAACUAGUCAAAACAAAAAAAUAUAGAAUUUCCUCAUCCUCUCUCUCGUUCGGCCAGUCUAUUUCAAGAGCAACAACAACACAACUUACUUCUACAAAUAAAAAUCUCUCUCUCUCUCUCUCUCUCUCUCUCUCUUCUCCUCUAUAUAUAUAUAUUAUAUAUAUAUAUAAUAUAUAUAUAUAAAUCUAUAUAUAUAUAUAUAUAUAUUAUAUAUAUAUAUAUAUCAUGUCUUAAAUUUUUUUCCUUAUUCAAACCAAACUCUUGCCAGUGGAUAAAACCCUGUCACAUUCAAAUUAACACACGAUAUGGAUAAAUAUCUCAAAUCUAACCGCGUACAAUAAAAUAUAAAAAGAAAGGCAAAAAUAAGCUUCACCUAUAACAUGGAGAAUGGUGACUAAGGUGGUGUAGGUGAAGUUUUUUUUAUGUUGUUGUAAUUGGUUGUUGUUGAUGAUGAUGGUGAGUGAAGGUGAUGUUUAUGUCAUGUGUUGGUUGAUUAUGAGUAUGUUACGAACGGAGUUGGAAGAUUUAUGUUGUAUGUGGUUUGUGAAGUUGAUGGAAGGUUGAUGAAGAGAUAGAGAUAAAGAAGGUGAUGAGUGUAGUUGAGAGGAGAGUAGAAGUGAAUGUGUUUGUGAUAUGUGGAAGAGAGAAACGAUGUUCAUUUGUAGUUCAGAAAAGAAAUAUUAUUUCUUUCAUUCGUUUCCCUUUUCUCUAACGGUGGAGAGAGUAUUAUCUCUUCUUAAAUGGCCCCCUUGUUUAGUGGUGCGUCUGUGCCCUCUUUUUCUUCAUGCUGCUUCAUCCAUAUAUAUUAUAUAUAUAUAUAUAUAUAUAUAAUAUAUAUAUAUAUAUAUUAUAAUAUAUUAUAUAUAUAUAAUAUAUAUAUUAUAUAUAUAUAUUAAAAAAAUACUUAAAUACAAAAGGCCCCUCUUGGGUGUUUUAGUAGAUUAAAAUGAGUUCAAAUCCUUUAAGUAAAAUAAAAUCCAAACAUUCUAAAUAGUCAAAAUUAAAUCAAAACAAGAACAUAAAAAACUAUAACUAAUUCCAACAAUUAUUUUGACUGAAAAACAAAAAUAAACGAAUUAAAAAUAAAUAAAAAUCGAGCGCAAAAAUAUCUGAAAACUAAAAUACAUGCACAAAAAUGAUCAGCGCAAAAUAAACUUCUCGAAAACAUUCAUGUUUGAUCAAAUCUUAAAGUAAAAAAUGUUCGGUUUAAAAGGAUUUGGCUGGUCAAAAUACGAUCAAAAAAUAAAGCGAGCAUGAUCAUUUAAACUACGAGAACUGUAGAUUAAUAAUACUGACAUCUUCAAACUCGAUUUUGAUAUUUUUCGCCCGUUAAUUUGACGUGCAUUUGAGAAUUAAUUCAAUCGAUUUAACUGUAGAUCCAAAAAUUUAUUCUAGUUGACAUUUUAGGUGUUAUGCAGAACGAAAUGCAUGUUGUGAUGAAUAGAUAAUACAGAUGUCUGGUGAAUGCUUUGAUUUAUAGAUUGGAAUUUUUGAAUAGAUAAUCAGAUACAAAGGAAUCAACUCUUGGACCCUUUGCUUCUAACUCUCAAUCAUAAUGACAAUCAAAACCUUACAAAGAUUCAGAUGAGAACAAUAUUAUUGAUUGUCAUCCCUCUGAACCUAUGAAACUUAAUGCAAUGGAAUGGAUGAUGCAAUGAGACUAAGAAACUAAGUCUUUCGACUUCUUAACCUCCAGAUGACUGAAUGAAUGUCACCAAUACCAGAUAAAUUGUUAGAACUCCAGACUUUUCAUCUAAACCCUGAUAAAUACUUUUCACUGAUGAAAUGCAUGAUCAAAUGAAAUUUUCGUACUACGUUGAUGUAGGUGAAAAACCUCAGGAUAAAAUUUAAGGUAUGACAGUUGUCCCUAUUUAAACAUUUUUAACUUGAGGAUAUGAAAAACUCUUGUCUUCAAAUCAUCAAGGUGAAAGAUGGUUUAAAUACCAUACAUACCCAAAUUUUGCUCUUUUUUACAAUAGAAUGAUACGCUUAUGGUUAUGAAUGAUGUGCAUUGAGAUUAAGAAAUACUCUUAUUUUCUUAAUCAUCAGAUGUUAUGUUAAAAAGAAUAUAAUAAUAAUAAUAAUAAUAAUAAUAAUAAUAAUAAUAAUAAUAAUAAUAAUAAAGAAACACAACUAACCACAACCUCUGUAAAUAAUAGUGAACUCUAAGGAAUUAGAAUGAAACUAAUUGGACUUUGACAAUAUUGGNUUUUCUUAAUCAUCAGAUGUUAUGUUAAAAAGAAUAUAAUAAUAAUAAUAAUAAUAAUAAUAAUAAUAAUAAUAAUAAUAAUAAUAAUAAAGAAACACAACUAACCACAACCUCUGUAAAUAAUAGUGAACUCUAAGGAAUUAGAAUGAAACUAAUUGGACUUUGACAAUAUUGGAAACAAGGUCUUGAUAGCUAAUCAACGCAUCACUUUGUGUUUCUGAUAACCCCUGUCACGCCUCUAAUAGUCAGAAAAGUAGACAACCUUUUGAAACAUUUGAAUUGCUUUAAAAUAUGGAAUAAGAGCUCAUUGAAGGAUUUAGUUAGGGCAGUCUCACACUGCUACUUAAAGACUUUGCACAUAGGAUACACUGCAUAUGCUAAUAAAAUACCAAAGUGUAUGGUUGAAGUAAGCCAAAUAACACUUCAAAAAUAAGUUCUUAUGCCUGAAACUGGAGGAACAAUGGAUGUUUUCACUAUUAGUAAUAGGUUGGACUCAUUACAAGUGAGAUCCUGUUAGGUGAAAAGGUGAAGCAUCUAGCAAAAAUGGACAUAAAAUAAAAUUAAAAAUUAAAAAAAUAAAUGCAUUUCUAAUCCUAAAAUAUCCCCCAUAAAUAUUAUUUUCGCAUUCAUAUCAUAUGCAUCAUAAGGUCUCUUAGGGACCAAAAUUUGUUUCUUGAUGUUGUUAUUUAAGUCCAUUCUACCGCGUUAAUAUGAAUAUUUUAACCUUCACAUCCCCAGAUAGAAUGAGCUUAAAUAGAGGCAGUUGUAAGACCCAUAUUUUGACCCCUAAGAUCCCUCAUGCCAUCUCAUAACAUUGCAUUGGCAUUGGGAUCACAACUUGGUAUCCUUCUCACCUUUCAUUCAUUGGGUUUUCAUUGGGAGAGAUCACCAAGCAUAUUUGAUUGUAUCAUACUUUAUUUUUCUUUGUUUACUAACCAAAAUACCAAAAACAUGUCUAGUGUAGCUUUAUUUCUUUUGUAGGUAGUGUGUGUAUCCACUUGUGCCUCAUCAAGCUCAUAACUAGGGUUUGAGACCAUCAAUGCAAGGGAUCUAGUUAGAAAAGGACAACAUUGGUUCUAAGAAUCAUAUAUAGAUCCCUAUGUUCUUUAUAUGUCAUUUUGAUCAAGAAUUCAUGAAGAGUUUAAAGCCUGUUUGUCAAGGAAGCCUUAAUUCAUCUAGGUAUCUUGUGUGCCUUCCUCAACAAGUUUCUUCAACAUUUGGUCAAAUAUAUUAUGGGAUACUUCAUUAAACAUCAUAAUAAGUAUAUAUGAUCCUCCAUGAGCCCCAAAGAGCAAGAGAGCUUCAAGUUUGCAAGUUGGUUCAAGGAGGUUGACCAGAAAAGUCAAAUGAUCAAAUCUAGGGUUCCCUAGACCCUAUCUCAUACAAUUUUUAUCGUAUGAAAAUUAUUCCAAGAUCCAAGUUACUCUUUGUGACAUUCCAAACAACUUUCAUGUUGGCAUCAAGAGCUAACUGUUCUUGGAAAGUCAUUUUUUAUGGUAAACGAUUAUAGGUCAUUUUGUGCGUGCCCUAUAUAGAAGGUCAACUUCCAAGAACCAUAACUUGGUCAAUUUUUAUGAUAUGAAGAUGAUCCAAUUUUCAUGAUCAAUUUCAAGAUGUCUUAUUAAACUUUGUUUCUUUGAGAAAGGUCAAAUUCCACUUGCAAGGGCAUGUGCCAUGAGGAAAGAUUAUAGGUCCAUUCUGGUCUUCACCAUUGAACAAGCAUUUUUCCUCAACUUCUAAAAUUCGUAACUCUAUCAUGCAAGAUGCAAAUGGUGUCAAAUUUGUGACCAAAUUGAAUAUGAUUAAGAGAGCUAAAACUUUGAAUAAGGAAUCAAAGUCAUUUAAAGCUUAUAGAAAAGUUAUUAAAGGUGGAAAAAGGGGUCAUUUGACUUUUAACUUAGAAAAUUUUCAAGUAUGUUUGAUUACUCCAACUUCAAGGUCAGAAUUCAUAAUUAUGGUAGCUUUCCAAAGAUUCCAAGAUCGUUACAUUUGAACUAGAUUUGAAAGGGUUACGCAUAGCUUCUUUGCAUGGCCCAAAUUGGCAACUUUUGAACUCAAAUGUUAAACACCUUUGCAUGGCUUCGUGUUAUGAUCUCAUCAUCAUUUAUGCACGAAUUUGGACUGAUUGCACUGAUCAUUUAGGCCUAAACACAUGCCCAUGCACCCAUGCACAUCAAUUACUAUUUUUGGAUUCAAAAUUCAAAUGGUGUGGUAAUGAAUUGAAUUGCCUAUAAAUUGAACUCCAUAGCCUCAGAAUGAAGGAGAACCCUUGCCGAAGUUGUGCCAAGCAAUCUCUUAGCCAUACUUGAGAGAAUACCUUGAAGAUUUCAUUGAAAUUGAGCUUCUAGUUCAACUUCUGUUUCUGAACUAGAACCCCAAGGAUUCAAAGCCUUUUUAUUCUAAUCAUCUCUUACAAGCAAGAGGAAGCAAAGCCAAGUGGAAUUGCAUCAAGAUCGAGCCUCAUCACUAUAACCCGAAGGUGAAUUUUCUAGAAUUUGAACUCUUUGAUUCUCUCUCAUUUCUUAAUAUUUUUUCUUAUUUUGUGGUUGCCUGAAGCCCUACCAAUGUAGGCAUUGAUAUUGAGUUUCUUUGAGGUUGAAUCGAAGCAACUCAAUUUUGGAACCUCAAUUUUCAACUCCAGAUUCUCAUUAUAGAGUGAGAGUUGGAAAAUUUAGAGGUCAUAUUUGGAAUCCUCAUCAUUUUAUCUUUAAAUUGAUGUAUGAUCCAUUUAUUUUGGUGACAUUUUGUAAGACCAGUCCAGUGAGUGUGGCCGGAGAAGAAUAUCGGAGAUAUGGCUCCGGUGGUGUGUUGGCUCAGUCCAGACAAUUUGAUCUUGUUGCCACGUUCUAAUCUGGGCCCUUGAUUCUGAAUACCACUUAUACAUGCGCGUUGACUGAUGACCAUGGUGGAUGCUAUACACGUAGCCAUCAGAUCUGUCACCUCAAUUAAUAAGGGAAAUCUGAUGGCCCUUAUUUUUUUUAUUUAAUUAAUUUCCAAUUUAAUUUUUUAAAUAGCAUUUUCUCUUAAUUCACUAUAAUUUCAAUUUUAAUGCAAAAUUUAUGGGACUUUCACUAAAAUUUCACAAAUAAUUUCCUCUUCCAUUUUCUAAAUUAAAAAUAAUUUUUGGAUUCAGUUUGAUAUUUUUAGUGAAUUUUGUGACUUUUGACUUGUUUUUAAUUGAUUUUAAAUACUUAUGACUUUCAAAAAAAUGCAAAAAAAAAUAGUCAAAGGUCCUUUGACCUUGUUUGACCUAUGAUAAAUCCCUUGGCCAUUUCUUUGGUGAUUUGAAGGGAUUUGAGGUUUUUUCCCUUUUAAAAUGGAUUUUCUUCAUUUAAAAAUUGAUUUAAAUUAUUUUAAUUGCUUUUAUAUUUUAUUGAUCUAUUUUAUUUGACUUUGUGUUGACUCAACUUCUGUUUGGCCUUGAUCUUGAUUGGAUUGGACAUUAAUUUGAUCAAUACCAUGGGAUUUAGGGGUUUGAUGAAGUUUGAACUUCAUCCCUCAAAAUGAAUUGAUGGUAUUGAUCAUCUGAGGUUCAUCAUUUGAUAAAUUUGGGAUAUCUUUCACCUUAUCUUUCCAUCUUCAUAUCUCUUCUUUCCCAAUCCACUCAUGACCAAUGAUUUCUCAUAAGAUCAAAAUGCUAGUUAAUUCAUCAAUGACCUUGUGUCAGAUGAAUCAACAUGAGCUUGAUUGAAAUAGGUACAUCCCCUUUUAUUUUUGUGUGUGGUAUGCUUUAGAUGCUUGGUCUUUAUACCUUGUCUCUACCAGGCAUUAACACCAAUAUUAUUAUUGCCUGGCCUCAGAUAGUUGUGACUUCUACAUAAGUCCAAUUACGAUUGCUUAACAUAUCGUUAAAUUUGUCACAAAAGGCAUAGACUUUUUGUAUGUGAGAUUGUAAGUCUCACAUUCCUCAUGGUAUUGUGUUAGGAUUUUGCCUCUUUCCCAUUUGUGAAAGCUAGUGGCAUACUUGUUGAUUUAUCCAAGUUGGAGCCCUUCGAAUGGAUGAUGUCUAGGUUCAUAUCUUCAUGCUUGUGAGUGGAUGGUUGAGUGUUCUCCAAAAAAUGACUUAAAGACAAUCUUUUCUUCUUCCACUAACAUUCACUAGCAUCUCUUUAUUGUUGACUUUAUUUUUAAUGUCAUUUACUUUAAUGCAAUUUAAAUUCUUGCAUUUUAUCAUUCAUUGUCAUUUACAUUCAUGCAAGUUGUUUAUCUUUCAGUCAUUUUCACUUAGCUCACUUGAGCCAUAUUUUGGGCUUGUAUUAUAUUGUAUGCUUGUGAUCUUGUUUUGUUUGUAGUCUUAGGACCUUAAAACACUUAAUAAACAAUAAAAAACCUAAAAAAAUACUUUGGUGGACUGUUGGACCUCUGUCUGUGACUUGAUCUAAACUUUUGAACUUAGAGUAGGCAACAUCCCUGUGCUUUGGAAGGACUUGGCGAAUUCCAUUAAUAUGAGACCUUAUCUUGACCAAUGACAUUCACCUAAUACAAGCAUUGAGAGACUCCUUUGGUUUAUUUAUUAUACACUUUGUCUUUGUGCUUAAGUUGUUAUUAUGAUCUUAUUGUUUCUAUCUGAUGCUUUCUCUUUGAGUAUGUUUCGAGGGAUAUUUCAUCUGAUACAAUCUAAAGGACAUUGAAGAUUGUUUGCUUUGGAGUUCUUGCUUGGAUGUUUGGUUAUAUUUCUUUGAUGCCAUCGGCCUUCUUCUUAAUUUCUUGGAUGAUUAUGCUUGUGGCUUGCUUGACAAUCCAAAGGAAAUGGUUUUCUAUCUGACACUAUUGUCUUGUGGAUACUUCCCAUUGGUUAGAUCUUUUCAACUCUAAACUUUAAAUCUUGUCUAAUGCUUGACAAUCCAAAGGAAAUGGUUUUCUAUCUGACACUAUUGUCUUGUGGAUACUUCCCAUUGGUUAGAUCUUUUCAACUCUAAACUUUAAAUCUUGUCUAGGAUAGUCCCUUCAUCUCCUUCUGCUUCUUUAAUUUCAAAAUCUCUCCCUCACUUUCAAAAACUUAUUUGUUGGUUGUUUUCAACUUAGACUUGUUUUAAUGAGUAGAAACCUUGGCCUUAUGCCAUUGAUAUUCAAAAUAUUUUUCUUAAGAAAACUUUUAAAUGAAUUUAAUUAUAUUGACUUUAUAUUCAAAAAAAGACAAAAAAAAAAGAACUAACAACCUCAUCUAAUCCUUUUGGCCAUUUUGUGCCUUUUCCUUUUAAAUUUUUCAAAAGCGAGCAUUUAGAUUUGAGUUAUCUUUGGUUGAUAUAUAAUUCUUCCAUUCCAUGAUAUAUUGAUUGUAAGUCUUUCCAUUUAUUAGGGGUUAGUGGCAUACUUAUUGAUUGAAUCCAAGUUGGGGCCCUCCCUCUUAAAUGUUGUGAAGCCCUCAUUAUCGGUGGAUUUGGGCUUGAAUAUUCUCCCGUUGAUAACAAAAGAUUUUUAAGCUUUUGUUAAAAUCAAUCCACCUAUCUUUGAAAUUUUUACCUUGAACUACGAGGUUUUUAUCCAUCUUUUUAUGUUGGUACGUAGGCCUAAGUCCGAAGGUCUUGUCAAACACAAAAAUUAUAAAUAUUGAAUUAUCUUCCCAUCUCCUCAUUCUAUUUUUUAGCAAACAUCUUUUUCAACUAAAACACUUGCACGCAAAAAGGGCUCCUUAAGAGUACCUAGGACACUUUGGGUGCUAAUACCUUCCCUCUGUGUAACCAACCCCUUUACCUGUAAUCUAUGACAAUUUAUUAGUUUUAAUUUGAAAACUUAUUAUCUUUGGUUUUGUUUGUACUUUUCCCUUUUCCUUUGGAAACAAUAAAAGCGUGGUGGCGACUCUGAUUUUAUUGACGUUGAGGUAACCAAUAACUCAGUGGCCAUAAAAUUACCACUACAGAAAGAAAGUGGCGACUCUGCUGGGGAGUAGUCCUCAGUGGGUUUAGCCUACUUUUUAUGUUUAUUAUAUUUGUUUAUUAUUGAUGUUUGUUUGCUUGUAUGUAUUGUAUGUGUGAAACUUUUUGUCUGUUGUGCUUGGUGAUCUCUGUGUGGUGAGAUAAGUUCUAUCCCGAACUUGAGUGAAAUCCAAGAUAGGAGGGUGGUAUAGUCAUUUUGGCUUUGAAGGAGUAGUUUUUGGUUCUAUGUGUUGGCAUCAAUUUUGGUAAAACUUAGGGUUAUCACAAGAUGUCACACGUGAUAUCAGCUUCCUGCAGGAUGUUUAAUAUGGUUGUGCAGGAUGUAGUCAAGACGUCAGACCCGAUGUUAAGACAUGUGCAUACAGAACAUUAAGUCUGAAUGUUAUGUGUUGUAUUAUUGCGCUUUUCAUGCAAGUCUUUGUGUGCUUAUGUGGAGAUUGCAUGCGUUAUUAAAGGAGUAAUUAAAGCCAAAAUAUUAUGCUUCCCAAAGAGGAAUGAUUUGUUACUAAUUCCUAUGGAAUACGCGUUAGAUAGGAUUAGGGUUACAUGCUUCCCAGGCCCAUUCAGAAAGCUUCUAUUUAAAGACCAUGUAACCCUGUGUAAUUGCAAGAAGAAAAUAUGCGAACGUUGAAGUCAGUGAGUAUUAGGGUUGUUAGCCUAUUGUGCAUUCAUGCAUUGUGAUCCAUUCGUUCAUCUGGUUGAUGUGUGAAUUGGACUGAGUUUUGUGUUGUAAUUUGUCUACUCUAAGCUUUGAAGUACACGUGUAUUUGUUUACUUGAUUUAAGCUUUUAAGCAAGAUCAAGUAUGUGUCCUUGAAGUGUGUCUUCUUUCUUUGUAGUUUUUGUUCUAAUAUCACUGCUGUGAUUGAGGGGGGUGAGUAGGGUCUCAUAUCUAAGAGUUCUUAGAUAGAAGUCACACGGGUAGAGAUUAGGUGAAAAGACUGUAACUUGAAAUUAUUUACUGAGAGUCUUUGAACCAAUUCUAUUUACUGGAUUUCCUUCCUGGCUUGGUAGCCCCCAGACGUAGGUGUGUUUGCACCGAACUGGGUUAACAAUUGCUUGUGUCGUUGUUUCAAUUGUUUCUUUAUUUUUAUCCUGUUUAUAUUUCACUUGUUGUUCAGAUAUUAGUGUCGUGACAUUACCUUCGACAUCUCAUAUUUGAUACCAGAAUUUCAAUUGGUAUCAGAGCAGGCAUCCUGCUCUGGCUCUGGGUGAGAUCUUAGGACGUUACUUUCUGGUACUAUGGAUAGAGGCGGAGGAUCUGUGCACAGACCACCAAUUCUGGAUGGAUCUAACUAUGACUACUGGAAACCUCGGAUGGUAGCCUUCCUGAAAUCCUUGGAUAAUAAGGCUUGGAAGGUUGUUCUAACAGGCUGGGAACAUCCCUUCACUACAAAGGAUGAAGAAGUUACAACUGAUAAGAAGCCUGAGGAAGAAUGGACCAAGGAGGAGGAUGAACUAGCUCUUGGAAACUCUAAAGCAUUGAAUUAUAUAUUCAAUGGGGUUGAUAAGAACAUCUUCAGACUGGUGAACAAUUGUGAUGUGGCUAAAGAUGCUUGGAAUAUUCUCAAAACCACUCAUGAAGGUACCUCUAGAGUAAAGAUGUCUAGAUUGCAGCUGCUUACUUCAAAGUUUGAGAAUUUGAGGAUGAAAGAAGAUGAAAGUAUUCAUGACUUCCAUAUGAAUAUCCUUGAAAUUGCUAAUGCCUUAGAAGCCCUGGGUAAGAAGAUGUCAGAUGAAAAGCUUGUGAGGAAAAUUCUCAGAUCACUUCCCAAGAGAUUUGCCAUAAAAGUAACAGCCAUAGAAGAAUCUCAAGAUAUCUGCAAGAUGAGAGUGGAUGAGCUAAUUGGAUCCCUCCAAACAUUUGAGUUGGGAAUGAGUGAUGGAUCUGAAAAGAAAGUCAAAAGCAUAACCUUUGUGUCAAACACUGAAGAUAAAAAGGAAGAAAGUAGUCAGGAUACUGAUGAAGAUAUGGCAAAUGAUUUAGCGUUACUUGGAAGAUAAUUCAACAAAAUCCUGAAGAGCAUGGAUGUGAGGUCAAAGUCUAAUGUCAAGAACAACUCAUUUGACAUCAGUAGGCCCAAUGAUGCUGGAAGAAGAACAAAAUCUAAAGAAAAAUCCAGACAGGGCAAAGGAAUUCAGUGCCAUGAAUGUGAAGGGUAUGGUCACAUUAGAGCUGAAUGUGGGACCUAUCUCAAGAAACAGAAGAAGAGUCUUGCUGCUACUUGGUCUGAUGAUAAUUUUGAAAGUGAAACAGAAGGAGAAUCUGCCAAUAUUGUGACUGCCUUGACUGGGAGAUGGGAUCCUGAUGAAGACUCCAGUGAUGAUGAAUUGACCUUUGAUGAAUUAGCUACUUCUUAUAGGAAGUUGUGUUUCAGAAGUGAAGAAGUGUGUCAACAAGUGGAGAAUCAUAAGAAACUAAUAACUCAGCUAGAGACUGAGAGGACAGAACACUUAGAAACCAUCUCUAAGUUGAAGAUUGAAGUUGUGUUCCUCAAUUCGAAACUGGAUUAGAUGACAAAGUAUGUCAGAAUGUUAAACAGUGGAUCUGACACCUUAGACAAAAUCCUCCAGGCUGGAAAGAUGGCAGGAGACAUGACUGGCCUUGGGUUCAAUGAAUCCUCUCCUGACUGUAGUCCCACUGGUAGCAAACCAAAGAUGUCACAUCAGGUGUCUCAACAUCACAAGGAAAGACAACAUAAAGGAAAACACCAAAGAUGGAGAUGUCAUUAUUAUGGGAAAUUGGGUCACAUAAAGAAGAUUAUCCAGAAGAUGGUUGUGACGUACAGAGAUUCACAUGAGAUGCUCCCAUUUACUUUGCAUGGGUACCAUACAUCCCUCUAAACUUCAAUAGGGGAAACCCCUUUUCUCUCUUGUUUAUGGCAUGGAAGUUGUGAUCCCCGUAGAGGUUGAGAUCCCAUCAUUGUGUGUAUUGAUGGAAGCCAAGUUAACCGGAGCUAAAUGGUGUCAGACCAAGUUUGAUCAGUUGAAUUUGAUUGAAGAUAAGAGAUUAACUACCAUGUGUCAUGGUCAAUUAUAUCAGCAGAGAAUGAAGAAAGCUUUUGAUAAGAAGGUCAAGCCUCGUGUGUUAUGAGAAGGUGACCUCAUGCUCAAGAAUAUGUUAUCUUUGAAACAUGAUUCAAGGGGCAAGUGGACUCCUAAUUAUGAAGGCCCAUAUGUUGUUAAGAGAGCCUUCUCAGGCGGUGUAUUGAUUAUUACAACUAUUGAUGGUGAAGAGUUCACUCGUCCUAUGAAUACUGAUCCAGCUAAGAAAUACUUCGCCUAAAAAAAGAAAAGAACAACUCGCUAAGUUGAAACCCGAAAGGGCGACUUAGGAAAAAAUGAGCGUCUCGAUGGAUUGAAAACCUGAAAGGGUGAUCCAGGAAAAAGUUAGAGACAUAAAACAGAAAAAUUAUCCCGGUAGAUUGAGUACCCCACCUUGGGGAAAUCUAGGCAAAAAUUAGGGAUUAUGGAUAGUAAUUACAUCCAGCUAGAUCUGAUCGUUGAAGCAGCAUUGUCCGUCAUUUGGUUCUAAUUCAUCAUUUUCAACCGAAGACAAAAGCACAGUGGCUUUCAAAGUUGGUAGGGAGAGUAGUUGUCAUCAUAUUCAGUGUAGCCCUUUUCCAUGUAAAUUACCAUUUUCAAACUUUGUAAAGAUCCAUGGAGUCCUACCAUUUGCAGACAACCAUUCUAUUAAAUAAAAUUGAGCCUUUAUCCAAUUAUUUGCAAUUCUUAUUUGUUUCUCUUUAAUAAAACUGCAUUUUUAUGAUGAUGAUUUUGAAAUAAAUAAAUCAAUGAAUAAACAUUUUUCUAAAAUAAUAAGGCAUUUACUUUAAGAACUUUGAAUUCAAAAAAGGAAUGUCAACAACAAUCUGAGAACGGUAAGUCUUAACGUGUGAAGCAUUAUUGUCUUCCCCAUGCAGUUUUUGGAGGUGUUUGCUCCUUAAACAGUCCGUUGUUCAUCCCCAGCGUGGUUGAUAUGUUGUUCUCCUAGUAGUUCAUCAUUCUUUCCCCGGUUGAGGCCUUCAUGGAUUUUCAUCCUUGAUUUGCAUUAAUGUGAUUGAACCCUGGAUCUCCAGUGAAACCUUUAUUUGGUUCUCGAAUCCCUAACACCUUUAUUUGGUGGUUGCAUAGUCGUGGCAUGAUUUCUCCCGUUGUGAGUUUCUGCAGGCCAGUUGUUGUUUUUUGGUACGUUGGAAUUGGUUUAUUUCUCAAUCUUCAAGAAGAGUCUUGUGACUGUUGUUUUCCUCUUGAGGAAUAUGUUGUUGUUUGUAUCCUAACAUGGCGCUUGAUUUGUCCUGAUGAAUUUUAUUCCCCAGUGAAGUCCCCAUAGAGUUGAUAUUGAAUUGAUAGAAUCCCGAGUAAGUUGUCUGGUUCCCCACUCAGAGUCUUUGUCUCUUGUUGUGAUGUGGAUUCCCCACAGAGUUUCCUCUUCUGAUGAAAGAUCUCCCCAUUCAGGCAGCGUGUGAUUCAGAGCAGUAUUGAUGUAGUCGUUCCCUGUAGGGUUGUCUCCCAUUUGAUAUUGUGUUGAUAUAAAAUUCCCCGCAUCGUUGACUUGUGGAUUUAAAUUUUAUAUAUAUAUCCCUCAGCUUGAAGGUGUGGAUCCUCAACAAAUCUCUCUUAUCCUUAGCAUGUUGGUUGAUGUCCUCAACAAUUCUUUCGUUCCUCAACGAAGUUUCCAAGUUGUAUUUUUCUAUUCUCCUAGAGAGUUUGAGCUUUAAGUAAGAUCUUUUUUAAUCAUUUCUUAUACCCUAGCAGUUGUUCCUCCUCUCCCGAGAGUCGAGUUUUAAAGUUGGAUCUGUUUUGAUCCCCAUGAUUGCUAUUGAUACACACACACACACACACACACACACACACACACACACAACCAUACACACACACACACACACACACACACACACAAGGUGCUAAUAAUCCUUGUGCUACUAAUCUUACUUUGUUUUUAGUAAUAACCCCUUGUUCAUAAGACUUAUUCUUAUACACCCACUUUGUACCUAUGACAUUUACUCCUUCAGGUCUAGGAACCAGUUCCCAUACUUCAUUCCUCUUGAAUUGACCUAACUCCUCCUGCAUGGCAUUGUACCAAAACUCAUCAUUCAAGGCUUCCUUGACAUUAUUAGGUUCAAUCUUGGACACAAAGCAGCCAUGUGAGAUCAUUUCCCUUGAUCUAGUAGUGAUCCCUUUAUUUGGAUCUCCUAUAAUGAGAUCUUUGGGAUGAUCCUUCUGAACUCUGAUGGAGGGUCCCUUGUUGAUUUUGUCAUCUUCAGGUUCAGCUUGAGGAGGUUCACUCUCUUUAUUUUUGUCUGAGAAGUCAGUUGGGAAAUCAUUCAGAGGUGUCUCGACAUCGUCUGUGACAUCAGUCUAUUGGUCAUCAACCACAACAUUGAUAGAUUCCAUCAUUACUUUAGUUCUGGAAUUAAAGAAUUUGUAUGCUCUGCUGUUUGUUGAGUAGCCCAGAAAUAUUCCCUCAUCACUUUUGGGAUUUAUCUUCCUUCUUUGUUCACUUCUAAUUUUGAUAACUUGACUUUCCUUUUCUCUUUGAAGUUUUAGACAAAGAUCUUUGAAGACUUCAAACACAUCAGAUUUGUUUCUGAUAAAGUUGAUCCAGGUGUAUCUGGAGAAGUCAUCCACCACUACAUAUGCAUACUUCUUCCCACCAAGGCUUUCCACCUGCAUGGGUCCCAUCAAAUCCAUAUGGAGAGUUCCAAACCUUUAGAAGUGGUGUCAUGUCUGAGUUUCUGGUGUGACAUCCUUGUCUGACAUUUCCCAUAGACUUUUCUUUCAUCAACCUUCAAGUUGGGAAUUCUUCUAACAGCUUUAACAGAUAUAAUCAUCUUCAUACCUUCAAGAUGAAGAUGACUCAAUCUUUGAUGCCAUGUCUUCACUCCUUCUUCUUUGACUAAGGUACACUUUGAGGAAUAACCAAUUUGAGAAUUCCACAUGUAACAGUUGUCUUUGGACCUGACUCCUUUCAUGAUCACUUCACUUUCUUUGUUAGUAAUCAGACAUUCAGUUUUAGUGAAGUUAACAUUUAGACCUUGGUCACACAGUUGACUGAUGCUAUGUAACAGUUGUCUUUGGACCUGACUCCUUUCAUGAUCACUUCACUUUCUUUGUUAGUAAUCAGACAUUCAGUUUUAGUGAAGUUAACAUUUAGACCUUGGUCACACAGUUGACUGAUGCUUAUUAGCUUUGCAGUUAAGCCCUUCACAAGUAGGACAUUGUAAAGAUCAGGAACUCUAGGGAAGUCAAGCUUACCAAUCCCCUUGAUUUCACCCUUUUCUCCAUCACCAAAGGUUACAUAGCUCGUGGCAUGAGGAUGAAGGCCAGUUAGCAGGUUUUUGUUUCCAGUCAUGUGUCUGGAGCACCCACUGUCAAAAUACCAAUCUUCUUUGGCUGAAACUCUGAAGGAAGUGUGAGAUAUUAGACUUGUAACAUUAGUCUUAGGAACCCAUUGCUUUUUGUUGACAGGACUGUGAUAUUUGGGUUUAGGUUGAUGGUGAGUGUGAUGAUGAACAGGGCUAGGAUAACCAUACAACUUAUAACAGAAGCGCUUUGUGUGGCCAAAUUUUCCACAGUAAUGGCAUCUCCAUCUUUGGUGUUUCCCUUUAUGUUGUCUUCCCUUACGAUGUUGUGACAUAUGAUGUGACAUCUCAGGUUUUCUUUUAAUAUGGCUGCACUUAGGUUUGGAUUUAGGUUUGCCACCAGUGUAACUGCACUCAGGCUUAGAUUCGUUGAACCCAAUGCCAGAUUUGUCUCCUGUUAUUUGUCCAGUCUGGAGAAUCUUGUCUAAGGAGUCAGAUCCAUUGUUUAACAUUCUUACAUACUUGGUCAUCUCUUCCAGUUUAGAAUUCAAGAAAACAGCUUCAGUCUUUAACUUGGAGAUGGUUUCCACAUGUUCUGCCUAAUCUCUUCCAGUUUAGAAUUCAAGAAAACAGCUUCAGUCUUUAACUUGGAGAUGGUUUCCACAUGUUCUGCCUUCUCAUUCUCCAGCUGUGCUAUCACUUUCUUCUGGCUAUCAACUUGUUGACUCUUAUGUAGUUUGGCAUUCAGUAACACUACUUCAGUUUUUAAUUUAGAUAUGGUUUCCAAGUGUUCAACCUUCUCAUUCUCCAAUUGAGUUAUCACCUUCUUCUGGUUUUCAACCUGUUUACACACUUCUGCACUUCUGUGACACAACUUUCUGUAGGUAGUGGCCAACUCUUAAAAGGUUACUUCAUCAUCACUUGAGUCUUCAUCAGAACCCCAUCUUCCAGUCAAGGCAGUCACCAGAUUUGCAGACUCUUCUGUUUCACUUUCAUCAGACCAAGUGGCAGCAAGACUCCUCUUUUGUUUCUUGAGGUAGGUUCCACAUUCAGUUCUAAUGUGUCCAUACCCAUCACGUUCAUGGCACUGAACUCCUUUUCCCUCUUUGGGAUUUUCAUCUGACCUUGUUCUUCUUCCAACAUUGUUGGAUUUACUGAUGUCAGAUGAGAUGUUCUUGACAUUUGCCUUGGAUCUUACAUCCAUCUUUUUGAAAAGUUUGUUGAACUGUCUUCCCAACAUUGCUACAUCAUUUUCCAGGUCUUCAUCAACAUCCUGACCACUUUCCUCCUCUUCCUCCUCAGUGUUUGACAUGAAGGCUAUGCUUUUGGCUUUCUUUUCAGAUCCAUCACACAUUUCCAUCUCAAAUGUUUGGAGGGAACCAAUUAGCUCAUCAAUUCUCAUAUUGGAGAUGUCUUGAGACUCUUCUAUGGUUGUCACCUUCAUAGCAAAUCUCUUAGGGAGUGACCUGAGUAUUUUCCUUACUAAUUUUUCAUCUGACAUCUUCUCUCCCAGAGCUCUUGAGGCAUUAGCAAUUUCAAGGAUACUCAUAUGAAAUUCAUGAACAUUUUCAUCUUCUUUAAUCCUUAAAUUUUCAAACUUGGUGGUGAGCAGCUGCAGUCUAGACAUCUUCACUCUAGAGGUGCCUUCAUGAGUGGUUUUGAGAAUGUCCCAGCAAUCUUUAGCCACCUCACAGUUGUUUAUCAAUCUGAAGAUAUUCUUGUCUACUCCAUUGAAUAUAGCAUUCAAUGCUUUAGAAUUUCAAGGGCUAGAUCAUCCUCCUCCUUGGUCCAUUAUUCUUCAGGCUUUUUACAGUUGUAGCUUCUCCUUCCUUAGCAACUACUGGAUGUUCCCAGCCUAUUAACACAUCCUUCCAAGCCUUAUUAUCCAGAGAUUUUAGAAGGCUACCAUUCGACGGUUUCUAGUAGUCAAAGUUGGAUCCAUCCAAAAUAGGUGGCCUGUGAACAAAUCCUCCAUCUCUCUCCAUAGUACUAGAAAGUAUCGUCCCUAGAUCUCACCAGAACCAGAGCAGGAUGCCUGCUCUGAUACCCAAUUGAAAUUCUGGUAUCAGAUAUGAGAUGUCGAAGGUAAUGUCACGACACUAAUAUCUGAAUAAUACAAACAUGAUAAAGAUAAAGAAUAGUAAUGCAAGAGACACAAGCAAUUGUUAACUCAGUUCGGUGCAACUCACCUACGUCUGGGGGCUACCAAGCUAGGAAGGAAAUCCACUAAAUAGAAUCAGUUCAAAGACUCUCAGUAAACUACACAAGUUAUAGUCUUUUUCACCUAAUCUCUACCCGUAUGAUUUCUACCUAAGAACUCUUAGAUAUGAGAUCCCACUCACUCCCCCUCAAUCACACCAGUGAUAUUAAAUAAGAAUUACUUAUGAAAAGAAGACACUCUUCAAAGACACACACUUGAUCUUACUUAGCAGCUUCAAUCAAGUAGACACCACUCAUGCUUAAAAGCUUAGAGUGACAAAUUACAACUCAAAAAUCAGACCAAUUCAAUCAUCUAUGGAUGAAUUAAAUGGCUUACAAGUCACACAACCACACAAGACUAAAACCCUUAUUCUCUCUCAAUAUUUUGUUCUGUAUUUCUUGUGUAUCAAAUCAGGUUUUCCAUGUCCUUUUUAUAGAAGCAUUCAGCUGGGCUUGGACAUCAUAAAACCCUAAAACUAUUUUCCACUCAUAUCUUCUCAUGACAGUUGAUUAGAUCUCUUUGGAAAACAAGUUUAAUCACGUUGUAAUUACUGAUUGAUAGCGUGUUCAAUUAACUUAUCAAUCAGACUGAAUGUUUUGUGUACAGAUGUCAUGACAUCGGGUCUGACAUCCUGGAACAAUCCUGCAUAAUUCCAUUUUAAAUAUCCAACAGGUACAUUAUAUCAGAUGUCAUGACAUCGGGUAUGACAUCCUGAAACAAUCCUGCAUAUAAUUCCAUUUUAAAUAUCCAACAGGUACAUUAUAUCAGAUGUCAUGACAUCGGGUAUGACAUCCUGAAACAAUCCUGCAUAAUUAUAUUUUAAACCUCCAGCAGGUACAAGAUAUCUUAUGUUAAGGCAUCACAUGUAACAUCUUGUGAACACUCUUUGUUUUACCAAAAUUGCUGCCAACACUUAGAGCCAACAUUUCCCCAGCAGGCUAUUCUUACCCAGUAACCGAUAAUGGAUAUUCCUCAGUUUCCUCUGCGAGUCACCCUUGAUAUGUUUACCUCAACCGGUAACGGAUGUCCCUCUAUUCGAGUGUAUUAUCUUCCUACCAAGUAAUAGGUGGUAGAUAUAUAUCUCUUUUACUCAUGUGUUGAAGUUUUUCUACCUUAGUUGAGUAUGGAUUCGUAUUUCUUUGUGAAAUCGAAUUUCCUUUUGUUUGGGUAUUUCAGCUUCAUUCUAAUUUACGCCUUUCCCCAGUGGUUGUUUCUUGCUGUGUUGGUUUUAUUCCGAUACAUGCAGAUUCUUUUUCCCCAGUCCAAGUCUUUCCAUUGAUUUAUUUUCAUGGAAAUCCCCUCGUGUCUCUAGUAGUCUUUUAAGUCGUAGCCUGGCCUACGUAUAACUUUUAUCCCUAGAGUCUUUGUCCCCUCAAUGAGUUUUCCUUAUGGAAUGCAUUGUGCUCUUGUGGAUUUUCAGUCUCUCUGGAUUCUUUUCCUUUGUGGCAUAUAUCCCCCCGAAAUAUUAUUUUUGCAUUCAUAUCAUAUGCAUCAUGAGGUCUCUCAGGGACAAAAAUUUGUUUCUUGAUCUUGUUAUUUAAGUUCAUUCUAGUGUGUUGAUACAAAGAUUUUAACCUUCACAUCCCUGGAUAGAAUGACCUUAAAUAGAGGCAGUUGUAAGACCCCAAUUUUGACCCCUAAGAUCCCUCAUGCCAUUUCAUAGCAUUGCAUUGGCAUUGGGGUCACAACUUGGUAUCCUUCUCACCUUUCAUUCAUUGGGUUUGCAUUGGGAGAGAUCACCAAGCAUAUUUGAUUGUAUCAUCCUUUAUUUUUGUUUAUUUACUAACCAAAAUACCAAAAAUAUGUCUAGUGUAGCUUUGUUUCUUUUGUAGGUAGUGUGUGUACCCACUUGUGCCUCAUCAAGCUCACAACUAGGGUUUCAUACUGUCGCAUUACGCGAAAAAACCGGCGGGAAAACAAGAACAACAGAGCCGCCACCGUGCGUUAUUUAUCCCAAAAGAGGGAAAGGAAACGCUCAGAGUAAACCUGGAAAGAACAUGGUCUCGCGACUCAGCGACCAAAGAGAAUGGGAUCGGGAGGUCGGUUAUGCGAAGGGAAGGUAUUAGCACCCCUACGCAUCCGUCGUACUCGACGGGAUCCACGCACAAUAGGAAGGAAAAUGGUUGCUAAACACUGCUCAAACUCACACACACUGGCUGAAAGAGACACAGAAAAACAAAGGGACUGACUCGGCAGGACAUCGCAUCCUGGGCCUACUUAGUCUAUCAGGCAUAGACAUCAGAGUCAAAGUAGUUCGGACUGCGGGAACGACACAUGCUUGCUAGGAUGUCGCAUCCUAUGCAUACGUAUCUCCUUGGACGAAGGAGAAUCAGAGCAUUCGUAGCUCGGCUAACACACACACAAACAAACACAGGCAAAGGAAAACGUGGAGCCUGAAUGCCAAUCACUGGACUUACAUCAGCAUCCGAACCAAAACACACACAAAGAGGCAAACGUGGAGCCUGAACGCCAAUCACUGGACUUACAUCAGCAGUCCGAACCAAACAAAACCCACGAUGGAACCCGAAUGCCACUCGAUGGACGUUACAUUCAGCUCCAAGACACAACAAGACAAAACAAAGACACAGGCGCCCGGGAGGAGAUCAGCUCAUCUCCUGCCUACGUACCUCAUCUGGUAUGAGGAUCAGGGUGACGUAGUUCCCCUACAGAGGGAUAAAGGACUAGCCUAACCAGAUAACAGAGGGAGACACAACUAGGGAGACUACGGCUCGAGCCUAGAUGUUAUCAUGCAAAAUCAUCCCUAAGUUAAGGUUUCUAGCUAACUUGCACAGGAAGCAAGCCUAUCCUAAUCAUUGACUUGCACAGGAAGCAAGCCACACCUAACUUGCACAGGAAGCAAGUCAAACUAAACCUAACUUGCACAGGAAGCAAGUCAAACUAAACCUAACUUGCCACAGGAAGCAAGCUAAAGCAAACACACAAGCACAAGUAGCACACACUAUAUGCAAGCAAUGGGCUCAAACAAGGUUAGGUUUUUAGUCGAGGGGUCAUAUCAACCUCAACAAACAACCUCUGGAACUGUGAGUGUUAGCUCUUAACCUUGCCAUUGAGGGGCUAAGGUGAAGCAGAUGAAAGGUGAGUGAAGAUAAGACUUCACAGCUCUUAUCCCUGGCCUGGGAGAGCUUAAGACAAGAAUGUGUGGGUUCAGAAGGUGGAACCCUUCUACACAUUUGAAACUGACUCAACUGUACAAUUGUACAAGAUCUUGGGUUGUAUCUGCAAUGCAUCAACACAGUGGUGUGAGCAAAGCAGAUGACACACAGAAUAACAGGGGAUAGAUUGCAUAUCCCUUGUGUCUGCCAAUGCCUCUUCAUUAGGAGGUCUUUGACUCUGUACAAGGACAAAUGUAAACAGUCACAAACAUUGCCUCUUAAGGAGGACUUCAGACAGUUGCCUGGCCAAGUAACAGGCCAGGUCUUCCAGACUACAUGAAGAUGAGAAGUUAUACCUGAAUGCAAAUUGCUUAUCAAGCAAAGCAAAGCAAAGUUCACAAGGAACUAAAGCAACUAAAAGUACCUGAAACCAGUCAGACAACAUUAGUACACAAGUCAAAGUUAAAUCAAAAGAUGAAACAAGGUCAACAGUCAACACAAGCAGAUAAAUGUGCAAAUGCACAAAGCUCAAGGCAUUGUGAGCCAAGCAACCUACAAAACAAAUAGGUUAUUCAUGAUAAGCAAGCAACUCAAUCAAUUUUAUAUUGGUCUCAUUGUUAAUUGUUUGGUUCAACCUGAAAACAUGAACUCAAAUGUGAGUAGCAGGACCACUGGGCAAGCCUAGGGUCAAAAGGGAAUGAAAACAUUAAAACAGCAAGUGGCAAGCAUCCAAAAUCAUGUUCAAACAAUCAAGAAACAAUACCAAUUGGUUUCACAUUCAUAUCAAUAUAUCAUCAUCAUUUCAUGAACAAGCUAGGUCAAGGUAUUGCCAACAGAAGCUCAUAGAAGUCAACAGCAAAGACUUAGCUCAAAACAAUCUUAAACAUUUCCAAAAAUCACCAAAUAAUCAUGGUCAAUCACAACCCACAUCAUGGUAAGCAUGUCAAAUUUCAUCUCAUUUGGACAAGUGGAAGGCAGUCAAUGAAAAUCAGAAAGGCAAAGCAAUUUUGAACAUGCUCAAAGAAGUCAAACCAACGUGCAUCAACUUGAAAAAAUCAUAAAUCAGGGAUGGCAUAAGAUAAAUGAAUGGGACUAUAACCAUGGCAAAGCUUAGAUGUUAGUAAUCACAUACCAAAUUUCAUGUCCAUCUAAUAAAGUAUGAGCAUUUCACAAAACAAAUGGAGCAAGUUGUCACAAAAAGUCAACGUAGACCAAACAGUGGGACAAAAUCUUAAUCAAUUGGAAAAUGCCAUAAACAAAUCCACAAAAAAUCAUAUGUAAACUAGACAUACUCAAGCUCAAUCAUGCAAAACAAUCCAUUUUGAGGUCAAUAGGCAUGGCUAUGAAAAAUCAUCAAGUGCACAUCAAUUGGUGUGACACAAAUUUUCACACCCUACUUCAAAAAUCAUAACUCACAAUUCAGAUUAGAAAAUUCAUGAUCUUUACACAAAAUCACCAUAGAGAGGUCUAGUUUGUGCACAAAAAAUUUUCAAGGUCAAAGGUUAAAGCAUGACUAUUUCACAAAUGAUUUGGUGGAAUGUGCAAAAUGUGGAUACAUGUUACAAACCAAAUUGCCAAAUAAAAUCCAUUCAUCCACAAAAUCUGGAAAAAAUAUGACAAUUAAGUAAGAGUCAUGAAUGAAAAGAAUGCAAAAAUUCCCAUGAGGAAUUGGACUUAAAAUGAUGGAGAUAUGAGUUUUCAAAGUUAGAGAUCAAAAAUGAAAUUAAAUUGAAAAAUAAACAUGAAAUAAUAGGUCAAAAGGGCCACGGAUGGCAUAAUUGUAAAUAGAGGAUCCACUUAAUCCAAACGCGGUCGUUUGGUACACGGCAGGAAAUAAUUUCAUUGGCUGUUGGCUACAGGACCAUGCCUGCACGUGGGAAGGAAGAAAUCUGGGCAAGGCAAUUGAAUCUUAGGUUUACUAUGAACAGCAUGCAUCUUCAUCUUCCAAAAUCGAUUCAAUCAAAAAUUUUCCCAGGAAUUGCAAUUGGGCACACCCAUCAUGAUCAGUAAACAAUGUACAUGCAUAAUCUACAAGCCCUUUUCAUUUAAAUCCACUUGAACAACACGAAUCACACCAAAACAUAUUUCAUCAACAAACUUUUAAAACAGCAUAUCUCCUAACUAGUCAAACCAAUUCAUGUGAUUCGAAGGCUUAAUGUGAUCAGGGACAAAGAGAUCUACAAGUGCAUAUCAUGAAUUAGAGAAAAAAAAGAGAUCGAGUUUUUACUUGAUUCUUGAAGAAAUUCAGAAGCAGUGGUUGUUUGGUGCUGCAAGCUUGAAACCGAUGUCCUAUGACCCUCCAAGUGAUGAAUGAUGAAGAUGGUUUGGCUUGAAACAACUUGAAAUAGCUUUAACCAAACUUUGCCAUUGAUGGAGCUUUAGCAAACACAGUCCACGAAAUGGCCCUCCAGUUGGUUAUGUGAUGGUUGCAAUAGGCUCACAAUGAUGUUAUAUGAUGAAAACAACAAUGGCCAGCUCGAGUUUCUCUGAGUUUUUGGCAGAAAAUCAAAAAUGAAGAAAUGAGAUUUUGAGAGAGAGAGAGUUUUUCUGUUUUCUAAUGGUGGCUUCUAGGGUUUCUUUCAGAGAGAAAAUGAUGAAUAUAUACUCUGUUUAAUGGUACUAAUCAAGGUUAAUGAAAAAGUGGAAUUGGAGUUGGUAAAAGUGUCCUUUUGCCAAUUUCAAACAAGUUGGUAAUGGGUGUAUGUACUGCACGAAAAUGGGCUCCAACAAGUUUGAACAACAUGUUCAGAAACAUAUUUGAAUGGCAAAAAUGGUUCGGAAAUGAUUAAUUGAAGAUUCACUUUUUCACCUCACUUAAAAUUAAUUCAAGUAGGUUCAAAAAUGCCAUUUUGAUCUAUGAUGUUUUUGGUGAAUGAUGGUGACAUUUUUGGAAAGAGGGGAUCAAAUGUGACUUGUAGGAAAAAAACCCCACCAAAUUGGCCAAAUGGUUUGAGAGAUAUGGCCUUUUGAAAGUUCAAGAAUUUUUGAAAAUGAAUUGAUUCAUAUCUUGCCAACCAUACAUGGGAAUUUGAGAGUUCUUGGAUUUUUGGAAAUGGUGAGACAAGAUUCUUCAACGUUUCAUGUUGGGAAAAAAUUCAUUUGAAGCUUGUAUCAUGAUGUAAGUUUAGGCUCAAGAAGUUUCCAUUUUGGCAAGUUUCAGUUACAGGUCCAGUUUCUAUUUUUGGAAAUUUCUGAUUUGGCUUCCAAAUUCUUCAAUGAUGUGUUUGACAUGAUAUAUGAGGCUAUUUAGACAUGAAUAAGCUCUCUCAACCAAUCCCAUCAUCAAAACAUAAAAUAACGUCACAGUUGACCAGUUUUGAUUUUUAGGGUUUCUGAUUGACUGUGCAUUGUGAUGAUGACUUCUGAUCAUUCCAAUCCUUGACCAAAACACUCCAAAAGGGAUUCCCUAGGUCAUGUGAAACAUGUUGGACCAAUCCUAGGGCCUUGUCUCCUUAAAUUUUACUGCUUGCUUUGACUGACUGGAUCUCCUGACCAGUUUGACCUAAUCUGUCUGAUUUCUUGCACUUGGGGGCAAAGGACAAUUGCAUGCUAUGCGUGACUAUGUUAAAUGUUAAUGACCUAAUAAUGAGAAUGUAUGUACAAGAAGUAGGCUGCAAAUUUGAGGGUGCUACAGCUGCCCCCUAUUCAAUCAGCUGGGGAAACCCGAAACGAUGAGCGUAGCUGAAUCAGGCAGUAACCAGACGGAAGCCGCGGAUAUAAGAAGGUCAUUUCAGACACGCCAUGACACUUAAAGGCCAAACAGUCAUGGUAAACUGGACUUUACGGAUCACUUGCGCAACGAUGCUUGGAACAAACUCUGAGAUGUAUAAAGGAGCGAAACUACUGUUAAAGAAAUUCAUUCCGAUAUCAACCCCUCGACAUUUCAUGCUCUGCACGGAUCCUAUGAUACAAGGAAACACGCAUUAUAUGCGAUAUGAACUGGCAAUUCGAAAUUUCCGAUAGCGAAGAACCAUUACGAUGUUAACGAGAACUGGAUACAAAUUGUAUGUUCGUAAUCAACUCAGCAAGACGUUUACCCGAUUUUGGGAUCUCUGCUGAGGAAAGACACUUCCGAUCGAUGUUUCAGAAGGAACGAACAUUACGUGUUUACCACAUCGAAAUAUGACUUUACCGCAUAUCACUCAAAUACUCAGACCAUUACCGAAUGAGCUGGGGAGAUCCCAGUAUGUUACGCAACGAAAAAUGGGGCAUUUACCUAUCAUGCGGAAAAAUGACAUCAACUUUUACGAUGACUGGCGAGAAUACGUUGCAUUUACCGAUGCGCCACCUAGAACAAAUCUUGUGGUUGUGUAUUAAACAAGACGAUUACCAAGAGACCGGGAUUCAGCGUGGAUAUCAGACAUUUACCGAUGUCUGGCAGAGAAGACCGAUGUUUACACCGACACAUCGAAACAGAUGGAUGUUACCGCACACUCAAAAGCCAAUGACCAGGACAUUACCGAUUAUGGGGAGAACCCGAUGUUUACAGCACGAAACAAUGGUGUUUACCGACACCAACAAUGAUGACCCAGACAUUUACCGAUUGACUGCGGGAGAAUAUAACCCGAUGUUUACAGACACCCGAACAAUGCGUGUUUAACCGCGGACACCAAAAAUGAUGACCAGACAUUUACGAUGACGGGGGAAUACACGAGUGUUUACAGGACACCGAAAAACAAUGCGUGGUUUACCGACACCAAAAAAUGAUGACAGACAAUUUACGAUGACUGGGCAAGGCAAUUACCCGACUGUUUACAGACACGAAAAACCAAUGGUGUUUUUACCGGGACCCCCAACCAAAAAAUGAUGACCAGGACAAUUUUACCGAUGAAACUGGGAAGAAUUUUUAAACCCCCCCCCGGGGGGGGGGGGGGGGGGGGGGGGGGGAAAAUUUUUUUUUUUUUUUUUGGGGGGGGGGUUAUACAAGACCACGGAAAACAAAGGUUUGGUGUUUAAACCGGACAACCAAAAAAAAUUUGAAUUUUUGGGACCCAGGGGACCAUGUUUACCGAUUUUUUGGACUGGGGAGGAAUUUUAAACCCGAUGUUUUUUUACAGGGGGACACCGGGAAAACAAUGGUUUGUUUACCGACACCCAAAAAAUGAUGGACCCAGACAGUUUUACGAUGACUGGGGAGAAUUAUACUCUCUUUUNNNNNNNNNNNNNNNNNNNNNNNNNNNNNNNNNNNNNNNNNNNNNNNNNNNNNNNNNNNNNNNNNNNNNNNNNNNNNNNNNNNNNNNNNNNNNNNNNNNNNNNNNNNNNNNNNNNNNNNNNNNNNNNNNNNNNNNNNNNNNNNNNNNNNNNNNNNNNNNNNNNNNNNNNNNNNNNNNNNNNNNNNNNNNNNNNNNNNNNNNNNNNNNNNNNNNNNNNNNNNNNNNNNNNNNNNNNNNNNNNNNNNNNNNNNNNNNNNNNNNNNNNNNNNNNNNNNNNNNNNNNNNNNNNNNNNNNNNNNNNNNNNNNNNNNNNNNNNNNNNNNNNNNNNNNNNNNNNNNNNNNNNNNNNNNNNNNNNNNNNNNNNNNNNNNNNNNNNNNNNNNNNNNNNNNNNNNNNNNNNNNNNNNNNNNNNNNNNNNNNNNNNNNNNNNNNNNNNNNNNNNNNNNNNNNNNNNNNNNNNNNNNNNNNNNNNNNNNNNNNNNNNNNNNNNNNNNNNNNNNNNNNNNNNNNNNNNNNNNNNNNNNNNNNNNNNNNNNNNNNNNNNNNNNNNNNNNNNNNNNNNNNNNNNNNNNNNNNNNNNNNNNNNNNNNNNNNNNNNNNNNNNNNNNNNNNNNNNNNNNNNNNNNNNNNNNNNNNNNNNNNNNNNNNNNNNNNNNNNNNNNNNNNNNNNNNNNNNNNNNNNNNNNNNNNNNNNNNNNNNNNNNNNNNNNNNNNNNNNNNNNNNNNNNNNNNNNNNNNNNNNNNNNNNNNNNNNNNNNNNNNNNNNNNNNNNNNNNNNNNNNNNNNNNNNNNNNNNNNNNNNNNNNNNNNNNNNNNNNNNNNNNNNNNNNNNNNNNNNNNNNNNNNNNNNNNNNNNNNNNNNNNNNNNNNNNNNNNNNNNNNNNNNNNNNNNNNNNNNNNNNNNNNNNNNNNNNNNNNNNNGAGAUCAAUUUCUGCAUUUGGCUUCAAAUUCUUCAAUGAUGAUGUUUGACAUGAAUAUGAGGCCUAUUUGGACAUGAAUAAGCUCUCUCAAACCAAAUCCAUCAUCAAAACCAUAAAAAUCAGUCACAGUUGACGCAAGUUUGACUUUUUAGGGUUUCUGAUUGACUGUGCAUUGACUGAUGACUCUGAUCAUCACAAUCCUUGACCAAAACACUCCAAAAGGAUCCCUAGGUCAUGUGAACAUGUUGGACCAAUCCUAGUAUCCUAGGGCCUUGUCUCCUUGGAAAUUGUACUUGCUUGCUUGACUGACUGAUCUCCUGACCAGUUUGACCUAAUCUGUCUGAUGAUCUUGCACUUGGGGCAAAGGACAAUGCAAUGUUAUGCAGUGAACUAUGUUAAAUGUUAAUGACCUAAUAAUGAGAAUGUAUGUACAAGAAGUAGGUGCAAAUUUGAGGUGCUACACAUACCCUCAAUGCAAGGGAUCAAGUUAGAAAAGGUCCACAUUAGUUCUAAGCAUCAUAUAUGGAUCCCUAUGUUCUUUAUUUGACAUUUUUAUCAAGAAUUCAUCAAGAGUUUGAAUCUUGUUUGUCAAGGAAGCCCUAAUUCACCUGGGUAUCUUGUGUGCCUUCCUCAACAAUUUUCUUCAACAUUUAGUCAAAUAUAUUAUGGGAUACUUCAUUUGACAUCAUCAUAAGCAUAUUUGAUCCUCCAUGAGCCCCAAAUAGGAAGAGAUCUUCAAGUUUGCAAGUUGGUUCAAGGAGGUUGACCAAAAAAGUCAACUAAUCAAAUAUAGGGUUCCCUAGACCCUAUCUCCUACAAUUUUUAUCAUAUGAAAAUUAUUCCAAGAGAAAAGUUACUCUUUACGACAUUAAAAACAACUUUAAUGUUGGCAUCAAGAGCUAACUUUUCUUGGAAAUUCAUUUUUAAUGUGAAAGAUUAUAGGUCAUUUUCUUUGUGCCCUAGAUAGAAGGUCAACUUCCGAGAACCAUAACUUACUCAAUUUUUAUUAUAUGAAUAUGAUCCAAGUUUCAUGAUCAAUUUCAAGAUAUCUUCUUAAACGUUUCUUCUUUAAGAAAUGUCAAAUUCCACUUUCAAGAGCAUGUGCCAUGAGGAAAGAUUAUAGGUCUAUUUUGGUCUUCAUCAAUGAACAAGCAUUUUUCCUCAACUUCUAAAAUCCAUAACUCUAUAAUGCAAGCUCCAAAUCGUGUCAAAUAUGUGACCAAAUUGAAUAUGAUUGAAACCUUUACAAAUUUUAAGAAGGAACCAAAGUCAUUUGAAGCUCAUAGAAAAAGUUAUUCAAGGUGGAAAAAGGGGUCAUUUUACUUGUAACUUAGAAAAUUUUCUAGUAUGUUUGAUUCCUCCAACUUCAAGGUUAGAAUUCAUCAUGUUCCAAGAUACAAAUGGAAAAAGUACCAACAUCAAAGUUAUUCCUCAUUACAGUAUAUUUCUAAAGAGUCCAAGAUCAUUCCAUUUGGAAAAUAUUUGAAGGGGUUGCGCAUAGCUUCUUUGCAUGGCUCAAUUUUGCAACUUUUGAACUCAAAUGUUGAACACUUUUGCAUGGCUUCAUGUUAUGAUCUCAGUAUCAUUUGCGCACUAAUUUGGACUGAUUGCAAUGAUCAUUUGGGCCUAAACACAUGCCCAUGAACCCAUGCAGAUCAAUUAAUAUUUUUGGGUUCAAAUUUCAAAUGGUGUGGAAAUGAAUUGCAUUGCCUAUAAAUUGAACUCCAUAGGCUCAGAAUGAAGAAUAACCCUUGACCAAGUUGUGCCAAGCAAUCCCAUAUCAAUACUUGAGAGAAUACCUUGAAGAUUUCAUUGAAAUCGAGCUUCUAGUUCAACUUUUAUUUCUGAACUAGAACUCCAAGGAUUCAAAGCCUUUUUUAUUCUAAUCAUCUCCUGCAAGCAAAAGGAAGCAAGGCCAAGUGGAAUUGCAACAAGAUCGAGCCUCAUCACUGCAACCCGAAGGUGAAUUUUCCUGAAUUUCAACUCUUCGAUUCUCUUUCAUUUCCUAAUAUUUUUGCUUGUUUUGUGGUCUCCUAAAGCCCUACCAAUCUAGGCAUUGAUAUUGAAUUGCUUUGAGGUUGAAUGAAGCAACUCAGUUUUGGAACCUCAAUUUUCAACUCCACAUUUCUCAUUAUAGAGUGAGAGUUGGAAAAUUUGGAGGUCAUAUUUGGAAUCCUCACGAUUUUCCUUUUAAAUUAAUGUAUGCUCCAUUUAUUUUGGUGAUAUUUUUGUUGGACUAGUUCGAUGAGUAUGGCCGGAGAAGAUGAUCGGAGUUAGGGCUCCAGUGGUGUGCUGGCUCAGUCCAGACCAUUUGAUCUUGUUUCCACGUUCUAAUCUGGGCACUUGAUUCUGAAUAUCACAUGUACAUGCAUGUUGACUGAUGACCAUGGUGGAUGUUAUGCGCGUGGCCAUCAGAUCUGCCACCUCAAUUAAUGAGGGAAAUCUUAUGGCCCUUAUUUUUUUUGAUUUAAUUAAUUUCCAAUUUAAUUUUUUAAAUAGCAUUUUCUCAUUUAAUUCACUAUAAUUUCAAUUUUAAUCCAAAAACUAUUGGACUUUCACCAAAAUUUCACAAAUAGUUUCAUCUUCCAUUUUCUGAAUUAAAAUUAAUUUUUGGGUUGAGUUUGAUAUUUUUAGUGAAUUUUGUGAUUUUUGACUUGUUUUUAAUUGAUUUUAAAUACUUCUGACUUUCAAAAAUUGAAAAAAAAACAGUCAAAGGUCCUUUGACCUUGUUUGACCUAUGAUAAAUCCCUUGGCCAUUUAUUUGGUGAUUUGAAGGGAUUUGAGGUUUUUCCCCUUUUAAAAUGUAUUUUCUUCAUUUAAAAAUUGAUUUAAAUUGUUUUAAUUGCUUUAAUAUUUUGUUGAGCUAUUUUAUUUGACUUUGUGUUGACUCAACUUCAGUUUGGCCUUGAUCUUGGUUGAAUUGUACAUUAAUUUGAUCAAUAUCAUUGGAUUUAGGGGGUUGAUGAAGUUUGAACUCCAUCCCUCCAAAUUAAUGGAUGGUAUUGAUUAAGUGAGGUUCAUCCCUUGAUCAAUUUGGGAUCUCUUUCACCUCAUAUCUUCAUACUUAUGAGUGGAUGGUUGUGUGUUCUCCAAAAAAUGACUUAAAAACAAUCUUUUCUUCUUCCACUAACAUUCACUAACAUCUUUUUAUUGUUGACUUUAUUGUUAAUGUCAUUUACUUUAAUGCAAUUUAAAUUCUUGGACUUUAUCAUUCAUUGUCAUUUACAUUCAUACAAGUUGUUUAUAUUUCAGUCAUUUUCACUUUGCUCACUUGAGCCAUAUUUUGUGCUUAUAUUAUAUUGUGUUCUUGUGAUCUUGUUUUGUUUAUGGUCUUAGGACCUUAAAACACUUAAUAAACAAUAAAAACCCUAAAAAAAAUACAUUGGUGGACUGUUGGACCUCUGUCUGUGACAUGAUCUAAACUUUUGGACUUAGAGUAGGCAACAUCCCUCUGCUUUGGAAGGACUUGGCCAAUGCCAUUAAUCUGAGAUCUUAUCUUGGCCAAUGUCAUUCAUCUGAUACAAGCCUUGAGAGACUCCUUUGGUUUAUCUUUUAUACACUUUGUCUUUGUGCUUAAGUUGUUAUUUUGAUCUUAUUGUUUCUAUCUGAUGCUUUCUCUUUGAGUAUGUUUCAAGGGAUAUUUCAUAUGAUACAUCUAAAGGACAUUGAAGACUGCUUGCUUUGGAGUGCUUACUUGGAUGUUUGGUUAUCUUUAUUUGAUGCCAUUGGUCUUCUUAUCAAUUGCUUGGAUGAUUAUGAUUGUUGCUUUCUUGACAAUCCAAAGGAAAUGGAUUUCUAUCUGACACUAUUGUCUUGUGGAUACUUCCCAUUGAUUAGAUUUUUUCAACUCUAAAAUUUUAAAUCUUGUCUAGGAUAGUCUCUUCAUCUCCUUCUACUUCUUUAAUUUCAAAAUCUCUCCCUCACUUUCAAAAACUUCUUUGCUUUUUUUUUACAACUUAGACUUGUUUUAAUGAGUAGAAACCUUGGCCUUGUGCCAUUGAUUUUCAAAAGAUUUUUCUUAAGCAAACUUGUAAUUGAACUUAAUCAUAUUGACUUUAUAUUCAAAAUAAGACAAAAAAAAAGAACUUGCAACCUCAUCUAAUCCUUUUGGCCAUUUUAUGCAUUUUGCUUUUAAACUUUUCAAAAGAGAGCAUUUAGAUUUGAGUUAUCUUUGGUUGAGAUAUAAUUUUCCCAUUCCAUGAUAUAUUGAGUGUAUGUCUUUCCAUUUAUUAGGGGUUAGUGGCAUACUUAAUGAUUGAAUCCAAGGUGGGUCCCUCCCUCUUAAAUGUUGUAAAGCCCUCAUUAUCUAUGGAUGUUUGAUUUAGUAUUCUCCCGUUGAUAACAAAAGAUCUUUAAGCUUUUAUUAAAUUCAAUCAACCCAUCUUUGAAAUUUUUACCACGAACUACGAGGUUUUGAUCCCUCAUUUUAUGUUGGUACGUAGGCAUAAGACCGAAGGUCUUGUCAAACACAAAAAUUGUAAAUAAUUAAUUCAUUUCUCAUCCCAUCAUUCUAUUUGUUAGCAAACAUCUUUUUCAACUAAAACACUUGCACACAAAAAGGGCUCCUUAUGAGUACCUAGGACACUUUGGGUGCUAAUACCUUCACUCUGUGUAACCAACCCCCUUACCUGUAAUCUCUGAUAUUUUAUUAGUUUUGAUUUGAAAACUUCUAAUCUUUGGGUUUUUUUCGUACUUUUCCCUUUUCCUUUGGAAACAAUAAAAUCACGGUGACGACUCUAGUCUUAUUGAUGUUGAGCUAACCAAUAGCUCAGUGGUCAUGAAUUUACUUCUACACAAAGCAGUUAAACUCCCUUUUUAAAACUGAAAGAUAAACUCUUGUACCAUAUGAUGAGGCAACAAAAGUUGAAUGUAAGCUAGCUAUCUUGACUGAAUAGUAGUAGCAUGACUGGUAACAUGAGUAUAACACAACACACACACACACACACGCACGAUUGAUACCAGGGCUAAGUUGUGUCAAUUUUGAAAACAUUCCUCUGAGAUGAGUUAUGAUAGUAACGGUGGUUAUUGGAUGAUUUAAUUUAUGUGUUGUUAACUAUCGCAUCACCUGAGGGCAAGUAAUGAUUCAAGUUUGGGGGUGUCAUAACCCACAUUUUGUGAGUUAUUAUACAAUCUAAUCUCUUGUUUAACACUAGUAGAAUUAUCAUUUUAUUUAUGUUUUAAUGCAUCAUAGAUGGUUCUGUAGUUUUUAGCUUGGAGCAUAAUAGGUGCUCUCUUUUGUAGUGUUAAUGUGCUUGUUGCUUGUUUUAGUAAUAUUCUGAUGAGAUGAGGCAAGACAAUUGAGGGCAUGACCUGGGAGUUCAAGAUGGAAAAAAAUGAAGUCAGUUAAGAGAUGAAAUGAAAAACCAUCUGAAUCCCUAUGGCAUACAUGGAUAAGGAGUUGCAUUGGGAAGGAAUAUUUGUCAGUGUGUUGGUAGAGCACCCUCAAGCUAAGUGGAUAAGACUAAUGGCGUUAGAAGACAAAAAAGGUACAAUAGUACAUCCUUAAAAGAGUGUGUCAUGCAGAUAGGACAACACUGUCAGCACCUCUGAUAUAGCAGAUUACCAUGCUACACCUUGUCCCCAACUACUGCCUUUGUACCUUAUUCCUUGUACACAAAGUUGAAGGAAGUAAGGGACUGUUCUGAUUUGAUAUUUGGGCUUGAUGUGAUCCUACAAAGGCCCAUGAUCUAAGAGAAGAGAGAAAGAAACCAUAGUUGUAGGAUAUAAAUAUGCAAUAUUGAAGAGUUGAUAGAGAGUUCAACACUUUAGAGAAAAACAAAGUGAAUAUUGUUGUAAGAAAGAAUGGAGAGAAAAGAGAGUUUCUUAUUCUCAUCCCUUAUAGUGGUGACAGUUGAAGCCUGACACGACUGAAGUCAUCACUUGCUAGUUAUCCACAAUGAGGAAGCUUCACGUUACUUUUAGGUUUCUAUUUAUUUUUUAUCUCUUGUUAAGAAUGUUUUCUUUAAGAACCAGUUUUGUAAGUUGUACACAGCUAAUCAUGAACUAAACCUUUUAUUUACUGAGCAAUGAGAAAUUAAUUUGAAGUUGGUUUUAUGUUAAAAUGAUGUGUUGUUUAGUGACUUGUUUUAUUAUGUGGUAACAUAUUUAAAUCUAUUUUUUUGAAUUAUCAACUUAGGAAACUAUAAAAGUUUGUUGUUGUGAGAGAUCCAACAACAAGUGGUUGCAUAAUAAAAGUAGUUGCACGAGUAGUAUAGAGAUAUUCACUCACUUAGUUUUCUUAGAGAUAAGAAACUACAACUAUAAAUUAAUUUUAGGAGACAAGAAGACGUAUCCUAGGGUUAUAAGUGAGACUUAGAGACUUGUUCCCUUGCACUUGUAUGCAUGCUUUUGAGGUUGUAGAAAUACACUCCUAGAUCACUCACGGGCAUUUUCUGGCACGACACUUCAUAUCAUAUACACAUAAUUAAUUAAUACAUAUUAAUGAAUCACAACUCAACAUACACUCUCUUGAUAUAUUCACAACCCUCUCUCGCAAUAUUAAUUUACUGAUUUGAGAAACACUAAACUUGUGACAACCUAUUAUUAUUUUUACUCUUGCUCAUGCUUAAUAUCUAUAGAUAGUUGCUUAUAAAAUUAACCUAAGUUACUUCCACUCCCUGUGGGUAAAAUAUCCUUACUUUUUUUAUCACUUGCUACUUAUAACGAACAUGUAUACUUGCAUGUAACACAAUUUCAGUUAAAAGUUUGAAUGUGUUUGACUGUUUUUAGGGUUGUAAGACGAGUAUUUGGACUUGCAAGCUAUUACGGCUUAGGUCUAAUACUCGAGACUAUGAUUGGAUAUUACACCCAAGUAGUCUUUUUAAUUCAUUUUUGUUGUGAAAAGGUUUUAAAUAUUUACAAGUGUUUUAAGUGGAAGACGAAUACUUGGACUUGCAAGCUAUUUGCUGAACUCAGAUCAUAAGUUCUGAUACUAACCUGUAAUGUCCCAAGUAGCCUUUUUCUUCCAAUUUAUUGUGAAAAUAAUUCAAUUUCUAAGAUAAAAAUAAUUAUUUAACUUAAUGUUUAUUUUUGUGACAACAUCAAAAAUAAUUCGAGAAAAAAAUAAAAAAUAUCAUGCAUAUAAAAAUAAUAGAGAAAUAGAAAUAAAAAUGGGCUACAAAAAUAAGAAUCACAAAAGAUUGGCCCAAGGCCCAAAUAUACACUAACCCUAAUUAUAUAACAAAAAAAUAAUAAAUGGACAAAGCUAUAACAUGGGGAAGUCACCCCAUUCAAAAUUAUGAUUUAUAUUUUAGAAAAAAUGUAUGUUAACUUAAUUAAUAUAAUUAACUAGAUGUUGACUUUUUCAAAAUAAAAAAAACAAAUUCAUAGCCAAAUGAAAAAAAAUCUCUUCAUUCACGUUAAAACCCAAUUGAGUAGAAACCAAGAUUUAGCUCUCUUGUUAAAAGAAAAACCGAAAAAAAAAAACUCACAUUCUCCCUUUCAUGAAACAACAACUAUCAACAUCAAAUAACAUUUUCAAUUUUAGAAAAUUUGGCAAAAAUGAAACAGAAUAAAAAAUCAGUCGAAGCAAAAUAUAAAAGGAAUCAAAUAACAUUUUCAAUUUUAGAAAAUUUGGCAAAAAUGAAACAGAAUAAAAAAUCAGUCGAAGCAAAAUAUAAAAGGGAAAAGAUGCCGACCAACUAUUUGACAUGAUGGUUGAUUCAAUGGUUUCUCAAAUUUGUUGCGUAUGUAGCAAUUUUUUAUGAUGGUGUGGCAACCGAGGGACGUGAUUCUAAUAGCAGUAUGUGGUUAUGGCUUCGCAAAAAAUAGAGCAACUUUGUGUGCGUUUGGUUUCUAUUUUCAAUCUGAGCUAUUGUUGUUUUCGACUUUGUGGAGAGUCUCUUCUCACUCUCUAUUUCAUUUUAUGUUCAUAUUUGUUUCUUGGUUUAUGUUUAUAUGUUGUGAUAAUGGCGAAGGUGUGAAUUCGGUUGAAGGUAAGGUUUGUUGAUCGAAUGGUUGUUGUUAUGGAGUUUUACAUGUAGAGAUGUAAUGAUUAAGUGUUUUUUUAUAGUGGUUAUAAGGGUAUUGUAGCAAGUUGUGUAAGUGUGUUUAUGGUGUGUUACUGGUUUUUGUUGUGAAGGAGAAGAGUGUUUGAGGUGUUUAUAAGGUUUAUGUAGGGAGUGUGUUUGGAGUGACUAUGAGGUUAUAUGGUGUUGAUUCUGUUUUGUGUAAAUGAGGAUGGUGUAGUAAUGAAGUUUGGGGGAUGGAAGAAGGAAGAAGGUGGGGGAAGUUCACGCAUGAACAAUGAGGUGGAAGGAAUUUAUUGUUGUGCAUGAAGUGAAAAAGGCGCUAACAUUUUUAACUACAUGAUGACAUUAAUGGUGUAAGUUGAAUAAGGAAGGUUUAUGUUGGUUAGAAUGUUUGUGAAAAUAAGAGUAUGAUGUGAGUUGCAUGAAAGAAAAAAAUAUGACGGUCUCUUGGUGUGAAAAUGAGCUUAGUGAAGAUAAGAGUGGCUAGAAGUCAUGUUUUUCUUUCUAAAGCUCUUUCUUAGUUUUCCUUUUCAAAUUUUUUCCAUGCUCAGUUUCAAGAAUUCAAUGGGGCGACUGUUAUUGGUUAGUUUCCCAUUUUCUUCCAUUGGUCACUAUCACUAUUUAUAUUGCAAACCAGGGCUACAAUUUUAAUUAAAAUCCCUAAAACACCUUAGAUAUUUCCUCUAGAUAUUUUUGUGAUUAAAAUGAGUUUAAACAAUUAAAUGAAACAAAAUUCUAAUAAAAAUCAAAUGACUAUGUAUUUAUCUCUAUUUAUUUUUUCUUAAUAUUUUGACUAAAAAAUAAAAAUAAAAGAAAUUAAAAUGAAUAAAAAGGAGGCACAAAAAUGCGUAAAAAAAUAAAAUGAACGCGUUAAAAUGAUCUACAUGAAAUAAAGUUUUAUAAACUGGAUAGAUGCGGAUCAAAUCUCGCAGUAAAAAGUACCAGGUUAAAAAGGCUUACGUUGAUCAAAAUGUGACCUUCCAAAGAGUCAAAAAAUUUAAGCGAACUCGUUGGGCUAAAUCAUGCGAGUCGUAGAUCAAUAAAAUAGACAGCUGCAGGCCAGAUCUCGAAAUUUUUGCCCGCUAAUUUUACACGCAUUUGAAGAUUGAUUUAACGGGUUUGUCUAUAGAACCGGAGUUUUAUUCUGGUAGACUUUUUAAGCUUUAUGCUUACAUGAAUGCAGGUUAUGAUAGGAAGCUGAUGAAAAUAGCAUAAUGAAUGAAUGAAUUUAUUGAACUAAGGGAAAAAUUGGGGUAUGAUAGAUAGGAAGACAUAAACAUAACUAAGCAAGCUACUCCGAAUCAUCAUCAUCAUCAUUUCUGAACACCCCAAAGGGCAUGUGAGAUCAAAUUUUAGUGAACAUUUAGCCUAGAGCAUUCAUUUUUUAUCAUCAUUUUUAUGCCUCUUCAUCAUCUUUUUGAGGAGAGCUUCAAAUGGAUUAGUUAUUGGAAUUUCAAAAUCAAAAUCUUCUUUGAUAUCUAUUCCCAUUUGGUUUAACGUGCUAUUUCCUAUCCUAGUGUAUUUUUGGUUUGCUUCCUCUCCCUCAAAGUUGAAUUCGAUGUGUUCCAAAAAAAUUGUUACCAACCCACCAUAUGGUCAUCCCAUAUCCAUAGCCUUGAUGUCAAUCAUGCGAACUAUUACAAUUCUAUCCCAAUUUGUUUCCAAUCUAUUUGUAAUUUUCUAGAUCGCGGUGACCUUGAUCUUAUAUAAUUUCCCAAAAUUAUGUUUCUUUUGAGCAAGGAUAUGUGAGACCACAUGAUGUGUACGAUGAAUAUUAGGUAAUACUUCCAUCACGUUAAAAGCGGUACAGAUGAUAGAAUCAGGAUCAAGAAGGAAAUAAAUAGUAGCAGGAAAAUAAUAAUAUUUGAUACCUUCAAUUUUUCGUUAUGAGGAAGGGAGAUUGCAGAUCUUAGUGAGUUCUUGAAGGGUCAUAUAUAUUUAGUGCUUCUUUACUUUGCUAGUGAUGAUUCCUCCAACAUAUCUUAGGUUAGAGUAAAACAUAAUCAAGUAUGCUUGAUACACUUCAUAUGGGACAUUACAGAUGAAACUCUUGAAAUAUGCAUCUUCAAACCACUUUAGAAAAUCACAAUCCUUGAAAAUGUCUCUAUCAUGUGAUAAUAUUUGAAGAUCUUCCUUCUUUCAAAAUCUCGGUUGAACCAAGCCUCUUGCUCUUUAGACGAAAAUAUUUAUAAGGAGUAACCAAAAUUUGAAGACUUUUCAGAGUUUUUAUUCUCUUGGGAGCCAUUGAUGAUGAUGAUAAUUACAAGAGAAAAAUCAUACAUAAGAAGAAAAAUUCAAGAGAGGGAUGAAAAAUGAGGGAUGAGGUGAUACUUGUUUAUAUUAAUUGGAUUUAAUUGAUUAUUUUUCCUUAAUAAUUGAUUACGGAAUUAGUUCAGUGAUUCCCUUAUGAUUUAAUUGUGGGCGGCACGCUCUGAUCAAUGAAAUAAUUGAUUAUUCUCUAUGUCUAAUCGAUUAUGGGGAACAAAAAUUUGAAUUUUGAAUUUCAAUUUUCCCUAGUCGACUAUGCCUUAUGUAUAAGAAAUUAUUAAUUAUUUUUUAGCUUCUCUUGUUCCUUUUGGGUCUUGGUUUGACAUUGAGCCUUGGAAAACUUCUUUUGUCACCUUUUUGCUUUCAAUUUGCAUCCAUUUUCUUGAGAAACAUCUUACACUCCACUGAAAUGUUAGUAGGGAUAAUUUUAAAUGACUAGACAUGUAAGAAACCACUUUAUAAAGGAUCAAUCAAAGUUUUCCAAAUUUUUAACCUAUAUUUAGUGUACUACCUCAAAACCUCAAGAAACCUUGAGAAAAACUCCCUAUCAAGAGGGUCGACAAACAAACAUGAAAAGUCCAUCUCUUUGGAUUAGUAAAUACGAGAUCUCGAAAAAUAUAAACUAAUAUAGUUACCAAUAAUUGUUGGAUCCAAAAUCAUUUGGACUAAUAAGACUAUUGAGAACCACCUUCAAUACCAACAAACAACUAGGUAUAAAAUAACUUGUUGAACACCACCGUCGAUGCUAACACACUGUUAAGCAUUACCAUAAAUGCUAGUAACAUGAACGAGCACCACCAUCAAUGAUUUAACAAAAAAGUAAUGAACAUCACCAUUAAUUCUUGUUGAUCACUACCAUUAAUGCUAACAAAACAUAUUAUUGAGCCUUAUCACUGAUGCUAACAACAAACACCACUAAGAUAACCAUAGACCAACAAACUUCUUUGUAUAUGCUUUUAAAAAUGUUAUCGAACUUUUCCAAUGAGUCUCUUGAAAGUUGCAAAGAACUUCCUACAAAACAGAAUUAGAUUUUCACCUUUGGUACCGAAAUCUUUUUGAGUCAGGGUGCAUUAGUGGCUCUAAGAGGUCUAGAGUUAUUCCCUUUAUACCAUCUUAGUUUAUCAUAGAAAAAAGGAUCUAAAUGACCAUAUUUAUUACAAAAAUAGCAUUCAUAAACAAGUUAUUUCAAUUUCUUUUGUUUUUAGUUAUCUUAACAAAUGAUCUAUCUAGGUUAAAUCUUACUCCAUUUUUAUCAUAGUAGUGAUUUUUUUAUAGGAUUAAAUCAAGAUUUUAUUUCCCCUUGAUAAAUUUACUUAUUGUUUAAUACAAAUCUUCUAGAGAAUACAUGGUGCAUGAAUCACAUUUAGCUUAUUUUAAGGAUUCGUCUCUUAUGCUAGAAAUUCAUCACAAAGAAUCUUAUUGAUAUUUUCCAAGAAUUCGGCAUAAUCCUUAAGAUCAUUAAUUUUCUUCUCUAGCUUCUCAAUUUCCUUAGAAAUCUUAACACCGAGCUUAACAAAAUGAUUAUGAGAUAGAAAAGUUACCUCAGAGUCAUCUUCCUUUAAAGCAUUAAUGCAUACGUGAUCAGUUUCACUCUUUUUGUCUAAUGAAACACCAACAUUUUAGAGGUUUAGUAUAAUGAAGUGACCUACUCCUCUCCCCAAGAAUUAUUUCUUAAGAUUUUCCAUUAUCUUAUGAGCUCUUAAUAGGAUAUGCCCACGAAACUCCUUAUGCAAGGAUUGGAGUUUUACAACGGCUAACUUCCCAACCAAAAUGGCGUUUUAACUACAAAAACAUCCAUAAUCAAUUGAGAGAUUUUUGACAGUAGACUAAGCUUACAAACCAAUUGAGAGUUUUUAACAUAUGGAUAAGCUCCCAAACUAACUGAGAGUUUUAAGUACAAAGACCUCCCAAACCAAACAGAGCUUUUACUUGGUUUAUCACAACAACCAAAUGAGAUAUUUUUACUUGGUUUAGAUUACAACCAAAAAAGCUUUCUCCCAAUGAGAAAUUACAAUUAUGCUUUUAACCUAGACCAGACUACCUCACAGAUAAAAAGAUUUCACUCUCAAAAGCACUAAGGAAAAUAUGAGAAAAUAAAAGAGAAAGAAGAGAGUUAGAGAAAGGUAUCUCAAAUAUAUUUUCUAGUGUGUUCAAAAUGAGCCUUCUAUUUAUAGGACAAAAGGUGGCUAAAAGAUAGAAAUAAUCCAUAUACUUUUCAAUGUUGAUAAUUGAUUAUGCACAUUCAAUAAUCGAUUAUCAAACCCAAAAAUCAAAGGUUUUAAAUAAUCCAUAUACUUUUCAAUGUUGAUAAUUGAUUAUGCACAUUCAAUAAUCGAUUAUCAAACCCAAAAAUCAAAGGUUUUGAUUCUAAGUUGUUUCCAUCCAAUCAUUAAGGGACUUCUACAACAAUUGACAUUUUCCAUCAUUGUUCAUCCUCAUAUCAGAUUCUUCAUAAAUAUUGUAUGCUUUAGAAGUAUAACAUUGCUUUGCACAAUUUCAUUAAUAAUCUUCAAAUUUCUGACUUGUAAAGCAUACCUACAAAACACUAAGGUUUCACCUUCAGUGCCCAUAAUUUAUUAGGCCAAAAUGAAAUAUUCCGAGAAGAUCUAAGGUGGUUGGUUACCUUUAGAUCUUUGCAAUUUACCAAAACAAAAAAAGGUUCUAAACGUCCUAUUCUCUUACAUUGUGUGCACUUAUAAACCUGACACCUCUUUUCCUUAUGAUCUAUACCUUUCCUAGGUUUUUUAUCCUUUUAUAUCCUAGGCAAAUUUUUUUUAUGAAGAAUAUUUGACAUGAUAAUAUCAGGUCAACCUUUUCUUUCCCUUGGGUAAACUUUCCUAGAGUUUCGCGAAGAUCAUAUACUUGUUCUACAAGUGAGUCACAAUGCUUACAUUCUCCUUUGGAAUUUCUAAGCUUCGUUAUUUGUAUCUUAAAUGAUUCAUUUAUUUAUUUGAGAUGUAUUAGAGAUUCCUUAAAACCUAGGAUGCAUUCCCUUAUUUAUAAUUUCCUUCCACUAAUUGACCUGUCAUUAUAGACAUUUGAUCAUAAGAUGGUUGAUACCUAGAAUAUUAUUUUCCUUGUAGGAUUUCUUUAAGCAUAAUUCAUCUUCUUUGUUGGAAGUUGAUCCUUUCACAUUUCUCCCUGAGGUUAAUGUCUCUCCUCCUUCUCUUUGUUCAGGUAUUAAAUAAAUUAUUCUUAUUCUUCUUUGUCGUUCCUUGAACUAAAGGGUCCUUCAUUGGAUGUUGAAUCUUUUAAGGAUCAUUCAACAAUUGAGUAUUUUAUUUCGAAUGAAUCUACCGGAGUUGUAUGAUAGGAGUAUGGAAGUUAAUGAUUCUUUGGUUUUUGCUUCUUCAACUUUGAAUAGUUGAACUAGUUUGUUUAACUUCUAUAUAAUUUCCAUACUUUUUGAUGUUUCCUGAAAUUCAUGAAGGCUCCCAUCUUUUGAUUUAAUAUUUGGAUUAAUCUUCCAAUUCCAAACUCUUAGAUAUUUGUUAUUGAUACAAUUGCCAACAUACUUCCCAAUACUCAUAUGCUUUGAAAAACAUUUGAGAGUGAUAUCUUCAUCUUCUUCGCCUCGUGUUUUCUUCUUCUCUUGUUAGAUACUUGGAAGAGCUACAUAUAUCAUUUCAAGAGUAUCCCACGUUUUCUUAGUGGUUUUAAAAUGAUGAACAUAAUAAAUUUUACUAUCAUCUAGAGACAUUGUUAUAAAGUUCUUGGUUUUAAAAUCUAUGUCAAGUUUUCUCUUUUUCUCUUUUAUCCAAAGGGAGUUGGGUUUAUCUACUACUUCAUCAUUUACUUGAUGAAUGAGGAUAAACAGACCAUUGAUUAAUGUUUUUCACAAUUAACGAAUUAUACUUUGAAGAAAAGUUUUAAACCUAGAUUGCCAAAUAUUAAAUUUUCUAUCAUUAAAAAGGGUUGGUGUGUUUAUAAAAGGUUUCUUGUCAGAAGUCGUCUUCCUCCUGAGAUGAUUAGUCCUUAAACAAGAGUUAGACUUUGAUGCCAAUUGUUGGACAUGUGACUUCAUACACAAGAGGGGGCUGAAUUGCGUAGUUCAGAAAAACUUCGUUUUGUAAAACGUUUUGGAAUGUAGUCCGAGUUUAAAAACAUUUUGAAAAUGUUAAAAUGUUUAAGCAACGAAAAAUAAUUGCAGAAAGUAAAUAGCAUAAAAUAAAAAGUUAAUGGAAAGAAAGAAAACCAAAAAAUUUAGAGGUAUUGUCAAUUCAAGAAAGCAACCUACUCAUCUUCUAAAGAAUUGAUCUUAAGAAUGUCCAAUAAACUUUGAGAGUUUUUAAUAGGUAAUGCUCGCGAACCCCCUUAUAUCAGGAAAAUGGUUGACUUCCAAUAAGAACAACAAGACUCUGGAAUUCAGUAGUUUAAGACUUCUCUUCCAAACAGUGGAUUGAAGCGGUUAGUCUUCUUUUCUCAAACGGUAGAUCGAAAGGGUUAGUCUUCUUUCCACAACAACCUUUGAGCAGUUACUCUUGAAGCUUCUAAAUGAUCUUUGUAAGAUUUUACCAAAGGUUGAGGUCACAAAGCUUAAACCUUAUUUUACACGGGCUAACCAAUAACCUAGGAUAUUUUAAUACCAGGCCAAUCUCGAACCUUAUCCAAGAUUUUAAUAUUAGGCUAAUCUCGAACCCAACCUUGGUUUUACCACAGGCUAACCAAGCACCUAUGAGAUUUUACCAAGGGAUAAUAUCGAACCUAUCAAGCUUUUAAUCACAGACUGAGCUUGAACCUAAACAAAGUCUUGAUCACACAAUCCCAAACCAAGAGCUUUUACAGGUUUAGCUUCUAACCCAAACAAUAGAACUUUCUUAGAGAAGCAUUUUGGCUAAAAUAUUAGUGAGAGAAAGUAAAACAAUUUUUUUAAAGAGAGAGAGAAAUGUUAAAACACGAUUCUAGAUUGUUUGAAAUGAUGGAAUGGGCCUCUAUUUAUAGGCUAGAGGUUGGCUCAAAAAGAGAAUUAAUUUUAAUGCCUUUUUAGACAAUCUAAUUGAUUAGAACCAAAUGCUGAUCUAUUAGCCACUCAAAAGGUAAUAGAUUACCAGCUCAAAAUAGGAAGAAAAAUAUAUUUAGUUGUUGUACCUAAUUAAGAUGUUUUCGUAAUUGUUUAGAGCUUAAUUUUGAACUAAUCUAAUCGAUUAGACAAGUGUUCUAUGUACCUAAUUAAGAUGUUUUCGUAAUUGUUUAGAGCUUAAUUUUGAACUAAUCUAAUCGAUUAGACAAGUGUUCUAAUCGAUUAGAAAAGGCAAAACUUUGCCCGCACCAAUUUUGAUUGCUCUCAGUUCAUCUGGAACAAUUUCAAGACAUUUUUGAAUACAUUUUCUUGAUAAAAAUCAUUUUGAAAAUACAUUUUAAUGUGUGUGUGUGUGUGUGUUUGUGUGUGUGUGUUUUAGCCAUGUACUUUUACGAGAAUGCCAUUUUUCUUUACACAAUAUUCACUCAGAUUAAGGUAGGACUUCCUUCCACUUCAAGACUUUCUUAGAUGCUUUCUUUUAUACACACUUGCUCUAGUUUAUAUGAGAUGAAGCUUGAGCUUAUAUUCCAUUUGGUUGCCAUCUUCGAAUAGUUAAGUCCAUCAAACCCUAAUACUCAGGUUUGCAUCUUUAUCAGUCUAAUCACUUAUGCUUGACUUAUUAGAGGACAUUUGAGUAAUUAUCAAUAAGUUUUCGUUAUCAAACGUUCAACAAAAGUUUAUGUCCUUGUUAAAAGUAGAUCACCUGCAAAAUAAUGUUCUACACGCCUUCCUCAAUAAGGCCGAUUCUUUGGUCUUCUAUAUUUACUAGGUUUGAACUAUUAGGAUGCAAAGGGUGAAAUUCACUUUUUAAAUUGGGGGAGUGUGACAAUGAUUAAAGAAUUCUCCUAAUUCUCUAAAACGUAUCUCAACAUGUCACUAAUGUAAAAUGACCAAAUUAGGUAUGCUGAGAGCUUACCCGUGUUGAGCUUGACAUUGCCCAUGUUGGGUUUGAGCUUACUUGUUUUCUUUUGAAUACUCUCUAGGAUCGUAGCAGGUUCUAAUCCUAAAGGUCCAAGUCCAAAUGGUUCCGAAUGGACCAGGACCCUUACGAAUAUAUUGUAACAAUACUCAUUUGGUAGAUUAGGAUUUUUUACACAUAUUGUAGAUGUUUGGAUUAUUGCACUAACCGAGUUGAAAUUCGAACUCCAAUAUCUUUUUAUAAGGUAGUGAUCAUAAAUGAGACGUGGUCCAUCCUCUAGAGCUUUAGUGUAAUCUUAUUCACUUGUAAAAUAAACUAGAAAAUAGUCUUUUUUUUCAAAUCUAUAAUACUAAUGACUCAUUCCUCACCCAAAUCUAUUUCAAAUGUAUCUUCAAAGCUUUGCAUCCAAUACACUUCCUUAUAAGCUUAACAAUAACCCUUUUCUCCAAAGGGCAAUUGAAUCUUAAAUCUUCUCUUGAAGAUAAUAAUAAGGAAAGACUAUCAUAUAUUUAGGUUUAUUUCUAUUAUCAAGAUCCUCAUUCUUCUGAUUUUAGUGUUAAUUUAUAUCUUCAUUAUUCUAAAAGUUGAAUCUUGCUAGUAUGUAGUAACUUUUAGGUUAAAAAUAACUCAUAAACAAUUCAAAUUAACAAGAGAAGGGGAUAUGGUAGAAAAUUAAUAUAUUAAAAAAAUCACAACAACAAUUUAUUAUUGAACCAAAUCAAAUUCAAAAUAAAACAACUAUGUAAUCAAAUAAAGAACCAUAUCAAGGUUAAUUGCACAAGGUGAUCGAAGAACAUAUCAAGUUUCCAAACUAGUUAUUGUCAUACCAAGUCUGUCCUUGAAGAUAAUCAAUGAUACUCUUAUCAACUUGAAAA
RNAcentral lists this long non-coding RNA (94450 nucleotides) under Lathyrus oleraceus (garden pea). RNAcentral's name for it is "Pisum sativum (pea) long non-coding RNA (PSAT_LNC030054)". The record is from RNAcentral. Lineage: Eukaryota; Viridiplantae; Streptophyta; Magnoliopsida; Fabales; Fabaceae.